UUCAGGAAGCCCGAAAGCCCCAAAUAUUUUUUUUCAUUUUACAUUUUUGUUGGUGUAACCAACUCCAAAAGGUUGGAAAAGAGUUCCUACUAAGGUUUUGGACAGUGAUUUUAACCCUAACGCCAAAAACCUUAAACCUUACCCUAGCCCCAAAACCUAAUACCAGUGUAUUACUUUUAGGAAGCCUGAACACCCCAAACAUUUUUUUUUUCAUUUUUCAUUUUUUUUUUUUUGGUCUAGCUUACUCCAAAAGGUUGGAAAAGAGUUCCUACAAAGGUUUUGGACAGUGAUUUUAACCCUAACGCCAAAAACCUUUAACCUUACCCUAGCCCUGUAAUAUAAUAUAUACAUAAUUUACAAACACAUAGUCUAAAAGAUAGACAGCAUGGCAUACCAAUUGAGUGGAGUCAUUAAACUUCCUACCAACACAUAAUUUUUACACACAGAUUGAGCUUGGAGACUUGACUGGGAACAUGUGAUAUGUCAACAUCCCCCUCACCAAUCUUUAUUUUCCACCAUCUCCACCUCUCCCUUAAACCCCCCUCUCCCUCUUCCCUUCUCUCUCUCUCUCUCUCACACACACACACACACACACACACACACACACACACACACACACACACACACUCUCUCUCUCUCUCUCUCUCUCUCUCUCUCUCUCUCUCUCUCUCUCUCUCUCUCUCUCCCUCAUCUCUCUCCCUCAUCUCUACCCCUCUCUCUAACACCCCCCCUUUCUUAUUCCCUCCCCUGCCCCUUUAUUUUCACCUUCACAGAGGACAAAUAGGUGAUCUUCAGCCUAGGCCUACCCCGGCCGGGGGGUAACCCCUGUUGGGUCACCUAUAUGGAGGAUUAAGAAAGACCUGAAGGGGAACCGCCGUGCCCCCUAAAUCCUCCCCCUCUAACAUCUUUUUAACACUCUAAAAUUAGCCAGCUAACCCCACUACAAACAACUUCAUCAAAAAUUUAAAUAAUAAAUACUUAUCAAUAACUGACCAUCAGUGACACCAGACUAAGUUAGCAAAAAAGAACACACACACACACACGUACAGAUUUUCCCUUAGGACAUUGAUCAGAUUUACAUUUCUGUCUUUCUUUUAGGGAACUGUUCUCUGUUUUUAAGCUCACUUCUGAUUUUUGCUAUUUGCUCUUGACACUUCUUUUUUUCCUUUUUUCUUCCCCUUUCCCUUUUGCAAUCCACUUUUGUUCUUCUUUUAUUUUUUCAUUGUUUUAUAUUAUUUUAUUUUAUUUUAGGGUUCCUGUGCUUUUGUUUUUCUUCCCCCCUCCCCUCUUUUUUCUUAGGAAGGACUGACUCCUGAGGUUCUCAUGCCAGGAAAAAUGUACCUCCCUCACUCACGGUUUUACCCACAAUCCUUUGCUGCAACAGGGAGAUUGAUUCCCAAGGCUCUCAUGCCAGAAAGGAAGUACCUCACUUCCUCACGGUUUUACCCACAAUCCUUUGCUGUAACAGGAAGAUUGAUUCCUUAGGCUCUCAUCCCUCAGAACUAAAAUACCCACAAUCCCUUGCGAUUGCAUACAAAUUGAAUGUAGCAAAACUCAAUUUAAAACAAUAAACUACAUUAAAAUUAACUUAAAACAACUUGAAGGUUUAAAAUACAACCAAGAGACAUCCAUUCUGGAAUACAAACAUCGAGAAGAGAACACAACCAUGUCUGAGAGGAACAGCACAAACCAUGACUCGAGCCCAACUCUGGGGAUGUCUCCUCGUGUGAAAAGCACAUUUAAGUGCCGUGCACUGAAGAGCAAUUCCUGUUCCAGUUAUUGAGACAAAGCACUGACCUCUGGACCAAGAAGACGGACCACCAUCGAGGAAGACGCCGCGCCGCCAACUGAAAGAAGACGCCGCACCUCCAUCACUCCAAGCCGCCCACCACCGAGCUUCGACCCGCCUACAGCACCGAGUCCCAGCAAACCUUCCCGCGGAGCGCUGAUCUUCUUUCCCCCGCCGAGGACCCCGGACUUCAGACACACCGCUGCCACCGCGGAUGGACAGCUGGAACCUUUUCCCCCCUCCAACAGAUUUUAGACUACUGGAAAAGAAACCCCUCACAUCAACAACAACUUAGGACCACUAGGGUAAGUCUACAAAAAACCUCUCAAACACCUCAAAAUUACUCUAAAUAGUUAGUUUUGUUUGUUGAACUUGAGUUUGUGUCGUUUUUGAACUUGAGUUUGUGGUGUUUUUGAACUUGAGUUUGUGUCGUGUUUGAAGUUUGUGGCAACUUAUGAACUUGAGUUUGUUUGGCUUGAUUUUUUGGCAAUUGUUGAACUUGAGUCUAUGGUUUUUAGUGAACUUUAGUUGGUGGCAAUUGUUGAACUUUUGUUUGUGGCGUUCGUUGAACUUGAGUUUGUGGUGUUCAUUGAACUUGAGUUUGUGGCAUAUUUGAACUUGAGUUUAUUAUGUUUUUUGAACUUGAGGUUCUGGUGUUUUCUAACUUAAGUUUGUGGAAAUUGUUGAACUUGAGGAUCGGGUGUUGCUUGAACUUGACUUGUUGUGUUUGUUGAACUUGAGUUUGUGGUGUUUGUUGAACUUGAGUUUGUGUGGUGUUUUUGAACUUGAGUUUGUGAAGUGUUUGAACUUGAGUUUGUGUUUUUUUUAACCUUGAGGUUGUGGCAAUUGUUAAACUUGAGAAUCGGGUGGUGGUUGAACUUGAGUUUGUGGUGUUCAUUGAACUUGAGUUUGUGGCAUAUUUGAACUUGAGUUUAUCAUGUUUUUUGAACUAGAGGUUCUGGUGUUUUUUAACUUAAGUUUGUGGAAAUUGUUGAACUUGAGGAUCGGGUGUUGCUUGAACUUGACUUGUUGUGUUUGUGAACUUGAGUUUUAGUCCUUGAGCCAAUAACCAAAAUUUCACAUAUCGGUACCACCUAGGUGGGCAAAUUCUAGUUGUGAUUUUUUUAUACAUCCCUACAAUAAGUUUUUAUUUGAUAGACCUUGGUAACUGGUAGCUUUAUUGUAGUUAUUACUCAUUGAAGUAAUAGAGUGCAGCUGUUCAAAAACGAAAAAUCGCCUUCCUUCAAAAUGAGCUUUCUUUCAUUUUAACCUCUCAUUUAGGUGUGUUUGAACUAUUGGCUAGCCAUAGAGACUUGUAUUAACCCCCUAAGUAGUAUUUCAAGUAAUUUAUCUAAUACAGGUGUGUAUAUAUAAGCUUCAAUUAGCUAAUUGUCAGGUCUAAAUCAAGGUCUAAAUUAAGGAUAUUUUUUGACUUAGAAGUAGAAAUAAAAUAAAUGCAGACUAAUAGCAUUAUAAUAACACAACUUUAAUAUGACACUGACAUAUUUUAAAUGUAGGCACUCAAUAUACAAUCAUCCUGGCUGGUGCAGGGCAAGAAGACAUUAGCAACAAAAUAAGAUCUACUGAUGUAUACACUCUAUACAAUCAUCUGAGAAAAACUCCAAUUCCUAUUCAAAGUCCUAUUCUUUCCAUAAGGAACAGUGACGGCAAAUAUGACUGUCAAGUUUUGGCUUAGCACAUAAUUCUGUCACUGAGUCACAGUGGGUCUGCUAACAUAGCUCCCUUUGGUCAUCACUUAUUAAUCAACAUCAGUAAUCGACAUCAGUAUCUGUAUCUUCUUCUACAUCUGAAUCUGCCGGUGUGCAAGGGGCUCUUCCUCACUGUACUGGUUGGCACAAGUUUGUAAUUUGCACAGGUUUGUGCACUUCAGCCCAUUGCUGAGACAGGUGCAGUCUGGUGGUUUGCAUGUCCUCACACACUUCAGUUUGUGGUGUUUUUGAACUUCAGUUUGUGGCACUUUUUUAACUUUUAAGUUUUUGGCAAUUGUUAAAUGUGAGUUUAGGUCAUUUGUUGAACUUGAAAUUUUGGAAUUUGUUGAACUUAAGAUUGUGGUGUUUGUUGAACUUGAGUUUGUGGCAAUUGUUGAACUUGAGUCUGUAUUUUUCUCUGAACUUUAGUUGGUGGCAAUUGUUGAACUUGAGUUUGUGGUGUUUUUGCACCUGAGUUUGUGUCGUGUUUGAACUUGAGUUUGUGUUGUUUUUGAACUAGAGGUUGUGGCAAUUGUUAAACUUGAGAUUUGGGUGUUGGUUGAACUUGAGUUUGUGGUGUUUUUUGAUCUUGAGUUUGUGUCUUGUUUGAACUUUUGUUUUUGAGAUUUUUUUUUUGUUUGUUUGUUUGUUUUUUUGAUUUUAAACCUAACGCCAAACAAUAAAACCUUACCAUAGCCCCAUAACCUAAUACCCGGGUAUUACCUUCAGGAAGCUCGAACACCCCAAAUAUUUUUUUUUCAUUUUACAUUUUUGUUGGUGUAACCAACUCCGAAAGGUUGGAAAAGAGUUCCUACAAAGGUUUUUGACAGUGAUUUUAACCCUAACGCCAAAAACCUUUAACCUUACCAUAGCCCCAUAACCUAAUACCCGGGUAUUACCUUCAGGAAGCUCGAACACCCCAAAUAUUUUUUUUUCAUUUUACAUUUUUGUUGGUGUAACCAACUCCAAAAGGUUGGAAAAGAGUUCCUACAAAGGUUUUGGACAGUGAUUUUAACCCUAACACCAAAAACCUUAAACCUUUCCCCAGUCCCAAAACCUAAUACCUGGGUAUUACCUUCAGGGAGCCCGAAAACCCCCAAUAAUAUUUUUUUCUUUUUUCAUAUUUUUUGGUCUAACUAACUCCAAAAGGUUGGAAAAGAGUUCCUACAAAGGUUUUGGACAGUGAUUUUAACCCUAACGCCAAAAACCUUAAACCUUACCCUAGCCUUAAAAUCUAAUACCCGGGUAUUACCUUCAGGAAGCCUGAACACCCCAAAUAUUUUUUUUUUCAUUUUUCAUUUUUGUUGGUGUAACCAACUCCAAAAGGUUGGAAAAGAGUUCCUACAAAGGUUUUGGACAGUGAUUUUAACCCUAACGCCAAAAACCUUAAACCUGACCAUAGUCCCAAAACCUAAUACCCGGGUAUUACUUUCAGGGAGCCCGAAAACCCCCAAUAAUAUUUUUUUCUUUUUUCAUAUUUUUUGGUCUAACUAACUCCAAAAGGUUGGAAAAGAGUUCCUACAAAGGUUUUGGACAGUGAUUUUAACCCUAACGCCAAAAACCUUAAACCUUACCCUAGCCUUAAAAUCUAAUACCCGGGUAUUACCUUCAGGAAGCCUGAACACCCCAAAUAUUUUUUUCUUCAUUUUACAUUUUUGUUGGUUCAACCAACUCCAAAAGGUUGGAAAAGAGUUCCUACAAAGGUUUUGGACAGUGAUUUUAACCCUAACGCCAAAAAACUUAAACCUUUCCCUGGCCUUAAAAUCUAAUACCCGGGUAUUACCUUCAGGAAGCCUGAACACCCCAAAUAUUUUUUUCUUCAUUUUACAUUUUUGUUGGUUCAACCACCUCCAAAAGGUUGGAAAAGAGUUCCUACAAAGGUUUUGGACAGUGAUUGUAACCCUAACGCCAAAAAACUUAAACCUUACCCUAGCCUUAAAAUCUAAUACCGGGGUAUUACAUUAAGGAAGCCUGAACACCCCAAAUAUUUUUUUUUCAUUUUUCAUUUUUUUUUUGGUCUAACUAACUCCAAAAGGUUGAAAAAGAGUUCCUACAAAGGUUUUGGACAGUGAUUUUAACCCUAACGCCAAAAACCUUAAACCUUACCAUAGCCUUAAAAUCUAAUACCCGGGUAUUACAUUAAGGAAGCCCAAACACCCCAAAUAUUUUUUUUUCAUUUUACUUUUUUGUUGUUUUAACCAACUCCAAAAGGUUGGAAAAGAGUUCCUACAAAGGUUUUGGACAGUGAUUUUAACCCUAACGCAAAAAAACUUAAACCUUUCCCUAGCCCCAUAACCUAAUUCCCGGGUAUUACCUUCAGGAAGCCCGAACACCCCAAAUAUUUGUUUUUCAUUUUACAUUUUUGUUGGUGUAACCAACUCCAAAAGGUUGGAAAAGAGUUCCUACAAAGGUUUUGGACAGUGAUUUUAACCCUAACGCCAAAAAACUUAAACCUUACCCUGGCAUUAAAAUCUAAUACCCGGGUAUUACAUUAAGGAAGCCUGAACACCCCAAAUAUUUUUUUUUCAUUUUUCAUUUUUUUUGGUCUAACUAACUCCAAAAGGUUGGAAAAGAGUUCCUACAAAGGUUUUGGACAGUGAUUUUAACCCUAACGCCAAAAACCUUAAACCUUUCCCCAGUCCCAAAACCUAAUACCUGGGUAUUACCUUCAGGGAGCCCGAAAACCCCCAACAAUAUUUUUUUCUUUUUUCAUAUUUUUUGGUCUAACUAACUCCAAAAGGUUGGAAAAGAGUUCCUACAAAGGUUUUGGACAGUGAUUUUAACCCUAACGCCAAAAACCUUAAACCUUACCCUAGCCUUAAAAUCUAAUACCCGGGUAUUACCUUCAGGAAGCCUGAACACCCCAAAUAUUUUUUUUUUCAUUUUUCAUUUUUUUUGGUCUAACUAACUCCAAAAGGUUGGAAAAGAGUUCCUACAAAGGUUUUGGACAGUGAUUUUAACCCUAACGCCAAAAAACUUAAACCUGACCAUAGCCCCAAAACCUAAUACCCGGGUAUUACUUUCAGGGAGCCCGAAAACCCCCAAUAAUAUUUUUUUCUUUUUUCAUAUUUUUUGGUCUAACUAACUCCAAAAGGUUGGAAAAGAGUUCCUACAAAGGUUUUGGACAGUGAUUUUAACCCUAACGCCAAAAACCUUAAACCUUACCCUAGCCUUGAAAUCUAAUACCCGGGUAUUACCUUCAGGAAGCCUGAACUCCCCAAAUAUUUUUUUUUCAUUUUUCUUUUUUUUUUUGGUCAAACUAACUCCAAAAGGUUGGAAAAGAGUUCCUACAAAGGUUUUGGACAGUGAUUUUAACCCUAACACCAAAAACCUUAAACCUUUCCCCAGUCCCAAAACCUAAUACCUGGGUAUUACCUUCAGGGAGCCCGAAAACCCCCAAUAAUAUUUUUUUCUUUUUUCAUAUUUUUUGGUCUAACUAACUCCAAAAGGUUGGAAAAGAGUUCCUACAAAGGUUUUGGACAGUGAUUUUAACCCUAACGCCAAAAACCUUAAACCUUACCCUAGCCUUAAAAUCUAAUACCCGGGUAUUACCUUCAGGAAGCCUGAACACCCCAAAUAUUUUUUUUUCAUUUUUCAUUUUUGUUGGUGUAACCAACUCCAAAAGGUUGGAAAAGAGUUCCUACAAAGGUUUUGGACAGUGAUUUUAACCCUAACGCCAAAAAACUUAAACCUGACCAUAGCCCCAAAACCUAAUACCCGGGUAUUACUUUCAGGGAGCCCGAAAACCCCCAAUAAUAUUUUUUUCUUUUUUCAUAUUUUUUGGUCUAACUAACUCCAAAAGGUUGGAAAAGAGUUCCUACAAAGGUUUUGGACAGUGAUUUUAACCCUAACGCCAAAAACCUUAAACCUUACCCUAGCCUUAAAAUCUAAUACCCGGGUAUUACCUUCAGGAAGCCUGAACACCCCAAAUAUUUUUUUCUUCAUUUUACAUUUUUGUUGGUGUAACCAACUCCAAAAGGUUGGAAAAGAGUUCCUACAAAGGUUUUGGACAGUGAUUUUAACCCUAACGCCAAAAAACUUAAACCUUUCCCUGGCCUUAAAAUCUAAUACCCGGGUAUUACAUUCAGGAAGCCUGAACACCCCAAAUAUUUUUUUCUUCAUUUUACAUUUUUGUUGGUUCAACCACCUCCAAAAGGUUGGAAAAGAGUUCCUACAAAGGUUUUGGACAGUGAUUGUAACCCUAACGCCAAAAAACUUAAACCUUACCCUAGCCUUAAAAUCUAAUACCCGGGUAUUACAUUAAGGAAGCCCGUGAACCCCAAAUAUUUUUUUUUCAUUUUUCAUUUUUUUUUGGUCUAACUAACUCCAAAAGGUUGAAAAAGAGUUCCUACAAAGGUUUUGGACAGUGAUUUUAACCCUAACGCCAAAAACCUUAAACCUUACCAUAGCCCCAUAACCUAAUACCCGGGUAUUACUUUUAGGAAGCCUGAACACCCCAAAUAUUUUUUUUUCAUUUUUCUUUUUUUUUUUUGGUCUAACUAACUCCAAAAGGUUGGAAAAGAGUUCCUACAAAGGUUUUGGACAGUGAUUUUAACCCUAACGCCAAAAACCUUAAACCUUUCCCUAGUCCCAAAACCUAAUACACGGGUAUUACUUUCAGGGAGCCCGAAAACCCCCAAUAAUAUUUUUUUCUUUUUUCAUAUUUUUUGGUCUAACUAACUCCAAAAGGUUGGAAAAGAGUUCCUACAAAGGUUUUGGACAGUGAUUUUAACCCUUACGCAAAAAACCUUAAACCUUACCCUAGCCUUGAAAUCUAAUACCCGGGUAUUACCUUCAGGAAGCCUGAACACCCCAAAUAUUUUUUUCUUCAUUUUACAUUUUUGUUGGUGUAACCAACUCCAAAAGGUUGGAAAAGAGUUCCUACAAAGGUUUUGGACAGUGAUUUUAACCCUAAUGCCAAAAACCUUAAACCUUACCAUAGCCUCAAAAUCUAAUACCCGGGUAUUACAUUCAGGAACCCCGAAAACCCCAAAUAUUGUUUUUUAAUUUUUCAUUUUUUUUUGGUCUAACUAACUCCAAAAGGUUGGAAAAGAGUUCCUACAAAGGUUUUGGAAAGUGAUUUUAACCCUAACGCCAAAAAACUUAAACCUUACCCUAGCCUUAAAAUCUAAUACCCGGGUAUUACAUUAAGGAAGCCCAAACACCCCAAAUAUUUUUUUUUCAUUUUACUUUUUUGUUGUUGUAACCAACUCCAAAAGGUUGGAAAAGAGUUCCUACAAAGGUUUUGGACAGUGAUUUUAACCCUAACGCCAAAAAACUUAAACCUUUCCCUAGCCCCAUAACCUAAUUCCCGGGUAUUACCUUCAGGAAGCCCGAACACCCCAAAUAUUUGUUUUUCAUUUUACAUUUUUGUUGGUGUAACCAACUCCAAAAGGUUGGAAAAGAGUUCCUACAAAGGUUUUGGACAGUGAUUUUAACCCUAACGCCAAAAAACUUAAACCUUACCCUGGCAUUAAAAUCUAAUACCCGGGUAUUACAUUAAGGAAGCCUGAACACCCCAAAUAUUUUUUUUUCAUUUUUCAUUUUUUUUGGUCUAACUAACUCCAAAAGGUUGGAAAAGAGUUCCUACAAAGGUUUUGGACAGUGAUUUUAACCCUAACGCCAAAAACCUUAAACCUUUCCCCAGUCCCAAAACCUAAUACCUGGGUAUUACCUUCAGGGAGCCCGAAAACCCCCAAUAAUAUUUUUUUCUUUUUUCAUAUUUUUUGGUCUAACUAACUCCAAAAGGUUGGAAAAGAGUUCCUACAAAGGUUUUGGACAGUGAUUUUAACCCUAACGCCAAAAACCUUAAACCUUACCCUAGCCUUAAAAUCUAAUACCCGGGUAUUACCUUCAGGAAGCCUGAACACCCCAAAUAUUUUUUUUUCAUUUUUCUUUUUUUUUGGUCUAACUAACUCCAAAAGGUUGGAAAAGAGUUCCUACAAAGGUUUUGGACAGUGAUUUUAACCCUAACGCCAAAAAACUUAAACCUUACCAUAGCCCCAAAACCUAAUACCCGGGUAUUACUUUCAGGGAGCCCGAAAACCCCCAAUAAUAUUUUUUUCUUUUUUCAUAUUUUUUGGUCUAACUAACUCCAAAAGGUUGGAAAAGAGUUCCUACAAAGGUUUUGGACAGUGAUUUUAACCCUUACGCCAAAAACCUUAAACCUUACCCUAGCCUUAAAAUCUAAUACCCGGGUAUUACCUUCAGGAAGCCUGAACACCCCAAAUAUUUUUUUCUUCAUUUUACAUUUUUGUUGGUGUAACCAACUCCAAAAGGUUGGAAAAGAGUUCCUACAAAGGUUUUGGACAGUGAUUUUAACCCUAAUGCCAAAAACCUUAAACCUUACCAUAGCCUCAAAAUCUAAUACCCGGGUAUUACAUUCAGGAACCCCGAAAACCCCAAAUAUUGUUUUUUAAUUUUUCAUUUUUUUUUGGUCUAACUAACUCCAAAAGGUUGGAAAAGAGUUCCUACAAAGGUUUUGGAAAGUGAUUUUAACCCUAACGCCAAAAAACUUAAACCUUACCCUAGCCUUAAAAUCUAAUACCCGGGUAUUACAUUAAGGAAGCCCAAACACCCCAAAUAUUUUUUUUUUCAUUUUACUUUUUUGUUGUUGUAACCAACUCCAAAAGGUUGGAAAAGAGUUCCUACAAAGGUUUUGGACAGUGAUUUUAACCCUAACGCCAAAAAACUUAAACCUUUCCCUAGCCCCAUAACCUAAUUCCCGGGUAUUACCUUCAGGAAGCCCGAACACCCCAAAUAUUUGUUUUUCAUUUUACAUUUUUGUUGGUGUAACCAACUCCAAAAGGUUGGAAAAGAGUUCCUACAAAGGUUUUGGACAGUGAUUUUAACCCUAACGCCGAAAAACUUAAACCUUACCCUGGCAUUAAAAUCUAAUACCCGGGUAUUACAUUAAGGAAGCCUGAACACCCCAAAUAUUUUUUUUUCAUUUUUCAUUUUUUUUGGUCUAACUAACUCCAAAAGGUUGGAAAAGAGUUCCUACAAAGGUUUUGGACAGUGAUUUUAACCCUAACGCCAAAAACCUUAAACCUUUCCCCAGUCCCAAAACCUAAUACCUGGGUAUUACCUUCAGGGAGCCCGAAAACCCCCAAUAAUAUUUUUUUCUUUUUUCAUAUUUUUUGGUCUAACUAACUCCAAAAGGUUGGAAAAGAGUUCCUACAAAGGUUUUGGACAGUGAUUUUAACCCUAACGCCAAAAACCUUAAACCUUACCCUAGCCUUAAAAUCUAAUACCCGGGUAUUACCUUCAGGAAGCCUGAACACCCCAAAUAUUUUUUUUUUCAUUUUUCAUUUUUUUUGGUCUAACUAACUCCAAAAGGUUGGAAAAGAGUUCCUACAAAGGUUUUGGACAGUGAUUUUAACCCUAACGCCAAAAAACUUAAACCUUACCCUGGCCUUAAAAUCUAAUACCUGGGUAUUACUUUCAGGAAGCCCGAACACCCCAAAUAUUUUUUUUUUUCAUUUUACAUUUUUUUUGGUCACCUAACUCCAAAAGGUUGGAAAAGAGUUCCUACAAAGGUUUUGGACAGUGAUUUUAACCCUAACGCCAAAAAACUUAAACCUUACCCUAGCCUUAAAAUCUAAUACCCGGGUAUUACCUUCAGGAAGCCCGAAAACCCCAAAUAUUUUUUUUUCAUUUUUCAUUUUUUUUGGUCUAACUAACUCCAAAAGGUUGGAAAAGAGUUCCUACAAAGGUUUUGGACAGUGAUUUUAACCCUAACGCCAAAAACCUUAAACCUUACCAUAGCCCCAUAACCUAAUACCCGGGUAUUACUUUUAGGAAGCCUGAACACCCCAAAUAUUUUUUUUUUUCAUUUUUCAUUUUUUUUGGUCUAACUAACUCCAAAAGGUUGGAAAAGAGUUCCUACAAAGGUUUUGGACAGUGAUUUUAACCCUAACGCCAAAAACCUUAAACCUUACCCUAGCCCUUGAAAUCUAAUACCCGGGUAUUACCUUCAGGAAGCCUGAACACCCCAAAUAUUUUUUUCUUUUUUCAUUUUUUUGGUCUAACCAACUCCAAAAGGUUGGAAAAGAGUUCCUACAAAGGUUUUGGACAGUGAUUUUAACCCUAACGCCAAAAAACCUUAAACCUUACCCUAGCCUUAAAAUCUAAUACCCGGGUAUUACCUUCAGGAAGCCUGAACACCCCAAAUAUUUUUUUUUCAUUUUUCUUUUUUUUUUGGUCUAACUAACUCCAAAAGGUUGGAAAAGAGUUCCUACAAAGGUUUUGGACAGUGAUUUUAACCCUAACGCCAAAAACCUUAAACCUUACCCUAGCCCCAUAACCUAAUACCCGGGUAUUACAUUCAGGAACCCCGAAAACCCCAAAUAUUGUUUUUUAAUUUUUCAUUUUUUUUUGGUCUAACUAACUCCAAAAGGUUGGAAAAGAGUUCCUACAAAGGUUUUGGACAGUGAUUUUAACCCUAACGCCAAAAAACUUAAACCUUACCAUAGCCCCAUAACCUAAUACCUGGGUAUUACUUUUAGGAAGCCUGAACACCCCAAAUAUUUUUUUUUCAUUUUUCUUUUUUUUUUGGUCUAACCAACUCCAAAAGGUUGGAAAAGAGUUCCUACAAAGGUUUUGGACAGUGAUUUUAACCCUAACGCCAAAAACCUUAAACCUUACCAUAGCCCCAAAAUCUAAUACCCGGGUAUUACUUUCAGGAAGCCCGAACACCCCAAAUAUUUUUUUUUCAUUUUACAUUUUUUUUGGUGUAACUAACUCCAAAAGGUUGGAAAAGAGUUCCUACAAAGGUUUUGGACAGUGAUUUUAACCCUAACGCCAAAAAACUUAAACCUUACCCUAGCCUUAAAAUCUAAUACCCGGGUAUUACUUUCAGGAAGCCCGAAAACCCCAAAUAUUUUUUUUUCAUUUUUUCAUUUUUUUUUGGUCUAACUAACUCCAAAAGGUUGGAAAAGAGUUCCUACAAAGGUUUUGGACAGUGAUUUUAACCCUAACGCCAAAAACCUUAAACCUUACCAUAGCCCCAUAACCUAAUACCCGGGUAUUACUUUUAGGAAGCCUGAACACCCCAAAUAUUUUUUUUUCAUUUUUCAUUUUUUUUUUGGUCUAACUAACUCCAAAAGGUUGGAAAAGAGUUCCUACAAAGGUUUUGGACAGUGAUUUUAACCCUAACGCCAAAAAACUUAAACCUUACCCUAGCCUUAAAAUCUAAUACCCGGGUAUUACCUUCAGGAAGCCUGAACACCCCAAAUAUUUUUUUUUCAUUUUUCUUUUUUUUUGGUCUAACUAACUCCAAAAGGUUGGAAAAGAGUUCCUACAAAGGUUUUGGACAGUGAUUUUAACCCUAACGCCAAAAACCUUAAACCUUACCCUAGCCCCAUAACCUAAUACCCGGGUAUUACCUUCAGGAAGCCUGAACACCCCAAAUAUUUGUUUUUCAUUUUACAUUUUUGUUGGUCUAACUAACUCCAAAAGGUUGGAAAAGAGUUCCUACAAAGGUUUUGGACAGUGAUUUUAACCCUAACGCCAAAAAACUUAAACCUUACCCUGGCAUUAAAAUCUAAUACCCGGGUAUUACUUUUAGGAAGCCUGAACACCCCAAAUAUUUUUUUUUCAUUUUUCAUUUUUUUUGGUCUAACUAACUCCAAAAGGUUGGAAAAGAGUUCCUACAAAGGUUUUGGACAGUGAUUUUAACCCUAACGCCAAAAACCUUAAACCUUACCAUAGCCCCAUAACCUAAUACCCGGGUAUUACUUUUAGGAAGCCUGAACACCCCAAAUAUUUUUUUUUCAUUUUUCUUUUUUUUUGGUCUAACUAACUCCAAAAGGUUGGAAAAGAGUUCCUACAAAGGUUUUGGACAGUGAUUUUAACCCUAACGCCAAAAACCUUAAACCUUACCCUAGCCUUAAAAUCUAUUACCCGGGUAUUACCUUCAGGAAGCCCGAACACCCCAAAUAUUUUUUUCUUCAUUUUACAUUUUUGUUGGUGUAACCAACUCCAAAAGGUUGGAAAAGAGUUCCUACAAAGGUUUUGGACAGUGAUUUUAACCCUAACGCCAAAAACCUUAAAACUUACCAUAGCCCCAUAACCUAAUUCCCGGGUAUUACCUUCAGGAAGCCCGAACACCCCAAAUAUUUUUUUUUUCAUUUUUCAUUUUUUUUGGUCUAACCAACUCCAAAAGGUUGGAAAAGAGUUCCUACAAAGGUUUUGGACAGUGAUUUUAACCCUAACGCCAAAAACCUUAAACCUUACCAUAGCCCCAUAACCUAAUACCUGGAUAUUACUUUUAGGAAGCCUGAACACCCCAAAUAUUUGUUUUUCAUUUUACAUUUUUGUUGGUGUAACCAACUCCAAAAGGUUGGAAAAGAGUUCCUACAAAGGUUUUGGACAGUGAUAUUAACCCUAACGCCAAAAACCUUAAACCUUACCAUGGCCCCAUAACCUAAUACCCAGGUAUUACUUUUAGGAAGCCCGAACACCCCAAAUAUUUGUUUUUCAUUUUACAUUUUUGUUUGUGUAACCAACUCCAAAAGGUUGGAAAAGAGUUCCUACAAAGGUUUUGGACAGUGAUUUUAACCCUAACGCCAAAAACCUUAAACCUUACCCUAGCCCCAUAACCUAAUUCCCGGGUAUUACCUUCAGGAAGCCCGAACACCCCAAAUAUUUGUUUUUCAUUUUACAUUUUUGUUUGUGUAACCAACUCCAAAAGGUUGGAAAAGAGUUCCUACAAAGGUUUUGGACAGUGAUUUUAACCCUAACGCCAAAAACCUUAAACCUUACCAUAGCCCCAUAACCUAAUACCCGGGUAUUACUUUUAGGAAGCCUGAACACCCCAAAUAUUUUUUUUUCAUUUUUCUUUUUUUUUUGGUCUAACUAACUCCAAAAGGUUGGAAAAGAGUUCCUACAAAGGUUUUGGACAGUGAUUUUAACCCUAACGCCAAAAACCUUAAAACUUACCCUAGCCCCAUAACCUAAUUCCCGGGUAUUACCUUCAGGAAGCCCGAACACCCCAAAUAUUUUUUUUUUUCAUUUUACAUUUUUGUUGGUGUAACCAACUCCAAAAGGUUGGAAAAGAGUUCCUACAAAGGUUUUGGACAGUGAUUUUAACCCUAACGCCAAAAACCUUAAACCUUACCCUAGCCCCAUAACCUAAUACCCGGGUAUUACUUUUAGGAAGCCUGAACACCCCAAAUAUUUUUUUUUCAUUUUUCAUUUUUUUGGUCUAACUAACUCCAAAAGGUUGGAAAAGAGUUCCUACAAAGGUUUUGGACAGUGAUUUUAACCCUAACGCCAAAAACCUUAAACCUUACCAUAGCCCCAUAACCUAAUACCCGGGUAUUACAUUAAGGAAGCCCGAACACCCCAAAUAUUUUUUUUUCAUUUUUCAUUUUUUUUGGUCUAACUAACUCCAAAAGGUUGGAAAAGAGUUCCUACAAAGGUUUUGGACAGUGAUUUUAACCCUAACGCCAAAAACCUUAAACCUUACCAUAGCCCCAUAACCUAAUACCUGGAUAUUACUUUUAGGAAGCCUGAACACCCCAAAUAUUUUUUUUUCAUUUUUCUUUUUUUUUUGGUCUAACUAACUCCAAAAGGUUGGAAAAGAGUUCCUACAAAGGUUUUGGACAGUGAUUUUAACCCUAACGCCAAAAACCUUAAAACUUACCCUAGCCCCAUAACCUAAUUCCCGGGUAUUACCUUCAGGAAGCCCGAACACCCCAAAUAUUUGUUUUUCAUUUUACAUUUUUGUUGGUGUAACCAACUCCAAAAGGUUGGAAAAGAGUUCCUACAAAGGUUUUGGACAGUGAUUUUAACCCUAACGCCAAAAACCUUAAACCUUACCUAGCCCCAUAACCUAAUACCCGGGUAUUACCUUCAGGAAGCCCGAACACCCCAAAUAUUUUUUUUUCAUUUUUCAUUCUUUUUUGGUCUAACUAACUCCAAAAGGUUGGAAAAGAGUUCCUACAAAGGUUUUGGACAGUGAUUUUAACCCUAACGCCAAAAACCUUAAACCUUACCAUGGCCCCAUAACCUAAUACCCGGGUAUUACUUUUAGGAAGCCUGAACACCCCAAAUAUAUAUAUUUUUCAUUUUACAUUUUUGUUGGUGUAACCAACUCCAAAAGGUUGGAAAAGAGUUCCUACAAAGGUUUUGGACAGUGAUUUUAACCCUAACGCCAAAAAACUUAAACCUUACCCUAGCCUUGAAAUCUAAUACCCGGGUAUUACCUUCAGGAAGCCUGAACACCCCAAAUAUUUUUUUUUCAUUUUUCUUUUUUUUUGGUCUAACUAACUCCAAAAGGUUGGAAAAGAGUUCCUACAAAGGUUUUGGACAGUGAUUUUAACCCUAACGCCAAAAACCUUAAACCUUUCCCUAGUCCCAAAACCUAAUACCCGGGUAUUACUUUCAGGGAGCCCGAAAACCCCCAAUAAUAUUUUUUUCUUUUUUCAUAUUUUUUGGUCUAACUAACUCCAAAAGGUUGGAAAAGAGUUCCUACAAAGGUUUUGGACAGUGAUUUUAACCCUAACGCCAAAAACCUUAAACCUUUCCCUAGCCUUGAAAUCUAAUACCCGGGUAUUACCUUCAGGAAGCCUGAACACCCCAAAAUAUUUUUUUUUCAUUUUACAUUUUUGUUGGUGUAACCAACUCCAAAAGGUUGGAAAAGAGUUCCUACAAAGGUUUUGGACAGUGAUUUUAACCCUAACGCCAAAAAACUUAAACCUUACCCUAGCCUCAAAAUCUAAUUCCCGGGUAUUACAUUCAGGAACCCCGAAAACCCCAAAUAUUUUUUUUUUUUUUUUCAUUUUUUUUUGGUCUAACUAACUCCAAAAGGUUGGAAAAGAGUUCCUACAAAGGUUUUGGACAGUGAUUUUAACCCUAACGCCAAAAAACUUAAACCUUACCAUAGCCCCAUAACCUAAUACCCGGGUAUUACCUUCAGGAAGCCCAAACACCCCAAAUAUUUUUUUUUCAUUUUACUUUUUUGUUGUUGUAACCAACUCCAAAAGGUUGGAAAAGAGUUCCUACAAAGGUUUUGGACAGUGAUUUUAACCCUAAUGCCAAAAAACUUAAACCUUACCCUGGCAUUAAAAUCUAAUACCCGGGUAUUACAUUCAGGAAGCCUGAACACCCCAAAUAUUUUUUUUUUUCAUUUUUCAUUUUUUUUGGUCUAACUAACUCCAAAAGGUUGGAAAAGAGUUCCUACAAAGGUUUUGGACAGUGAUUUUAACCCUAACGCCAAAAACCUUAAACCUUACCAUAGCCCCAUAACCUAAUACCCGGGUAUUACUUUCAGGGAGCCCGAAAACCCCCAAUAAUAUUUUUUUCUUUUUUCAUAUUUUUUGGUCUAACUAACUCCAAAAGGUUGGAAAAGAGUUCCUACAAAGGUUUUGGACAGUGAUUUUAACCCUAACGCCAAAAACCUUAAACCUUACCAUAGCCCCAUAACCUAAUACCCGGGUAUUACUUUUAGGAAGCCUGAACACCCCAAAUAUUUUUUUUUCAUUUUUCUUUUUUUUUUGGUCUAACUAACUCCAAAAGGUUGGAAAAGAGUUCCUACAAAGGUUUUGGACAGUGAUUUUAACCCUAACGCCAAAAACCUUAAACCUUACCAAAGCCCCAUAACCUAAUACCCGGGUAUUACUUUUAGGAAGCCUGAACACCCCAAAUAUUUUUUUUUCAUUUUUCUUUUUUUUUUGGUCAAACUAACUCCAAAAGGUUGGAAAUGUUCCUACAAAGGUUUUGGACAGUGAUUUUAACCCUAACGCCAAAAACCUUAAACCUUAUUACCUUCAGGAAGCCUGAACACCCCAAAUAUUUUUUUCUUUUUUCAUAUUUUUUGGUCUAACUAACUCCAAAAGGUUGGAAAAGAGUUCCUACAAAGGUUUUGGACAGUGAUUUUAACCCUAACGCCAAAAACCUUAAACCUUACCCUAGCCUUGAAAUCUAAUACCCGGGUAUUACCUUCAGGAAGCCUGAACACCCAAAAUAUUUUUUUCUUCAUCUUACAUUUUUGUUGGUGUAACCAACUCCAAAAGGUUGGAAAAGAGUUCCUACAAAGGUUUUGGACAGUGAUUUUAACCCUAACGCCAAAAAACUUAAACCUUACCCUAGCCUUAAAAUCUAAUACCCGGGUAUUACAUUCAGGAAGCCCGAAAACCCCAAAUAUAUAUUUUUUCAUUUUUCAUUUUUUUUGGUCUAACUAACUCCAAAAGGUUGGAAAAGAGUUCCUACAAAGGUUUUGGACAGUGAUUUUAACCCUAACGCCAAAAACUUAAACCUUACCCUAGCCUUAAAAUCUAAUACCCGGGUAUUACAUUCAGGAAGCCCGAAAACCCCAAAUAUUUUUUUUUUCAUUUUUCAUUUUUUUUUGGUCUAACUAACUCCAAAAGGUUGGAAAAGAGUUCCUACAAAGGUUUUGGACAGUGAUUUUAACCCUAACGCCAAAAACCUUAAACCUUACCCUAGCCUCAAAAUCUAAUACCCGGGUAUUACUUUCAGGGAGCACGAAAACCCCCAUUGAUUUUUUUUCUUUUUUCAUUUUUUUUGGUCUAACUAACUCCAAAAGGUUGGAAAAGAGUUCCUACAAAGGUUUUGGACAGUGAUUUUAACCCUAACGCCAAAAACCUUAAACCUUACCCUAGCCUUAAAAUCUACCUUCGGGCUACCUUCAGGAAGCCCGAACACCCCAAAUAUUUUUUUCUUCAUUUUACAUUUUUGUUGGUGUAACCAACUCCAAAAGGUUGGAAAAGAGUUCCUACAAAGGUUUUGGACAGUGAUUUUAACCCUAACGCCAAAAAACUUAAACCUUACCCUAGCCUUAAAAUCUAAUACCCGGGUAUUACAUUCAGGAACCCCUAAAACCCCAAAUAUUGUUUUUUAAUUUUUCAUUUUUUUUUUGGUCUAACUAACUCCAAAAGGUUGGAAAAGAGUUCCUACAAAGGUUUUGGACAGUGAUUUUAACCCUAACGCCAAAAACCUUAAACCUUACUCUAGCCCCAUAACCUAAUACCCGGGUAUUACUUUUAGGAAGCCUGAACACCCCAAAUAUUUUUUUUUCAUUUUUCUUUUUUUUUUUGGUCUAACUAACUCCAAAAGGUUGGAAAAGAGUUCCUACAAAGGUUUUGGACAGUGAUUUUAACCCUAACGCCAAAAACCUUAAACCUUACCCUAGCCUUGAAAUCUAAUACCCGGGUAUUACAUUCAGGAAGCCCGAAAACCCCAAAUAUAUAUUUUUUCAUUUUUCAUUUUUUUUGGUCUAACUAACUCCAAAAGGUUGGAAAAGAGUUCCUACAAAGGUUUUGGACAGUGAUUUUAACCCUAACGCCAAAAAACUUAAACCUUACCCUAGCCUUAAAAUCUAAUACCCGGGUAUUACCUUCAGGAAGCCCGAACACCCCAAAUAUAUAUUUUUUCAUUUUUCUUUUUUUUUUUGGUCAAACUAACUCCAAAAGGUUGGAAAAGAGUUCCUACAAAGGUUUUGGACAGUGAUUUUAACCCUAACGCCAAAAACCUUAAACCUUACCAUAGCCCCAUAACCUAAUACCCGGGUAUUACUUUUAGGAAGCCUGAACACCCCAAAUAUUUUUUUUCAUUUUUUUUUUUUUUGGUCUAACUAACUCCAAAAGGUUGGAAAAGAGUUCCUACAAAGGUUUUGGACAGUGAUUUUAACCCUAACGCCAAAAACCUUAAACCUUACCCUAGCCGAUAAAUCUAAUACCCGGGUAUUACCUUCAGGAAGCCUGAACACCCCAAAUAUAUUUUUUUUCUUUUUUCAUAUUUUUUGGUCUAACUAACUCCAAAAGGUUGGAAAAGAGUUCCUACAAAGGUUUUGGACAGUGAUUUUAACCCUAACGCCAAAAACCUUAAACCUUACCCUAGCCUUGAAAUCUAAUACCCGGGUAUUACAUUCAGGAACCCCGAAAACCCCAAAUAUUGUUUUUUAAUUUUUCAUUUUUUUUUGGUCUAACUAACUCCAAAAGGUUGGAAAAGAGUUCCUACAAAGGUUUUGGACAGUGAUUUUAACCCUAACGCCAAAAACCUUAAACCUUACCAUAGCCCCAUAACCUAAUACCCGGGUAUUACUUUUAGGAAGCCUGAACACCCCAAAUAUUUUUUUUUCAUUUUUCAUUUUUUUUGGUCUAACUAACUCCAAAAGGUUGGAAAAGAGUUCCUACAAAGGUUUUGGACAGUGAUUUUAACCCUAACGCCAAAAACCUUAAACCUUACCCUAGCCUUGAAAUCUAAUACCCGGGUAUUACCUUCAGGAAGCCUGAACACCCCAAAUAUUUUUUUCUUUUUUCAUAUUUUUUGGUCUAACUAACUCCAAAAGGUUGGAAAAGAGUUCCUACAAAGGUUUUGGACAGUGAUUUUAACCCUAACGCCAAAAACCUUAAACCUUACCAUAGCCCCAUAACCUAAUACCCGGGUAUUACUUUUAGGAAGCCUGAACACCCCAAAUAUUUUUUUUUCAUUUUUCUUUUUUUUUUUGGUCUAACUAACUCCAAAAGGUUGGAAAAGAGUUCCUACAAAGGUUUUGGACAGUGAUUUUAACCCUAACGCCAAAAAACUUAAACCUUACCCUAGCCUUAAAAUCUAAUACCCGGGUAUUACAUUCAGGAAGCCCGAAAACCCCAAAUAUAUAUUUUUUUUUUUUUCAUUUUUUUUGGUCUAACUAACUCCAAAAGGUUGGAAAAGAGUUCCUACAAAGGUUUUGGACAGUGAUUUUAACCCUAACGCCAAAAAACUUAAACCUUACCCUAGCCUUAAAAUCUAAUACCCGGGUAUUACAUUCAGGAAGCCCGAAAACCCCAAAUAUAUAUUUUUUCAUUUUUCUUUUUUUUUUGGUCUAACUAACUCCAAAAGGUUGGAAAAGAGUUCCUACAAAGGUUUUGGACAGUGAUUUUAACCCUAACGCCAAAAACCUUAAACCUUACCCUAGCCCCAUAACCUAAUACCCGGGUAUUACUUUUAGGAAGCCUGAACACCCCAAAUAUUUUUUUUUCAUUUUUCUUUUUUUUUUGGUCUAACUAACUCCAAAAGGUUGGAAAAGAGUUCCUACAAAGGUUUUGGACAGUGAUUUUAACCCUAACGCCAAAAACCUUAAACCUUACCCUAGCCUUGAAAUCUAAUACCCGGGUAUUACCUUCAGGAAGCCUGAACACCCCAAAUAUUUUUUUCUUUUUUCAUAUUUUUUGGUCUAACUAACUCCAAAAGGUUGGAAAAGAGUUCCUACAAAGGUUUUGGACAGUGAUUUUAACCCUAACGCCAAAAACCUUAAACCUUACCCUAGCCUUGAAAUCUAAUACCCGGGUAUUACAUUCAGGAACCCCGAAAACCCCAAAUAUUGUUUUUUAAUUUUUCAUUUUUUUUUGGUCUAACUAACUCCAAAAGGUUGGAAAAGAGUUCCUACAAAGGUUUUGGACAGUGAUUUUAACCCUAACGCCAAAAACCUUAAACCUUACCAUAGCCCCAUAACCUAAUACCCGGGUAUUACUUUUAGGAAGCCUGAACACCCCAAAUAUUUUUUUUUCAUUUUUCAUUUUUUUUGGUCUAACUAACUCCAAAAGGUUGGAAAAGAGUUCCUACAAAGGUUUUGGACAGUGAUUUUAACCCUAACGCCAAAAACCUUAAACCUUACCCUAGCCUUAAAAUCUAAUACCCGGGUAUUACCUUCAGGAAGCCUGAACACCCCAAAUAUUUUUUUCUUUUUUCAUAUUUUUUGGUCUAACUAACUCCAAAAGGUUGGAAAAGAGUUCCUACAAAGGUUUUGGACAGUGAUUUUAACCCUAACGCCAAAAACCUUAAACCUUACCCUAGCCUUGAAAUCUAAUACCCGGGUAUUACAUUCAGGAACCCCGAAAACCCCAAAUAUUGUUUUUUAAUUUUUCAUUUUUUUUUGGUCUAACUAACUCCAAAAGGUUGGAAAAGAGUUCCUACAAAGGUUUUGGACAGUGAUUUUAACCCUAACGCCAAAAACCUUAAACCUUACCCUAGCCCCAUAACCUAAUACCCGGGUAUUACCUUCAGGAAGCCUGAACACCCCAAAUAUUUUUUUUUUCAUUUUUCUUUUUUGGUCUAACCAACUCCAAAAGGUUGGAAAAGAGUUCCUACAAAGGUUUUGGACAGUGAUUUUAACCCUAACGCCAAAAAACUUAAACCUUACCCUAGCCUUAAAAUCUAAUACCCGGGUAUUACUUUCAGGAAGCCCGAACACCCCAAAUAUUUUUUUUUCAUUUUACAUUUUUUUUGGUGUAACCAACUCCAAAAGGUUGGAAAAGAGUUCCUACAAAGGUUUUGGACAGUGAUUUUAACCCUAAUGCCAAAAAACUUAAACCUUACCCUAGCCUUAAAAUCUAAUACCCGGGUAUUACAUUCAGGAAGCCCGAAAACCCCCAAUAUAUUUUUUUUCAUUUUUCAUUUUUUUUUGGUUAACUAACUCCAAAAGGUUGGAAAAGAGUUCCUACAAAGGUUUUGGACAGUGAUUUUAACCCUAACGCCAAAAACCUUAAACCUUACCAUAGCCCCAUAACCUAAUACCCAGGUAUUACUUUUAGGAAGCCUGAACACCCCAAAUAUUUUUUUUUUCAUUUUUCUUUUUUUUUUGGUCUAACUAACUCCAAAAGGUUGGAAAAGAGUUCCUACAAAGGUUUUGGACAGUGAUUUUAACCCUAACGCCAAAAAACUUAAACCUUACCCUAGCCUUAAAAUCUAAUACCCGGGUAUUACAUUCAGGAAGCCCGAACACCCCAAAUAUUUUUUUUUUCAUUUUACAUUUUUUUUUGGUGUAACCAACUCCAAAAGGUUGGAAAAGAGUUCCUACAAAGGUUUUGGACAGUGAUUUUAACCCUAACGCCAAAAACCUUAAACCUUACCCUAGCCUUGAAAUCUAAUACCCGGGUAUUACCUUCAGGAAGCCUGAACACCCAAAAUAUUUUUUUCUUUUUUCAUAUUUUUUGGUCUAACUAACUCCAAAAGGUUGGAAAAGAGUUCCUACAAAGGUUUUGGACAGUGAUUUUAACCCUAACGCCAAAAACCUUAAACCUUACCCUAGCCUUGAAAUCUAAUACCCGGGUAUUACAUUCAGGAAGCCUGAACACCCCAAAUAUUUUUUUUUAAUUUUUCAUUUUUUUUGGUCUAACUAACUCCAAAAGGUUGGAAAAGAGUUCCUACAAAGGUUUUGGACAGUGAUUUUAACCCUAACGCCAAAAAACUUAAACCUUACCAUAGCCCCAUAACCUAAUACCCUGGGUAUUACUUUUAGGAAGCCUGAACACCCCAAAUAUUUUUUUUUCAUUUUUCUUUUUUUUUGGUCUAACCAACUCCAAAAGGUUGGAAAAGAGUUCCUACAAAGGUUUUGGACAGUGAUUUUAACCCUAACGCCAAAAACCUUAAACCUUACCAUAGCCCCAUAACCUAAUACCCGGGUAUUACUUUUAGGAAGCCUGAACACCCCAAAUAUUUUUUUUUCAUUUUUCAUUUUUUUUGGUCUAACUAACUCCAAAAGGUUGGAAAAGAGUUCCUACAAAGGUUUUGGACAGUGAUUUUAACCCUAACGCCAAAAACCUUAAACCUUACCCUAGCCUUGAAAUCUAAUACUCGGGUAUUGCCUUCAGGAAGCCUGAACACCCCAAAUAUUUUUUUCAUUUUUCAUUCUUUUUUUGGUCUAACUAACUCCAAAAGGUUGGAAAAGAGUUCCUACAAAGGUUUUGGACAGUGAUUUUAACCCUAACGCCAAAAACCUUAAACCUUACCCUAGCCUUGAAAUCUAAUACCCGGGUAUUACAUUCAGGAAGCCUGAACACCCAAAAUAUUUUUUUCUUCAUCUUACAUUUUUGUUGGUGUAACCAACUCCAAAAGGUUGGAAAAGAGUUCCUACAAAGGUUUUGGACAGUGAUUUUAACCCUAACGCCAAAAAACCUUAAACCUUACCCUAGCCUCAAAAUCUAAUACCCGGGUAUUACUUUCAGGAACCCCGAAAACCCCAAAUAUUUUUUUUUAUUUUUUCAUUUUUUUUUGGUCUAACUAACUCCAAAAGGUUGGAAAAGAGUUCCUACAAAGGUUUUGGACAGUGAUUUUAACCCUAACGCCAAAAACCUUAAACCUUACCCUAGCCCCAUAACCUAAUUCCCGGGUAUUACCUUCAGGAAGCCCGAACACCCCAAAUAUUUGUUUUUCAUUUUACAUUUUUGUUGGUCUAACUAACUCCAAAAGGUUGGAAAAGAGUUCCUACAAAGGUUUUGGACAGUGAUUUUAACCCUAACGCCAAAAACCUUAAACCUUACCCUAGCAUUAAAAUCUAAUACCCGGGUAUUACUUUCAGGAACCCCGAAAACCCCAAAUAUUUUUUUUUUAUUUAUUCAUUUUUUUUUGGUGAAACCAACUCCAAAAGGUUGGAAAAGAGUUCCUACAAAGGUUUUGGACAGUGAUUUUAACCCUAAUGCCAAAAAACUUAAACCUUACCCUAGCCUCAAAAUCUAAUACCCGGGUAUUACAUUCAGGAAGCCCGAAAACCCCAAAUAUUUUUUUUUCAUUUUUCAUUUUUUUUGGUCUAACUAACUCCAAAAGGUUGGAAAAGAGUUCCUACAAAGGUUUUGGACAGUGAUUUUAACCCUAACGCCAAAAAACUUAAACCUUACCCUAGCCCCAUAACCUAAUACCUGGAUAUUACUUUUAGGAAGCCUGAACACCCCAAAUAUUUUUUUUUCAUUUUUCUUUUUUUUUUUUGGUCAAACUAACUCCAAAAGGUUGGAAAAGAGUUCCUACAAAGGUUUUGGACAGUGAUUUUAACCCUAACGCCAAAAACCUUAAAACUUACCCUAGCCCCAUAACCUAAUACCCGGGUAUUACCUUCAGGAAGCCCGAACACCCCAAAUAUUUUUUUUUCAUUUUACAUUUUUGUUGGUGUUACCAACUCCAAAAGGUUGGAAAAGAGUUCCUACAAAGGUUUUGGACAGUGAUUUUAACCCUAACGCCAAAAACCUUAAACCUUACCCUGGCAUUAAAAUCUAAUACCCGGGUAUUACCUUCAGGAAGCCCAAACACCCCAAAUAUUUUUUUUUCAUUUUACUUUUUUGUUGUUGUAACCAACUCCAAAAGGUUGGAAAAGAGUUCCUACAAAGGUUUUGGACAGUGAUUUUAACCCUAACGCCAAAAACCUUAAACCUUUCCCUAGUCCCAAAACCUAAAACCCGGGUAUUACAUUCAGGAAGCCCGGAAACCCCAAAUAUUUUUUUUUUCAUUUUUCAUUCUUUUUUUGGUCUAACUAACUCCAAAAGGUUGGAAAAGAGUUCCUACAAAGGUUUUGGACAGUGAUUUUAAACCUAACUCCAAAACGUAAAACCUUACCAUAGCCCCAUAACCUAAUACCCGGGUAUUACUUUUAGGAAGCCUGAACACCCCAAAUAUUUUUUUUUCAUUUUUCAUUUUUUUUUUUGGUCUAACUAACUCCAAAAGGUUGGAAAAGAGUUCCUACAAAGGUUUUGGACAGUGAUUUUAACCCUAACGCCAAAAACCUUAAACCUUACCUAGUCCCAAAACCUUGUACCCGGGUAUUACUUUCAGGGAGCCCGAAAACCCCCAAUAAUUUUUUUUUUCUUUUUUCAUUUUUUUUGGUGUAACCAACUCCAAAAGGUUGGAAAAGAGUUCCUACAAAGGUUUUGGACAGUGAUUUUAACCCUAACGCCAAAAAACUUAAACCUUACCCUAGCCUUAAAAUCCUAAUACCGGGUAUUACCUUCAGGAAGCCCGAACACCCCAAAUAUUUUUUUUUCAUUUUACAUUUUUGUUGGUGUAACCAACUCCAAAAGGUUGGAAAAGAGUUCCUACAAAGGUUUUGGACAGUGAUUUUAACCCUAACGCCAAAAAACUUAAACCUUACCCUAGCCUUAAAAUCUAAUACCCGGGUAUUACAUUCAGGAAGCCCGAAAACCCCAAAUAUAUAUUUUUUCAUUUUUCUUUUUUUUUUUUGGUCUAACUAACUCCAAAAGGUUGGAAAAGAGUUCCUACAAAGGUUUUGGACAGUGAUUUUAACCCUAACGCCAAAAAACUUAAACCUUACCCUAGCCUUAAAAUCUAAUACCCGGGUAUUACAUUCAGGAAGCCCGAAAACCCCAAAUAUAUAUUUUUUCAUUUUUCAUUUUUUGGUCUAACUAACUCCAAAAGGUUGGAAAAGAGUUCCUACAAAGGUUUUGGACAGUGAUUUUAACCCUAACGCCAAAAAACUUAAACCUUACCCUAGCCUUAAAAUCUAAUACCCGGGUAUUACAUUCAGGAAGCCCGAAAACCCCAAAUAUAUAUUUUUUCAUUUUUCAUUUUUUUUCGGUCAAACUAACUCCAAAAGGUUGGAAAAGAGUUCCUACAAAGGUUUUGGACAGUGAUUUUAACCCUAACGCCAAAAACCUUAAACCUUACCCUAGCCAAAAAACCUAAUACCCGGGUAUUACAUUCAGGAAGCCCGGAAACCCCAAAUAUUUUUUUUUCAUUUUUCAUUCUUUUUUUGGUCUAACUAACUCCAAAAGGUUGGAAAAGAGUUCCUACAAAGGUUUUGGACAGUGAUUUUAACCCUAACGCCAAAAAACUUAAACCUUACCCUAGCCUUAAAAUCUAAUACCCGGGUAUUACAUUCAGGAAGCCAGAACACCCCAAAUAUUUUUUUUUCAUUUUUCAUUUUUUUUAACUAACUCCAAAAGGUUGGAAAAGAGUUCCUACAAAGGUUUUGGACAGUGAUUUUAACCCUAACGCCAAAAACCUUAAACCUUACCAUAGCCCCAUAACCUAAUGCCCAGGUAUUACUUUUAGGAAGCCUGAACACCCCAAAUAUUUUUUUUUUCAUUUUUCUUUUUUUUUUGGUCUAACUAACUCCAAAAGGUUGGAAAAGAGUUCCUACAAAGGUUUUGGACAGUGAUUUUAACCCUAACGCCAAAAACCUUAAACCUUACCCUAGCCUUGAAAUCUAAUACCCGGGUAUUACCUUCAGGAAGCCUGAACACCCCAAAAUAUUUUUUUUUCAUUUUACAUUUUUUUGGUGUAACCAACUCCAAAAGGUUGGAAAAGAGUUCCUACAAAGGUUUUGGACAGUGAUUUUAACCCUAACGCCAAAAAACUUAAACCUUACCCUAGCCUCAAAAUCUAAUACCCGGGUAUUACAUUCAGGAACCCCGAAAACCCCAAAUAUUGUUUUUUAAUUUUUCAUUUUUUUUUGGUCUAACUAACUCCAAAAGGUUGGAAAAGAGUUCCUACAAAGGUUUUGGACAGUGAUUUUAACCCUAACGCCAAAAACCUUAAACCUUACCCUAGCCCCAUAACCUAAUUCCCGGGUAUUACCUUCAGGAAGCCCGAACACCCCAAAUAUUUGUUUUUCAUUUUACAUUUUUGUUGGUGUAACCAACUCCAAAAGGUUGGAAAAGAGUUCCUACAAAGGUUUUGGACAGUGAUUUUAACCCUAACCCCUAAAAAUUUAAACCUUACCCUGGCAUUAAAAUCUAAUACCCGGGUAUUACAUUAAGGAAGCCUGAACACCCCAAAUAUUUCUUUUUCAUUUUUUAUUUUUUUUUGUCUAACUAACUCCAAAAGGUUGGAAAAGAGUUCCUACAAAGGUUUUGGACAGUGAUUUUAACCCUAACGCCAAAAACCUUAAACCUUUCCCUAGUCCCAAAACCUAAUACCCGGGUAUUACUUUCAGGGAGCCCGGAAACCCCCAAUAAUAUUUUUUUCUUUUUUCAUAUUUUUUUGGUCUAACUAACUCCAAAAGGUUGGAAAAGAGUUCCUACAAAGGUUUUGGACAGUGAUUUUAACCCUAACGCCAAAAACCUUAAACCUUACCCUAGCCUUAAAAUCUACCUUCGGGCUACCUUCAGGAAGCCCGAACACCCCAAAUAUUUUUUUCUUCAUUUUACAUUUUUGUUGGUGUAACCAACUCCAAAAGGUUGGAAAAGAGUUCCUACAAAGGUUUUGGACAGUGAUAUUAACCCUAACGCCAAAAACCUUAAAACUUACCAUAGCCCCAUAACCUAAUUCCCAGGUAUUACCUUCAGGAAGCCCGAACACCCCAAAUAUUUUUUUUUUCAUUUUUCAUUCUUUUUUGGUCUAACCAACUCCAAAAGGUUGGAAAAGAGUUCCUACAAAGGUUUUGGACAGUGAUUUUAACCCUAACGCCAAAAACCUUAAACCUUACCAUAGCCCCAUAACCUAAUACCCGGGUAUUACUUUUAGGAAGCCUGAACACCCCAAAUAUUUUUUUUUCAUUUUUCUUUUUUUUUUGGUCUAACUAACUCCAAAAGGUUGGAAAAGAGUUCCUACAAAGGUUUUGGACAGUGAUUUUAACCCUAACGCCAAAAACCUUAAAACUUACCCUAGCCCCAUAACCUAAUACCCGGGUAUUACUUUCAGGAAGCCCGAAAACCCCAAAUAUAUUUUUUUUCAUUUUUCUUUUUUUUUUGGUCUAACUAACUCCAAAAGGUUGGAAAAGAGUUCCUACAAAGGUUUUGGACAGUGAUUUUAACCCUAACGCCAAAAACCUUAAACCUUUCCCCAGUCCCAAAACCUAAUACCCGGGUAUUACCUUCAGGAAGCCCGAACACCCCAAAUAUUUGUUUUUCAUUUUACAUUUUUGUUGGUGUAACCAACUCCAAAAGGUUGGAAAAGAGUUCCUACAAAGGUUUUGGACAGUGAUUUUAACCCUAACGCCAAAAAACUUAAACCUUACCAUAGCUCCAUAACCUAAUACCCUGGGUAUUACUUUUAGGAAGCCUGAACACCCCAAAUAUUUUUUUUUAUUUUUCUUUUUUUUUUGGUCUAACUAACUCCAAAAGGUUGGAAAAGAGUUCCUACAAAGGUUUUGGACAGUGAUUUUAACCCUAACGCCAAAAAACUUAAACCUUACCCUAGCCCCAUAACCUAAUACCUGGGUAUUACUUUUAGGAAGCCUGAACACCCCAAAUAUUUUUUUUUUCAUUUUUCAUUUUUUUUUGGUCUAACCAACUCCAAAAGGUUGGAAAAGAGUUCCUACAAAGGUUUUGGACAGUGAUUUUAACCCUAACGCCAAAAACCUUAAACCUUACCGUAGCCUUAAAAUCUAAUACCCGGGUAUUACUUUCAGGAAGCCCGAACACCCCAAAUAUUUUUUUUUUCAUUUUACAUUUUUUUUGGUGUAACCAACUCCAAAAGGUUGGAAAAGAGUUCCUACAAAGGUUUUGGACAGUGAUUUUAACCCUAACGCCAAAAACCUUAAACCUUACCCUAGCCUUAAAAUCUAAUACCCGGGUAUUACAUUCAGGAACCCCGAAAACCCCAAAUAUAUUUUUUUUCUUUUUUCAUUUUUUUUGGUCUAACUAACUCCAAAAGGUUGGAAAAGAGUUCCUACAAAGGUUUUGGACAGUGAUUUUAACCCUAACGCCAAAAACCUUAAACCUUACCCUAGCCUUAAAAUCUACCUUCGGGCUACCUUCAGGAAGCCCGAACACCCCAAAUAUUUUUUUCUUCAUUUUACAUUUUUGUUGGUGUAACCAACUCCAAAAGGUUGGAAAAGAGUUCCUACAAAGGUUUUGGACAGUGAUUUUAACCCUAACGCCAAAAACCUUAAACCUUACCCUAGCCUUGAAAUCUAAUACCCGGGUAUUACCUUCAGGAAGCCUGAACACCCCAAAUAUUUUUUUCUUUUUUCAUAUUUUUUGGUCUAACUAACUCCAAAAGGUUGGAAAAGAGUUCCUACAAAGGUUUUGGACAGUGAUUUUAACCCUAACGCCAAAAACCUUAAACCUUUCCCCAGUCCCAAAACCUAAUACCCGGGUAUUACCUUCAGGAAGCCCGAACACCCCAAAUAUUUUUUUUUCAUUUUACAUUUUUUUUGGUCUAACUAACUCCAAAAGGUUGGAAAAGAGUUCCUACAAAGGUUUUGGACAGUGAUUUUAACCCUAACGCCAAAAACCUUAAACCUUUCCCCAGUCCCAAAACCUAAUACCCGGGUAUUACCUUCAGGAAGCCCGAACACCCCAAAUAUUUUUUUUUCAUUUUACAUUUUUUUUGGUCUAACUAACUCCAAAAGGUUGGAAAAGAGUUCCUACAAAGGUUUUGGACAGUGAUUUUAACCCUAACGCCAAAAACCUUAAACCUUACCCUAGCCUUAAAAUCUAAUACCCGGGUAUUACAUUCAGGAAGCCCGAAAACCCCAAAUAUUGUUUUUUCAUUUUUCAUUUUUUUUGGUCUAACUAACUCCAAAAGGUUGGAAAAGAGUUCCUACAAAGGUUUUGGACAGUGAUUUUAACCCUAACGCCAAAAACCUUAAACCUUACCCUAGCCUUAAAAUCUACCUUCGGGCUACCUUCAGGAAGCCCGAACACCCCAAAUAUUUUUUUCUUCAUUUUACAUUUUUGUUGGUGUAACCAACUCCAAAAGGUUGGAAAAGAGUUCCUACAAAGGUUUUGGACAGUGAUUUUAACCCUAACGCCAAAAACCUUAAACCUUACCCUAGCCUUGAAAUCUAAUACCCGGGUAUUACCUUCAGGAAGCCUGAACACCCCAAAUAUUUUUUUCAUUUUUCAUAUUUUUUGGUCUAACUAACUCCAAAAGGUUGGAAAAGAGUUCCUACAAAGGUUUUGGACAGUGAUUUUAACCCUAACGCCAAAAACCUUAAACCUUUCCCCAGUCCCAAAACCUAAUACCCGGGUAUUACCUUCAGGAAGCCCGAACACCCCAAAUAUUUGUUUUUCAUUUUACAUUUUUGUUGGUGUAACCAACUCCAAAAGGUUGGAAAAGAGUUCCUACAAAGGUUUUGGACAGUGAUUUUAACCCUAACGCCAAAAACCUUAAACCUUACCCCAGUCCCAAAACCUAAUACCCGGGUAUUACCUUCAGGAAGCCCGAACACCCCAAAUAUUUUUUUUUCAUUUUACAUUUUUGUUGGUGUAACUAACUCCAAAAGGUUGGAAAAGAGUUCCUACAAAGGUUUUGGACAGUGAUUUUAACCCUAAUGCCAAAAAACUUAAACCUUACCCUAGCCUUGAAAUCUAAUACCCGGGUAUUACCUUCAGGAAGCCUGAACACCCCAAAUAUUUUUUUCUUCAUUUUUCAUUUUUUUUUUUGGUCUAACCAACUCCAAAAGGUUGGAAAAGAGUUCCUACAAAGGUUUUGGACAGUGAUUUUAACCCUAACGCCAAAAAACCUUAAACCUUACCCUAGCCUCAAAAUCUAAUACCCGGGUAUUACAUUCAGGAACCCCGAAAACCCCAAAUAUUGUUUUUUAAUUUUUCAUUUUUUUUUGGUCUAACUAACUCCAAAAGGUUGGAAAAGAGUUCCUACAAAGGUUUUGGACAGUGAUUUUAACCCUAACGCCAAAAAACUUAAACCUUACCAUAGCCCCAUAACCUAAUACCUGGGUAUUACUUUUAGGAAGCCUGAACACCCCAAAUAUUUUUUUUUCAUUUUUCUUUUUUUUUUGGUCUAACCAACUCCAAAAGGUUGGAAAAGAGUUCCUACAAAGGUUUUGGACAGUGAUUUUAACCCUAACGCCAAAAAACUUAAACCUUACCCUGGCCUUAAAAUCUAAUACCUGGGUAUUACUUUCAGGAAGCCCGAACACCCCAAAUAUUUUUUUUUUUUCAUUUUUCUUUUUUUUUUUGGUCUAACUAACUCCAAAAGGUUGGAAAAGAGUUCCUACAAAGGUUUUGGACAGUGAUUUUAACCCUAAUGCCAAAAAACUUAAACCUUACCCUAGCCUUAAAAUCUAAUACCCGGGUAUUACAUUCAGGAAGAAAACCCCAAAUAUUGUUUUUUCAUUUUUCAUUUUUUUUUUGGUCUAACUAACUCCAAAAGGUUGGAAAAGAGUUCCUACAAAGGUUUUGGACAGUGAUUUUAACCCUAACGCCAAAAACCUUAAACCUUACCAUAGCCCCAUAACCUAAUACCCGGGUAUUACUUUUAGGAAGCCUGAACACCCCAAAUAUUUUUUUUUCAUUUUUUUUUUUUUUUUGGUCUAACUAACUCCAAAAGGUUGGAAAAGAGUUCCUACAAAGGUUUUGGACAGUGAUUUUAACCCUAACGCCAAAAAACUUAAACCUUACCCGAGCCUUAAAAUCUAAUACCGGGUAUUACCUUCAGGAAGCCCGAACACCCCAAAUAUUUUUUUUUCAUUUUACAUUUUUUUUGGUCUAACCAACUCCAAAAGGUUGGAAAAGAGUUCCUACAAAGGUUUUGGACAGUGAUUUUAACCCUAACGCCAAAAACCUUAAACCUUACCCUAGCCUUGAAAUCUAAUACCCGGGUAUUACCUUCAGGAAGCCUGAACACCCCAAAUAUUUUUUUUUUUUUUUCAUUUUUUUUGGUCUAACUAACUCCAAAAGGUUGGAAAAGAGUUCCUACAAAGGUUUUGGACAGUGAUUUUAACCCUAACGCCAAAAAACUUAAACCUUACCCUAGCCUUAAAAUCUAAUACCCGGGUAUUACCUUCAGGAAGCCCGAACACCCCAAAUAUUUUUUUUUCAUUUUACUUUUUUGUUGGUCUAACCAACUCCAAAAGGUUGGAAAAGAGUUCCUACAAAGGUUUUGGACAGUGAUUUUAACCCUAACGCCAAAAAACUUAAACCUUACCCUAGCCUUAAAAUCUAAUUCCCGGGUAUUACCUUCAGGAAGCCCAAACACCCCAAAUAUUUUUUUUUUCAUUUUACAUUUUUGUUGGUGUAACCAACUCCAAAAGGUUGGAAAAGAGUUCCUACAAAGGUUUUGGACAGUGAUUUUAACCCUAACGCCAAAAACCUUAAACCUUUCCCUAGCCCCAAAACUUAAUACUCGGGUAUUACUUCCAGGAAGCCCGAAAACCCCAAAUAUUUUUUUUUUCAUUUUUCAUUUUUGUUGGUGUAACCAACUCCAAAAGGUUGGAAAAGAGUUCCUACAAAGGUUUUGGACAGUGAUUUUAACCCUAACGCCAAAAAACUUAAACCUUACCCUAGCCUUAAAAUCUAAUACCCGGGUAUUACAUUCAGGAAGCCCGAAAACCCCAAAUAUAUAUUUUUUCAUUUUUCAUUUUUUUUUGGUCUAACUAACUCCAAAAGGUUGGAAAAGAGUUCCUACAAAGGUUUUGGACAGUGAUUUUAACCCUAACGCCAAAAAACUUAAACCUUACCCUAGCCUUAAAAUCUAAUACCCAGGUUACAUUCAGGAAGCCCGAAAACCCCAAAUAUUUUUUUUUCAUUUUUCAUUUUUUUUUUGGUCUAACUAACUCCAAAAGGUUGGAAAAGAGUUCCUACAAAGGUUUUGGACAGUGAUUUUAACCCUAACGCCAAAAACCUUAAACCUUACCAUAGCCCCAUAACCUAAUACCCAGGUAUUACUUUUAGGAAGCCUGAACACCCCAAAUAUUUUUUUUUCAUUUUUCAUUUUUUUUUGGUCUAACUAACUCCAAAAGGUUGGAAAAGAGUUCCUACAAAGGUUUUGGACAGUGAUUUUAACCCUAACGCCAAAAAACUUAAACCUUACCCUAGCCUUAAAAUCUAAUACCCGGGUAUUACCUUCAGGAAGCCCGAACACCCCAAAUAUUUUUUUUUUCAUUUUACAUUUUUUUUGGUCUAACCAACUCCAAAAGGUUGGAAAAGAGUUCCUACAAAGGUUUUGGACAGUGAUUUUAACCCUAACGCCAAAAACCUUAAACCUUACCCUAGCCUUGAAAUCUAAUACCCGGGUAUUACCUUCAGGAAGCCUGAACACCCCAAAUAUUUUUUUUUCUUUUUUCAUAUUUUUUGGUCUAACUAACUCCAAAAGGUUGGAAAAGAGUUCCUACAAAGGUUUUGGACAGUGAUUUUAACCCUAACGCCAAAAAACCUUAAACCUUACCCUAGCCCCAAAAUCUAAUACCCGGGUAUUACCUUCAGGAAGCCGAAACACCCCAAAUAUUUUUUUGUUCAUUUUUCUUUUUUUUUUGGUCUAACUAACUCCAAAAGGUUGGAAAAGAGUUCCUACAAAGGUUUUGGACAGUGAUUUUAACCCUAACGCCAAAAAACUUAAACCUUACCCUAGCCUUAAAAUCUAAUACCCGGGUAUUACCUUCAGGAAGCCCAAACACCCCAAAUAUUUUUUUUUCAUUUUACUUUUUUGUUGUUGUAACCAACUCCAAAAGGUUGGAAAAGAGUUCCUACAAAGGUUUUGGACAGUGAUUUUAACCCUAACGCCAAAAACCUUAAACCUUACCCUAGUCCCAAAACCUAAUACCCGGGUAUUACUUUCAGGGAGCCCGAAAACCCCCAAUAAUUUUUUUUUCUUUUUUCAUUUUUGUUGGUGUAACCAACUCCAAAAGGUUGGAAAAGAGUUCCUACAAAGGUUUUGGACAGUGAUUUUAACCCUAACGCCAAAAAACUUAAACCUUACCCUAGCCUUAAAAUCUAAUACCCGGGUAUUACAUUCAGGAAGCCCGAAAACCCCAAAUAUAUAUUUUUUCAUUUUUCAUUUUUUUUUGGUUUAACUAACUCCAAAAGGUUGGAAAAGAGUUCCUACAAAGGUUUUGGACAGUGAUUUUAACCCUAACGCCAAAAAACUUAAACCUUACCCUAGCCUUAAAAUCUAAUACCCGGGUAUUACAUUCAGGAAGCCCGAAAACCCCAAAUAUAUAUUUUUUCAUUUUUCAUUUUUUUUUGGUUAACUAACUCCAAAAGGUUGGAAAGAGUUCCUACAAAGGUUUUGGACAGUGAUUUUAACCCUAACGCCAAAAAACUUAAACCUUACCCUAGCCUUAAAAUCUAAUACCCGGGUAUUACAUUCAGGAAGCCCGAAAACCCCAAAUAUUUUUUUUCAUUUUUCUUUUUUUUUGGUCUAACUAACUCCAAAAGGUUGGAAAAGAGUUCCUACAAAGGUUUUGGACAGUGAUUUUAACCCUAACGCCAAAAACCUUAAACCUUACCCAGCCCCAAAACCUAAUACCCGGGUAUUACCUUCAGGAAGCCCGAACACCCCAAAUAUUUGUUUUUCAUUUUCAUUUUUGUUGGUGUAACCAACUCCAAAAGGUUGGAAAAGAGUUCCUACAAAGGUUUUGGACAGUGAUUUUAACCCUAAUGCCAAAAAACUUAAACCUUACCCUAGCCUCAAAAUCUAAUACCCGGGUAUUACCUUCAGGAAGCCUGAACACCCAAAAUAUUUUAUUCUUCAUCUUACAUUUUUGUUGGUGUAACCAACUCCAAAAGGUUGGAAAAGAGUUCCUACAAAGGUUUUGGACAGUGAUUUUAACCCUAACGCCAAAAAACUUAAACCUUACCCUAGCCUCAAAAUCUAAUACCCGGGUAUUACAUUCAGGAAGCCUGAACACCCCAAAUAUUUUUUUUUCAUUUUUCAUUUUUUUUGGUCUAACUAACUCCAAAAGGUUGGAAAAGAGUUCCUACAAAGGUUUUGGACAGUGAUUUUAACCCUAACGCCAAAAACCUUAAACCUUACCAUGGCCCCAUAACCUAAUACCCGGGUAUUACUUUUAGGAAGCCUGAACACCCCAAAUAUAUUUUUUUUUCAUUUUAAGUUUUUUUUUUUGGUGUAACUAACUCCAAAAGGUUGGAAAAGAGUUCCUACAAAGGUUUUGGACAGUGAUUUUAACCCUAACGCCAAAAAACUUAAACCUUACCCUAGCCUUAAAAUCUAAUACCCGGGUAUUACAUUCAGGAAGCCAGAACACCCCAAAUAUUUUUUUCUUCAUUUUACAUUUUUGUUGGUGUAACCAACUCCAAAAGGUUGGAAAAGAGUUCCUACAAAGGUUUUGGACAGUGAUUUUAACCCUAAUGCCAAAAAACUUAAACCUUACCCUAGCCUCAAAAUCUAAUACCCGGGUAUUACAUUCAGGAACCCCGAAAACCCCAAAUAUUGUUUUUUAAUUUUUCAUUUUUUUUUGGUCUAACUAACUCCAAAAGGUUGGAAAAGAGUUCCUACAAAGGUUUUGGACAGUGAUUUUAACCCUAACGCCAAAAACCUUAAACCUUACCCUAGCCCCAUAACCUAAUUCCCGGGUAUUACCUUCAGGAAGCCCGAACACCCCAAAUAUUUGUUUUUCAUUUUACAUUUUUGUUGGUGUAACCAACUCCAAAAGGUUGGAAAAGAGUUCCUACAAAGGUUUUGGACAGUGAUUUUAACCCUAACCCCUAAAAAUUUAAACCUUACCCUGGCAUUAAAAUCUAAUACCCGGGUAUUACAUUAAGGAAGCCUGAACACCCCAAAUAUUUUUUUUUUCAUUUUUCUUUUUUUUUGGUCUAACUAACUCCAAAAGGUUGGAAAAGAGUUCCUACAAAGGUUUUGGACAGUGAUUUUAACCCUAACGCCAAAAACCUUAAACCUUUCCCUAGUCCCAAAACCUAAUACCCGGGUAUUACUUUCAGGGAGCCCGAAAACCCCCAAUAAUAUUUUUUUCUUUUUUCAUAUUUUUUGGUCUAACUAACUCCAAAAGGUUGGAAAAGAGUUCCUACAAAGGUUUUGGACAGUGAUUUUAACCCUAACGCCAAAAACCUUAAACCUUACCCUAGCCUUAAAAUCUACCUUCGGGCUACCUUCAGGAAGCCCGAACACCCCAAAUAUUUUUUUCUUCAUUUUACAUUUUUGUUGGUGUAACCAACUCCAAAAGGUUGGAAAAGAGUUCCUACAAAGGUUUUGGACAGUGAUAUUAACCUUAACGCCAAAAACCUUAAAACUUACCAUAGCCCCAUAACCUAAUUCCCAGGUAUUACCUUCAGGAAGCCCGAACACCCCAAAUAUUUUUUUUUCAUUUUUCAUUCUUUUUUGGUCUAAUCAACUCCAAAAGGUUGGAAAAGAGUUCCUACAAAGGUUUAUGACAGUGAUUUUAACCCUAACGCCAAAAACCUUAAACCUUACCAUAGCCCCAUAACCUAAUACCUGGAUAUUACUUUUAGGAAGCCUGAACACCCCAAAUAUUUUUUUUUCAUUUUUCUUUUUUUUUUGUCAAACUAACUCCAAAAGGUUGGAAAUGUUCCUACAAAGGUUUUGGACAGUGAUUUUAACCCUAACGCCAAAAACCUUAAAACUUACCCUAGCCCCAUAACCUAAUACCCGGGUAUUACAUUCAGGAAGCCCGAAAACCCCAAAUAUAUAUUUUUUCAUUUUUCUUUUUUUUUCGGUCAAACUAACUCCAAAAGGUUGGAAAAGAGUUCCUACAAAGGUUUUGGACAGUGAUUUUAACCCUAACGCCAAAAACCUUAAACCUUUCCCCAGUCCCAAAACCUAAUACCCGGGUAUUACCUUCAGGAAGCCCGAACACCCCAAAUAUUUGUUUUUCAUUUUACAUUUUUGUUGGUGUAACCAACUCCAAAAGGUUGGAAAAGAGUUCCUACAAAGGUUUUGGACAGUGAUUUUAACCCUAAUGCCAAAAAACUUAAACCUUACCCUAGCCUUGAAAUCUAAUACCCGGGUAUUACCUUCAGGAAGCCUGAACACCCCAAAUAUUUUUUUCUUUUUUCAUAUUUUUUGGUCUAACUAACUCCAAAAGGUUGGAAAAGAGUUCCUACAAAGGUUUUGGACAGUGAUUUUAACCCUAACGCCAAAAACCUUAAACCUUACCCUAGCCUUGAAAUCUAAUACCCGGGUAUUACCUUCAGGAAGCCUGAACACCCAAAAUAUUUUUUUCUUCAUCUUACAUUUUUGUUGGUGUAACCAACUCCAAAAGGUUGGAAAAGAGUUCCUACAAAGGUUUUGGACAGUGAUUUUAACCCUAAUGCCAAAAAACUUAAACCUUACCCUAGCCUCAAAAUCUAAUACCCGGGUAUUACAUUCAGGAACCCCGAAAACCCCAAAUAUUUUUUUUUAAUUUUUCAUUUUUUUUGGUCUAACUAACUCCAAAAGGUUGGAAAAGAGUUCCUACAAAGGUUUUGGACAGUGAUUUUAACCCUAACGCCAAAAAACUUAAACCUUACCAUAGCUCCAUAACCUAAUACCCUGGGUAUUACUUUUAGGAAGCCUGAACACCCCAAAUAUUUUUUUUUUUUCAUUUUUUUGGUCUAACUAACUCCAAAAGGUUGGAAAAGUGUUCCUACAAAGGUUUUGGACAGUGAUUUUAACCCUAACGCCAAAAAACUUAAACCUUACCAUAGCCCCAUAACCUAAUACCUGGGUAUUACUUUUAGGAAGCCUGAACACCCCAAAUAUUUUUUUUUCAUUUUUCUUUUUUUUUUGGUCUAACCAACUCCAAAAGGUUGGAAAAGUGUUCCUACAAAGGUUUUGGACAGUGAUUUUAACCCUAACGCCAAAAACCUUAAACCUUACACUAGCCUUAAAAUCUAAUACCUGGGUAUUACUUUCAGGAAGCCCGAACACCCCAAAUAUUUUUUUUUUCAUUUUACAUUUUUUUUGGUGUAACCAACUCCAAAAGGUUGGAAAAGAGUUCCUACAAAGGUUUUGGACAGUGAUUUUAACCCUAAUGUCAAAAACCUUAAACCUUACCCUAGCCUUAAAAUCUAAUACCCGGGUAUUACAUUCAGGAACCCCGAAAACCCCAAAUAUUGUUUUUUCUUUUUUCAUUUUUUUUUGGUCUAACUAACUCCAAAAGGUUGGAAAAGAGUUCCUACAAAGGUUUUGGACAGUGAUUUUAACCCUAACGCCAAAAACCUUAAACCUUACCCUAGCCUUAAAAUCUACCUUCGGGCUACCUUCAGGAAGCCCGAACACCCCAAAUAUUUUUUUCUUCAUUUUACAUUUUUGUUGGUGUAACCAACUCCAAAAGGUUGGAAAAGAGUUCCUACAAAGGUUUUGGACAGUGAUUUUAACCCUAACGCCAAAAACCUUAAACCUUACCCUAGCCUUGAAAUCUAAUACCCGGGUAUUACCUUCAGGAAGCCUGAACACCCCAAAUAUUUUUUUCUUUUUUCAUAUUUUUUGGUCUAACUAACUCCAAAAGGUUGGAAAAGAGUUCCUACAAAGGUUUUGGACAGUGAUUUUAACCCUUACGCCAAAAACCUUAAACCUUUCCCCAGUCCCAAAACCUAAUACCCGGGUAUUACCUUCAGGAAGCCCGAACACCCCAAAUAUUUGUUUUUCAUUUUACAUUUUUGUUGGUGUAACCAACUCCAAAAGGUUGGAAAAGAGUUCCUACAAAGGUUUUGGACAGUGAUUUUAACCCUAACGCCAAAAACCUUAAACCUUUCCCCAGUCCCAAAACCUAAUACCCGGGUAUUACCUUCAGGAAGCCCGAACACCCCAAAUAUUUGUUUUUCAUUUUACAUUUUUUUUGGUGUAACCAACUCCAAAAGGUUGGAAAAGAGUUCCUACAAAGGUUUUGGACAGUGAUUUUAACCCUAAUGCCAAAAACCUUAAACCUUACCCUAGCCUUAAAAUCUAAUACCCGGGUAUUACAUUCAGGAACCCCGAAAACCCCAAAUAUUGUUUUUUCUUUUUUCAUUUUUUUUUGGUCUAACUAACUCCAAAAGGUUGGAAAAGUGUUCCUACAAAGGUUUUGGACAGUGAUUUUAACCCUAACGCCAAAAACCUUAAACCUUACCCUAGCCUUAAAAUCUACCUUCGGGCUACCUUCAGGAAGCCCGAACACCCCAAAUAUUUUUUUCUUCAUUUUACAUUUUUGUUGGUGUAACCAACUCCAAAAGGUUGGAAAAGAGUUCCUACAAAGGUUUUGGACAGUGAUUUUAACCCUAACGCCAAAAACCUUAAACCUUACCCUAGCCUUGAAAUCUAAUACCCGGGUAUUACCUUCAGGAAGCCUGAACACCCCAAAUAUUUUUUCUUUUUUCAUAUUUUUUGGUCUAACUAACUCCAAAAGGUUGGAAAAGAGUUCCUACAAAGGUUUUGGACAGUGAUUUUAACCCUAACGCCAAAAACCUUAAACCUUUCCCCAGUCCCAAAACCUAAUACCCGGGUAUUACCUUCAGGAAGCCCGAACACCCCAAAUAUUUGUUUUUCAUUUUACAUUUUUGUUGUUGUAACCAACUCCAAAAGGUUGGAAAAGAGUUCCUACAAAGGUUUUGGACAGUGAUUUUAACCCUAACGCCAAAAACCUUAAACCUUUCCCCAGUCCCAAAACCUAAUACCCGGGUAUUACCUUCAGGAAGCCCGAACACCCCAAAUAUUUGUUUUUCAUUUUACAUUUUUGUUGGUGUAACCAACUCCAAAAGGUUGGAAAAGAGUUCCUACAAAGGUUUUGGACAGUGAUUUUAACCCUAAUGCCAAAAAACUUAAACCUUACCCUAGCCUUGAAAUCUAAUACCCGGGUAUUACCUUCAGGAAGCCUGAACACCCAAAAUAUUUUUUUCUUCAUCUUACAUUUUUGUUGGUGUAACCAACUCCAAAAGGUUGGAAAAGAGUUCCUACAAAGGUUUUGGACAGUGAUUUUAACCCUAAUGCCAAAAAACUUAAACCUUACCCUAGCCUCAAAAUCUAAUACCCGGGUAUUACAUUCAGGAACCCCGAAAACCCCAAAUAUUGUUUUUUAAUUUUUCAUUUUUUUUUGGUCUAACUAACUCCAAAAGGUUGGAAAAGAGUUCCUACAAAGGUUUUGGACAGUGAUUUUAACCCUAACGCCAAAAAACUUAAACCUUACCAUAGCCCCAUAACCUAAUACCUGGGUAUUACUUUUAGGAAGCCUGAACACCCCAAAUAUUUUUUUUUCAUUUUUCUUUUUUUUUUGGUCUAACCAACUCCAAAAGGUUGGAAAAGUGUUCCUACAAAGGUUUUGGACAGUGAUUUUAACCCUAACGCCAAAAAACUUAAACCUUACCCUGGCCUUAAAAUCUAAUACCUGGGUAUUACUUUCAGGAAGCCCGAACACCCCAAAUAUUUUUUUUUUUCAUUUUACAUUUUUUUUGGUGUAACCAACUCCAAAAGGUUGGAAAAGAGUUCCUACAAAGGUUUUGGACAGUGAUUUUAACCCUAAUGCCAAAAAACUUAAACCUUACCCUAGCCUUAAAAUCUAAUACCCGGGUAUUACAUUCAGGAACCCCGAAAACCCCAAAUAUUGUUUUUUCAUUUUUCAUUUUUUUUUUGGUCUAACUAACUCCAAAAGGUUGGAAAAGAGUUCCUACAAAGGUUUUGGACAGUGAUUUUAACCCUAACGCCAAAAACCUUAAACCUUACCAUAGCCCCAUAACCUAAUACCCAGGUAUUACUUUUAGGAAGCCUGAACACCCCAAAUAUUUUUUUUUCAUUUUUCUUUUUUUUUGGUCUAACUAACUCCAAAAGGUUGGUAAAGAGUUCCUACAAAGGUUUUGGACAGUGAUUUUAACCCUAACGCCAAAAAACUUAACCCUUACCCGAGCCUUAAAAUCUAAUACAUUACCUUCAGGAAGCCCGAACACCCCAAAUAUUUUUUUUUUCAUUUUACAUUUUUUUUGGUGGAACCAACUCCAAAAGGUUGGAAAAGAGUUCCUACAAAGGUUUUGGACAGUGAUUUUAACCCUAACGCCAAAAACCUUAAACCUUACCCUAGCCUUGAAAUCUAAUACCCGGGUAUUACCUUCAGGAAGCCUGAACACCCCAAAUUUUUUUUUCUUUUUUCAUAUUUUUUGGUCUAACUAACUCCAAAAGGUUGGAAAAGAGUUCCUACAAAGGUUUUGGGACAGUGAUUGUAACCCUAACGCCAAAAAACUUAAACCUUACCCUAGCCUUAAAAUCUAAUACCCGGGUAUUACCUUCAGGAAGCCCAAACACCCCAAAUAUUUUUUUUUCAUUUUACUUUUUUGUUGUUGUAACCAACUCCAAAUGGUUGGAAAAGAGUUCCUACAAAGGUUUUGGACAGUGAUUGUAACCCUAACGCCAAAAAACUUAAACCUUACCCUAGCCUUAAAAUCUAAUACCCGGGUAUUACCUUCAGGAAGCCCAAACACCCCAAAUAUUUUUUUUUCAUUUUACUUUUUUGUUGUUGUAACCAACUCCAAAAGGUUGGAAAAGAGUUCCUACAAAGGUUUUGGACAGUGAUUUUAACCCUAACGCCAAAAACCUUAAACCUUUCCCUAGUCCCAAAACCUAAUACCCGGGUAUUACUUUCAGGGAGCCCGAAAACCCCCAAUAAUUUUUUUUUCUUUUUUCAUUUUUGUUGGUGUAACCAACUCCAAAAGGUUGGAAAAGAGUUCCUACAAAGGUUUUGGACAGUGAUUUUAACCCUAACGCCAAAAAACUUAAACCUUACCCUAGCCUUAAAAUCUAAUACCCGGGUAUUACAUUCAGGAAGCCCGAAAACCCCAAAUAUAUAUUUUUUCAUUUUUCAUUUUUUUUUUGGUUUAACUAACUCCAAAAGGUUGGAAAAGAGUUCCUACAAAGGUUUUGGACAGUGAUUUUAACCCUAACGCCAAAAAACUUAAACCUUACCCUAGCCUUAAAAUCUAAUACCCGGGUAUUACAUUCAGGAAGCCCGAAAACCCCAAAUAUAUAUUUUUUCAUUUUUCAUUUUUUUUUGGUUUAUCUAAUUCCAAAAGGUUGGAAGAGUGUUCCUACAAAGGUUUUGGACAGGGAUUUUAACCCUAACGCCAAAAAACUUAAACCUUACUCUAGCCUUAAAAUCUAAUACCCGGGUAUUACAUUCAUGAAGCCCGAAAACCCCAAAUAUAUAUUUUUUCAUUUUUCUUUUUUUUUUGGUCAAACUAACUCCAAAAGGUUGGAAAAGAGUUCCUACAAAGGUUUUGGACAGUGAUUUUAACCCUAACGCCAAAAACCUUAAACCUUUCCCCAGUCCCAAAACCUAAUACCCGGGUAUUACCUUCAGGAAGCCGGAACACCCCAAAUAUUUGUUUUUCAUUUUACAUUUUUGUUGGUGUAACCAACUCCAAAAGGUUGGAAAAGAGUUCCUACAAAGGUUUUGGACAGUGAUUUUAACCCUAAUGCCAAAAAACUUAAACCUUACCCUAGCCUCAAAAUCUAAUACCCGAGUAUUACCUUCAGGAAGCCUGAACACCCAAAAUAUUUUUUUCUUCAUCUUACAUUUUUGUUGGUGUAACCAACUCCAAAAGGUUGGAAAAGAGUUCCUACAAAGGUUUUGGACAGUGAUUUUAACCCUAAUGCCAAAAAACUUAAACCUUACCCUAGCCUCAAAAUCUAAUACCCGGGUAUUACAUUAAGGAAGCCUGAACACCCCAAAUAUUUUUUUUUCAUUUUUCAUUUUUUUUGGUCUAACUAAGUCCAAAAGGUUGGAAAAGAGUUCCUACAAAGGUUUUGGACAGUGAUUUUAACCCUAACGCCAAAAACCUUAAACCUUACCAUGGCCCCAUAACCUAAUACCCGGGUAUUACUUUUAGGAAGCCUGAACACCCCAAAUAUAUAUUUUUUUCAUUUUAAGUUUUUGUUGGUGUAACCAACUCCAAAAGGUUGGAAAAGAGUUCCUACAAAGGUUUUGGACAGUGAUUGUAACCCUAACGCCAAAAAACUUAAACCUUACCCUAGCCUUAAAAUCUAAUACCCGGGUAUUACCUUCAGGAAGCCCAAACACCCCAAAUAUUUUUUUCAUUUUACUUUUUUGUUGUUGUAACCAACUCCAAAAGGUUGGAAAAGAGUUCCUACAAAGGUUUUGGACAGUGAUUUUAACCCUAACGCCAAAAACCUUAAACCUUUCCCUAGUCCCAAAACCUAAUACCCGGGUAUUACUUUCAGGGAGCCCGAAAACCCCCAAUAAUUUUUUUUUCUUUUUUCAUUUUUUUUGGUGUAACCAACUCCAAAAGGUUGGAAAAGAGUUCCUACAAAGGUUUUGGACAGUGAUUUUAACCCUAACGCCAAAAAACUUAAACCUUACCCUAGCCUUAAAAUCUAAUACCGGGGUAUUACCUUCAGGAAGCCCGAACACCCCAAAUAUUUUUUUGUUCAUUUUACAUUUUUGUUGGUGUAACCAACUCCAAAAGGUUGGAAAAGAGUUCCUACAAAGGUUUUGGACAGUGAUUUUAACCCUAACGCCAAAAAACUUAAACCUUACCCUAGCCUUAAAAUCUAAUACCCGGGUAUUACAUUCAGGAAGCCCGAAAACCCCAAAUAUAUAUUUUUUCAUUUUUCAUUUUUUUUUUGGUUUAUCUAAUUCCAAAAGGUUGGAAAAGUGUUCCUACAAAGGUUUUGGACAGGGAUUUUAACCCUAACGCCAAAAAACUUAAACCUUACCCUAGCCUUAAAAUCUAAUACCCGGGUAUUACAUUCAGGAAGCCCGAAAACCCCAAAUAUAUAUUUUUUCAUUUUUCUUUUUUUUUCGGUCAAACUAACUCCAAAAGGUUGGAAAAGAGUUCCUACAAAGGUUUUGGACAGUGAUUUUAACCCUAACGCCAAAAACCUUAAACCUUUCCCCAGUCCCAAAACCUAAUACCCGGGUAUUACCUUCAGGAAGCCGGAACACCCCAAAUAUUUGUUUUUCAUUUUACAUUUUUGUUGGUGUAACCAACUCCAAAAGGUUGGAAAAGAGUUCCUACAAAGGUUUUGGACAGUGAUUUUAACCCUAAUGCCAAAAAACUUAAACCUUACCCUAGCCUCAAAAUCUAAUACCCGGGUAUUACAUUCAGGAACCCCGAAAUCCCCAAAUAUUGUUUUUUAAUUUUUCAUUUUUUUUUGUCUAACUAACUCCAAAAGGUUGGAAAAGAGUUCCUACAAAGGUUUUGGACAGUGAUUUUAACCCUAACGCCAAAAAACUUAAACCUUACCAUAGCCCCAUAACCUAAUACCUGGGUAUUACUUUUAGGAAGCCUGAACACCCCAAAUAUUUUUUUUUCAUUUUUCUUUUUUUUUUGGUCUAACCAACUCCAAAAGGUUGGAAAAGUGUUCCUACAAAGGUUUUGGACAGUGAUUUUAACCCUAACGCCAAAAAACUUAAACCUUACCCUGGCCUUAAAAUCUAAUACCUGGGUAUUACUUUCAGGAAGCCCGAACACCCCAAAUAUUUUUUUUUUUCAUUUUACAUUUUUUUUGGUGUAACCAACUCCAAAAGGUUGGAAAAGAGUUCCUACAAAGGUUUUGGACAGUGAUUUUAACCCUAAUGCCAAAAAACUUAAACCUUACCCUAGCCUUAAAAUCUAAUACCUGGGUAUUACAUUCAGGAACCCCGAAAACCCCAAAUAUUGUUUUUUCAUUUUUCAUUUUUUUUUGGUCUAACUAACUCCAAAAGGUUGGAAAAGAGUUCCUACAAAGGUUUUGGACAGUGAUUUUAACCCUAACGCCAAAAACCUUAAACCUUACCAUAGCCCCAUAACCUAAUACCCAGGUAUUACUUUUAGGAAGCCUGAACACCCCAAAUAUUUUUUUUUUCAUUUUACAUUUUUUUUUGGUGUAACCAACUCCAAAAGGUUGGAAAAGAGUUCCUACAAAGGUUUUGGACAGUGAUUUUAACCCUAACGCCAAAAACCUUAAACCUUACCCUAGCCUUGAAAUCUAAUACCCGGGUAUUACCUUCAGGAAGCCUGAACACCCCAAAUAUUUUUUUCUUUUUUCAUAUUUUUUGGUCUAACUAACUCCAAAAGGUUGGAAAAGAGUUCCUACAAAGGUUUUGGACAGUGAUUUUAACCCUAACGCCAAAAACCUUAAACCUUUCCCCAGUCCCAAAACCUAAUACCCGGGUAUUACCUUCAGGAAGCCCGAACACCCCAAAUAUUUGUUUUUCAUUUUACAUUUUUGUUGUUGUAACCAACUCCAAAAGGUUGGAAAAGAGUUCCUACAAAGGUUUUGGACAGUGAUUUUAACCCUAACGCCAAAAACCUUAAACCUUACCCUAGUCCCAAAACCUAAUACCCGGGUAUUACCUUCAGGAAGCCCGAACACCCCAAAUAUAUUUUUUUUCAUUUUACAUUUUUGUUGGUGUAACCAACUCCAAAAGGUUGGAAAAGAGUUCCUACAAAGGUUUUGGACAGUGAUUUUAACCCUAACGCCAAAAAACCUUAAACCUUACCCUAGCCUUGAAAUCUAAUACCCGGGUAUUACCUUCAGGAAGCCUGAACACCCAAAAUAUUUUUUUCUUCAUCUUACAUUUUUGUUGGUCUAACUAACUCCAAAAGGUUGGAAAAGAGUUCCUACAAAGGUUUUGGACAGUGAUUUUAACCCUAAUGCCAAAAAACUUAAACCUUACCCUAGCCUCAAAAUCUAAUACCCGGGUAUUACAUUCAGGAACCCCGAAAACCCCAAAUAUUGUUUUUUAAUUUUUCAUUUUUUUUUGGUCUAACUAACUCCAAAAGGUUGGAAAAGAGUUCCUACAAAGGUUUUGGACAGUGAUUUUAACCCUAACGCCAAAAAACUUAAACCUUACCAUAGCCCCAUAACCUAAUACCUGGGUAUUACUUUUAGGAAGCCUGAACACCCCAAAUAUUUUUUUUUCAUUUUUCUUUUUUUUUUGGUCUAACCAACUCCAAAAGGUUGGAAAAGUGUUCCUACAAAGGUUUUGGACAGUGAUUUUAACCCUAACGCCAAAAAACUUAAACCUUACCCUGGCCUUAAAAUAAUACCUGGGUAUUACUUUCAGGAAGCCCGAACACCCCAAAUAUUUUUUUUUCAUUUUACAUUUUUUUUGGUGUAACCAACUCCAAAAGGUUGGAAAAGAGUUCCUACAAAGGUUUUGGACAGUGAUUUUAACCCUAAUGCCAAAAAACUUAAACCUUACCCUAGCCUUAAAAUCUAAUACCCGGGUAUUACAUUCAGGAACCCCGAAAACCCCAAAUAUUGUUUUUUCAUUUUUCAUUUUUUUUUGGUCUAACUAACUCCAAAAGGUUGGAAAAGAGUUCCUACAAAGGUUUUGGACAGUGAUUUUAACCCUAACGCCAAAAACCUUAAACCUUACCAUAGCCCCAUAACCUAAUACCCAGGUAUUACUUUUAGGAAGCCUGAACACCCCAAAUAUUUUUUUUUCAUUUUUCUUUUUUUUUUUGGUCUAACUAACUCCAAAAGGUUGGAAAAGAGUUCCUACAAAGGUUUUGGACAGUGAUUUUAACCCUAACGCCAAAAACUUAAACCUUACCAUAGCCCCAAAACCUAAUACCCGGGUAUUACUUUCAGGAAGCCCGAACACCCCAAAUAUUUUUUUUUCAUUUUACAUUUUUUUUGGUGUAACCAACUCCAAAAGGUUGGAAAAGAGUUCCUACAAAGGUUUUGGACAGUGAUUUUAACCCUAACGCCAAAAACCUUAAACCUUACCCUAGCCUUGAAAUCUAAUACCCGGGUAUUACCUUCAGGAAGCCUGAACACCCCAAAUAUUUUUUUCUUUUUUCAUAUUUUUUGGUCUAACUAACUCCAAAAGGUUGGAAAAGAGUUCCUACAAAGGUUUUGGACAGUGAUUUUAACCCUAACGCCAAAAAACUUAAACCUUACCCUAGCCUUAAAAUCUAAUACCCGGGUAUUACCUUCAGGAAGCCCAAACACCCCAAAUAUUUUUUUUUCAUUUUACUUUUUUGUUGUUGUAACCAACUCCAAAAGGUUGGAAAAGAGUUCCUACAAAGGUUUUGGACAGUGAUUUUAACCCUAACGCCAAAAAACUUAAACCUUACCCUAGCCCCAAAAUCUAAUACCCGGGUAUUACCUUCAGGAAGCCUGAACACCCCAAAUAUUUUUUUUUCAUUUUACUUUUUUUUGGUCUAACCAACUCCAAAAGGUUGGAAAAGAGUUCCUACAAAGGUUUUGGACAGUGAUUUUAACCCUAACGCCAAAAACCUUAAACCUUACCCAGUCCCAAAACCUAAUACCCGGGUAUUACUUUCAGGGAGCCCGAAAACCCCCAAUAAUUUUUUUUUCUUUUUUCAUUUUUGUUGGUGUAACCAACUCCAAAAGGUUGGAAAAGAGUUCCUACAAAGGUUUUGGACAGUGAUUUUAACCCUAACGCCAAAAAACUUAAACCUUACCCUAGCCUUAAAAUCUAAUACCCGGGUAUUACAUUCAGGAAGCCCGAAAACCCCAAAUAUAUAUUUUUUCAUUUUUCAUUUUUUUUUUGGUUUAACUAACUCCAAAAGGUUGGAAAAGAGUUCCUACAAAGGUUUUGGACAGUGAUUUUAACCCUAACGCCAAAAAACCUUAAACCUUACCCUAGCCCCAAAAUCUAAUACCCGGGUAUUACAUUCAGGAAGCCCGAACACCCCAAAUAUUUUUUUUCAUUUUUCAUUUUUUUUUGGUCUAACUAACUCCAAAAGGUUGGAAAAGAGUUCCUACAAAGGUUUUGGACAGUGAUUUUAACCCUAACGCCAAAAAACUUAAACCUUACUCUAGCCUUAAAAUCUAAUACCCGGGUAUUACAUUCAUGAAGCCCGAAAACCCCAAAUAUAUAUUUUUUCAUUUUUCUUUUUUUUUUGGUCAAACUAACUCCAAAAGGUUGGAAAAGAGUUCCUACAAAGGUUUUGGACAGUGAUUUUAACCCUAACGCCAAAAACCUUAAACCUUACCCCAGACCCAAAACCUAAUACCCGGGUAUUACCUUCAGGAAGCCGGAACACCCCAAAUAUUUGUUUUUCAUUUUACAUUUUUGUUGGUGUAACUAACUCCAAAAGGUUGGAAAAGAGUUCCUACAAAGGUUUUGGACAGUGAUUUUAACCCUAAUGCCAAAAAACUUAAACCUUACCCUAGCCUCAAAAUCUAAUACCCGGGUAUUACCUUCAGGAAGCCUGAACACCCAAAAUAUUUUUUCUUCAUCUUACAUUUUUGUUGGUGUAACCAACUCCAAAAGGUUGGAAAAGAGUUCCUACAAAGGUUUUGGACAGUGAUUUUAACCCUAAUGCCAAAAAACUUAAACCUUACCCUAGCCUCAAAAUCUAAUACCCGGGUAUUACAUUAAGGAAGCCUGAACACCCCAAAUAUUUUUUUUUCAUUUUUCAUUUUUUUUGGUCUAACUAACUCCAAAAGGUUGGAAAAGAGUUCCUACAAAGGUUUUGGACAGUGAUUUUAACCCUAACGCCAAAAACCUUAAACCUUACCAUGGCCCCAUAACCUAAUACCCGGGUAUUACUUUUAGGAAGCCUGAACACCCCAAAUAUAUAUUUUUUUCAUUUUAAAUUUUUGUUGGUGUAACCAACUCCAAAAGGUUGGAAAAGAGUUCCUACAAAGGUUUUGGACAGUGAUUGUAACCCUAACGCCAAAAAACUUAAACCUUACCCUAGCCUUAAAAUCUAAUACCCGGGUAUUACCUUCAGGAAGCCCAAACACCCCAAAUAUUUUUUUUUCAUUUUACUUUUUUGUUGUUGUAACCAACUCCAAAAGGUUGGAAAAGAGUUCCUACAAAGGUUUUGGACAGUGAUUUUAACCCUAACGCCAAAAACCUUAAACCUUUCCCUAGUCCCAAAACCUAAUACCCGGGAAUUACUUUCAUGGAGCCCGAAAACCCCCAAUAAUUUUUUUUUCUUUUUUCAUUUUUUUUGGUGUAACCAACUCCAAAAGGUUGGAAAAGAGUUCCUACAAAGGUUUUGGACAGUGAUUUUAACCCUAACGCCAAAAAACUUAAACCUUACCCUAGCCUUAAAAUCUAAUACCGGGGUAUUACCUUCAGGAAGCCCGAACACCCCAAAUAUUUUUUUGUUCAUUUUACAUUUUUUUUGGUGUAACCAACUCCAAAAGGUUGGAAAAGAGUUCCUACAAAGGUUUUGGACAGUGAUUUUAACCCUAACGCCAAAAAACUUAAACCUUACCCUAGCCUUAAAAUCUAAUACCCGGGUAUUACAUUCAGGAAGCCCGAAAACCCCAAAUAUAUUUUUUCAUUUUUCAUUUUUUUUUGGUUUAUCUAAUUCCAAAAGGUUGGAAAAGUGUUCCUACAAAGGUUUUGGACAGUGAUUUUAACCCUAACGCCAAAAAACUUAAACCUUACCCUAGCCUUAAAAUCUAAUACCCGGGUAUUACAUUCAGGAAGCCCGAAAACCCCAAAUAUAUAUUUUUUCAUUUUUCUUUUUUUUUCGGUCUAACUAACUCCAAAAGGUUGGAAAAGAGUUCCUACAAAGGUUUUGGACAGUGAUUUUAACCCUAACGCCAAAAACCUUAAACCUUACCCUAGCCCAAAACCUAAUACCCGGGUAUUACCUUCAGGAAGCCUGAACACCCCAAAUAUUUUUUUUUCAUUUUACAUUUUUGUUGGUGUAACCAACUCCAAAAGGUUGGAAAAGAGUUCCUACAAAGGUUUUGGACAGUGAUUUUAACCCUAACGCCAAAAAACUUAAACCUUACCCUAGCCUCAAAAUCUAAUACCCGGGUAUUACAUUCAGGAAGCCCGAAACCCCAAAUAUUUUUUUUCAUUUUUCAUUUUUUUUUGGUCUAACUAACUCCAAAAGGUUGGAAAAGAGUUCCUACAAAGGUUUUGGACAGUGAUUUUAACCCUAACGCCAAAAAAACUUAAACCUUACCAUAGCCCCAUAACCUAAUACCUGGGUAUUACUUUUAGGAAGCCUGAACACCCCAAAUAUUUUUUUUUCAUUUUUCUUUUUUUUUUGGUCUAACCAACUCCAAAAGGUUGGAAAAGUGUUCCUACAAAGGUUUUGGACAGUGAUUUUAACCCUAACGCCAAAAAACUUAAACCUUACCCUGGCCUUAAAAUCUAAUACCCGGGUAUUACUUUCAGGAAGCCCGAACACCCCAAAUAUUUUUUUUUUCAUUUUACAUUUUUUUUGGUGUAACUAACUCCAAAAGGUUGGAAAAGAGUUCCUACAAAGGUUUUGGACAGUGAUUUUAACCCUAAUGCCAAAAAACUUAAACCUUACCCUAGCCUUAAAAUCUAAUCCCUGGGUAUUACUUUCAGGGACCCUGAAAACCCCAAAUAUUGUUUUUUCAUUUUUCAUUUUUUUUUGGUCUAACUAACUCCAAAAGGUUGAAAAAGAGUUCCUACAAAGGUUUUGGACAGUGAUUUUAACCCUAACGCCAAAAACCUUAAACCUUACCAUAGCCCCAUAACCUAAUACCCGGGUAUUACUUUUAGGAAGCCUGAACACCCCAAAUAUUUGUUUUUCAUUUUACAUUUUUUUUUGGUGUAACCAACUCCAAAAGGUUGGAAAAGAGUUCCUACAAAGGUUUUGGACAGUGAUUUUAACCCUAACGCCAAAAACCUUAAACCUUACCCUAGCCUUGAAAUCUAAUACCCGGGUAUUACCUUCAGGAAGCCUGAACACCCCAAAUAUUUUUUUCUUUUUUCAUAUUUUUUGGUCUAACUAACUCCAAAAGGUUGGAAAAGAGUUCCUACAAAGGUUUUGGACAGUGAUUUUAACCCUAACGCCAAAAACCUUAAACCUUACCCUAGCCUUGAAAUCUAAUACCCGGGUAUUACCUUCAGGAAGCCUGAACACCCAAAAUAUUUUUUUCUUCAUCUUACAUUUUUUUUUUGGUCUAACCAACUCCAAAAGGUUGGAAAAGAGUUCCUACAAAGGUUUUGGACAGUGAUUUUAACCCUAACGCCAAAAACCUUAAACCUUACCCUAGCCUCAAAAUCUAAUACCCGGGUAUUACAUUCAGGAACCCCGAAAACCCCAAAUAUUGUUUUUUAAUUUUUCAUUUUUUUUUGGUCUAACUAACUCCAAAAGGUUGGAAAAGAGUUCCUACAAAGGUUUUGGACAGUGAUUUUAACCCUAACGCCAAAAACCUUAAACCUUACCCUAGCCCCAUAACCUAAUACCCGGGUAUUACCUUCAGGAAGCCCGAACACCCCAAAUAUUUUUUUUUCAUUUUCAUUUUUUUUGGUCUAACUAACUCCAAAAGGUUGGAAAAGAGUUCCUACAAAGGUUUUGGACAGUGAUUUUAACCCUAACGCCAAAAACCUUAAACCUUACCCUAGCCUUGAAAUCUAAUACCCGGGUAUUACCUUCAGGAAGCCUGAACACCCAAAAUAUUUUUUUCUUCAUCUUACAUUUUUUUUUGGUGUAACCAACUCCAAAAGGUUGGAAAAGAGUUCCUACAAAGGUUUUGGACAGUGAUUUUAACCCUAACGCCAAAAACCUUAAACCUUACCAUAGCCCCAUAACCUAAUACCCGGGUAUUACCUUCAGGAAGCCCGAACACCCCAAAUAUUUUUUUUUCAUUUUUCAUUCUUUUUUGGUCUAACUAACUCCAAAAGGUUGGAAAAGAGUUCCUACAAAGGUUUUGGACAGUGAUUUUAACCCUAACGCCAAAAACCUUAAACCUUACCAUAGCCCCAUAACCUAAUACCCUGGUAUUACUUUUAGGAAGCCUGAACACCCCAAAUAUUUUUUUUUCAUUUUUCUUUUUUUUUUGGUCUAACUAACUCCAAAAGGUUGGAAAAGAGUUCCUACAAAGGUUUUGGACAGUGAUUUUAACCCUAACGCCAAAAACCUUAAACCUUACCAUAGCCCCAUAACCUAAUACCUGGGUAUUACUUUUAGGAAGCCCGAACACCCCAAAUAUUUGUUUUUCAUUUUACAUUUUUGUUGGUGUAACCAACUCCAAAAGGUUGGAAAAGAGUUCCUACAAAGGUUUUGGACAGUGAUUUUAACCCUAACGCCAAAAAACUUAAACCUUACCCUGGCAUUAAAAUCUAAUACCCGGGUAUUACAUUAAGGAAGCCUGAACACCCCAAAUAUUUUUUUUUCAUUUUUCAUUUUUUUUGGUCUAACUAACUCCAAAAGGUUGGAAAAGAGUUCCUACAAAGGUUUUGGACAGUGAUUUUAACCCUAACGCCAAAAACCUUAAACCUUACCAUGGCCCCAUAACCUAAUACCCGGGUAUUACUUUUAGGAAGCCUGAACACCCCAAAUAUAUAUUUUUUUCAUUUUACAUUUUUUUUGGUGUAACCAACUCCAAAAGGUUGGAAAAGAGUUCCUACAAAGGUUUUGGACAGUGAUUUUAACCCUAACGCCAAAAAACUUAAACCUUACCAUAGCCUUAAAAUCUAAUACCCGGGUAUUACUUCAGGAAGCCCGAACACCCCAAAUAUUUUUUUUUCAUUUUACUUUUUUGUUGUUGUAACCAACUCCAAAAGGUUGGAAAAAAGUUCCUACAAAGGUUUUGGACAGUGAUUUUAAACCUAACGCCAAAAACCUUAAACCUUACCCUAGCCCAUAACCUAAUACCCGGGUAUUACAUUCAGGAAGCCCGAAACCCCAAAUAUUUUUUUUUUCAUUUUUCAUUCUUUUUGUUGGUGUAACUAACUCCAAAAGGUUGGAAAAGAGUUCCUACAAAGGUUUUGGACAGUGAUUUUAAACCUAAUGCCAUAAACUUUAAACCUUACCAUAGCCCCAUAACCUAAUACCCGGGUAUUACUUUUAGGAAGCCUGAACACCCCAAAUAUUUUUUUUUCAUUUUUCUUUUUUUUUUUGGUCUAACUAACUCCAAAAGGUUGGAAAAGAGUUCCUACAAAGGUUUUGGACAGUGAUAUUAACCCUAACGCCAAAAACCUUAAACCUUUCCCUAGUCCCAAAACCUAAAACCCGGGUAUUACUUUCAGGGAGCCCGAAAACCCCCAAUAAUUUUUUUUUCUUUUUUCAUUUUUUUUGGUGUAACCAACUCCAAAAGGUUGGAAAAGAGUUCCUACAAAGGUUUUGGACAGUGAUUUUAACCCUAACGCCAAAAAACUUAAACCUUACCCUAGCCUUAAAAUCUAAUACCGGGGUAUUACCUUCAGGAAGCCCGAACACCCCAAAUAUUUUUUUGUUCAUUUUACAUUUUUUUUUGGUCUAACCAACUCCAAAAGGUUGGAAAAGAGUUCCUACAAAGGUUUUGGACAGUGAUUUUAACCCUAACGCCAAAAAACUUAAACCUUACCCUAGCCUUAAAAUCUAAUACCCUGGUAUUACAUUCAGGAAGCCCGAAAACCCCAAAUAUAUAUUUUUUCAUUUUUCAUUUUUUUUUGGUUUAUCUAAUUCCAAAAGGUUGGAAAAGUGUUCCUACAAAGGUUUUGGACAGGGAUUUUAACCCUAACGCCAAAAAACUUAAACCUUACCCUAGCCUUAAAAUCUAAUACCCAGGUUACAUUCAGGAAGCCCGAAAACCCCAAAUAUUUUUUUUUCAUUUUUCUUUUUUUUUGGUCAAACUAACUCCAAAAGGUUGGAAAAGAGUUCCUACAAAGGUUUUGGACAGUGAUUUUAACCCUAACGCCAAAAAACUUAAACCUUACCCUAGCCUUGAAAUCUAAUACCCGGGUAUUACCUUCAGGAAGCCCGAACACCCCAAAUAUUUUUUUUUUUCAUUUUACAUUUUUUUUGGUGUAACCAACUCCAAAAGGUUGGAAAAGAGUUCCUACAAAGGUUUUGGACAGUGAUUUUAACCCUAACGCCAAAAACCUUAAACCUUACCAUAGCCCCAUAACCUAAUACCCGGGUAUUACUUUUAGGAAGCCUGAACACCCCAAAUAUUUUUUUCUUCAUUUUACAUUUUUGUUGGUGUAACCAACUCCAAAAGGUUGGAAAAGAGUUCCUACAAAGGUUUUGGACAGUGAUUUUAACCCUAAUGCCAAAAAACUUAAACCUUACCCUAGCCUCAAAAUCUAAUACCCGGGUAUUACAUUCAGGAACCCCGAAAACCCCAAAUAUUGUUUUUUAAUUUUUCAUUUUUUUUGGUCUAACUAACUCCAAAAGGUUGGAAAAGAGUUCCUACAAAGGUUUUGGACAGUGAUUUUAACCCUAACGCCAAAAACCUUAAACCUUACCCUGGCCUUAAAAUCUAAUACCUGGGUAUUACUUUUAGGAAGCCUGAACACCCCAAAUAUUUUUUUUUCAUUUUACUUUUUUUUUGGUCUAACCAACUCCAAAAGGUUGGAAAAGAGUUCCUACAAAGGUUUUGGACAGUGAUUUUAACCCUAACGCCAAAAAACUUAAACCUUACCCUAGCCUUAAAAUCUAAUACCCGGGUAUUACAUUCAGGAAGCCCGAAAACCCCAAAUAUAUAUUUUUUCAUUUUUCUUUUUUUUUUCGGUCAAACUAACUCCAAAAGGUUGGAAAAGAGUUCCUACAAAGGUUUUGGACAGUGAUUUUAACCCUAACGCCAAAAACCUUAAACCUUUCCCUAGUCCCAAAACCUAAUACCCAGGUAUUACUUUCAGGGAGCACGAAAACCCCCAAUAAUUUUUUUUCUUUUUUCAUUUUUGUUGGUGUAACUAACUCCAAAAGGUUGGAAAAGAGUUCCUACAAAGGUUUUGGACAGUGAUUUUAACCCUAACGCCAAAAAACUUAAACCUUACCCUAGCCUUGAAAUCUAAUACCCGGGUAUUACCUUCAGGAAGCCCGAACACCCCAAAUAUUUUUUUUUUUCAUUUUACAUUUUUUUUGGUCUAACUAACUCCAAAAGGUUGGAAAAGAGUUCCUACAAAGGUUUUGGACAGUGAUUUUAACCCUAACGCCAAAAACUUAAACCUUACCAUAGCCCAUAACCUAAUACCCGGGUAUUACUUUUAGGAAGCCUGAACACCCCAAAUAUUUUUUUUUCAUUUUUACAUUUUUGUUGGUGUAACCAACUCCAAAAGGUUGGAAAAGAGUUCCUACAAAGGUUUUGGACAGUGAUUUUAACCCUAAUGCCAAAAAACUUAAACCUUACCCUAGCCUCAAAAUCUAAUACCCGGGUAUUACAUUCAGGAACCCCGAAAACCCCAAAUAUUGUUUUUUAAUUUUUCAUUUUUUUUUGGUCUAACUAACUCCAAAAGGUUGGAAAAGAGUUCCUACAAAGGUUUUGGACAGUGAUUUUAACCCUAACGCCAAAAAACUUAAACCUUACCAUAGCCCCAUAACCUAAUACCUGGGUAUUACUUUUAGGAAGCCUGAACACCCCAAAUAUUUUUUUUUCAUUUUUCUUUUUUUUUUUGGUCUAACUAACUCCAAAAGGUUGGAAAAGAGUUCCUACAAAGGUUUUGGACAGUGAUUUUAACCCUAACGCCAAAAAACUUAAACCUUACCCUGGCCUUAAAAUCUAAUACCUGGGUAUUACUUUCAGGAAGCCCGAACACCCCAAAUAUUUUUUUUUUCAUUUUCUUUUUUUUUGGUGUAACCAACUCCAAAAGGUUGGAAAAGAGUUCCUACAAAGGUUUUGGACAGUGAUUUUAACCCUAACGCCAAAAAACUUAAACCUUACCCUAGCCUUAAAAUCUAAUACCCGGGUAUUACAUUCAGGAAGCCCGAAAACCCCAAAUACUUUUUUUUCAUUUUUCAUUUUUUUUUUGGUCUAACUAACUCCAAAAGGUUGGAAAAGAGUUCCUACAAAGGUUUUGGACAGUGAUUUUAAACCUAACGCCAAAACGUUAAACCUUACCAUAGCCCCAUAACCUAAUACCCGGGUAUUACUUUUAGGAAGCAUGAACACCCCAAAUAUUUUUAUUUCAUUUUUCAUUUUGUUUUUGGUCGAACUAACUCCAAAAGGUUGGAAAAGAGUUCCUACAAAGGUUUUGGACAGUGAUUUUAACCCUAACGCCAAAAACCUUAAACCUUACCAUAGCCCCAUAACCUAAUACCCGGGUAUUACCUUCAGGAAGCCCGAACACCCCAAAUAUUUUUUUCUUCAUUUUACAUUUUUGUUGGUGUAACCAACUCCAAAAGGUUGGAAAAGAGUUCCUACAAAGGUUUUGGACAGUGAUUUUAACCCUAACGCCAAAAACCUUAAACCUUACCAUAGCCCCAUAACCUAAUACCCGGGUAUUACCUUCAGGAAGCCCGAACACCCCAAAUAUUUUUUUUUCAUUUUUCAUUCUUUUUUGGUCUAACCAACUCCAAAAGGUUGGAAAAGAGUUCCUACAAAGGUUUUGGACAGUGAUUUUAACCCUAACGCCAAAAACCUUAAACCUUACCAUAGCCCCAUAACCUAAUACCUGGAUAUUACUUUUAGGAAGCCUGAACACCCCAAAUAUUUUUUUUUCAUUUUUCUUUUUUUUUUGGUCUAACUAACUCCAAAAGGUUGGAAAAGAGUUCCUACAAAGGUUUUGGACAGUGAUUUUAACCCUAACGCCAAAAAACUUAAACCUUACCCUAGCCUUAAAAUCUAAUACCCGGGUAUUACAUUCAGGAAGCCCGAAAACCCCAAAUAUAUAUUUUUUCAUUUUUCAUUUUUUUUUGGUUUAUCUAAUUCCAAAAGGUUGGAAAAGUGUUCCUACAACGGUUUUGGACAGGGAUUUUAACCCUAACGCCAAAACGUUAAACCUUAACAUAGCCCCAUAACCUAAUACCCGGGUAUUACUUUUAGGAAGCCUGAACACCCCAAAUAUUUUUUUUUCAUUUUUCUUUUUUUUUUGGUCAAACUAACUCCAAAAGGUUGGAAAUGUUCCUACAAAGGUUUUGGACAGUGAUUUUAACCCUAACGCCAAAAACCUUAAAACUUACCCUAGCCCCAUAACCUAAUUCCCGGGUAUUACCUUCAGGAAGCCCGAACACCCCAAAUAUUUGUUUUUCAUUUUACAUUUUUGUUGGUGUAACCAACUCCAAAAGGUUGGAAAAGAGUUCCUACAAAGGUUUUGGACAGUGAUUUUAACCCUAACGCCAAAAAACUUAAACCUUACCCUGGCAUUAAAAUCUAAUACCCGGGUAUUACAUUAAGGAAGCCUGAACACCCCAAAUAUUUUUUUUUCAUUUUUCAUUUUUUUUGGUCUAACUAACUCCAAAAGGUUGGAAAAGAGUUCCUACAAAGGUUUUGGACAGUGAUUUUAACCCUAACGCCAAAAACCUUAAACCUUACCAUGGCCCCAUAACCUAAUACCCGGGUAUUACUUUUAGGAAGCCUGAACACCCCAAAUAUAUAUUUUUUUCAUUUUACAUUUUUGUUGGUGUAACCAACUCCAAAAGGUUGGAAAAGAGUUCCUACAAAGGUUUUGGACAGUGAUUGUAACCCUAACGCCAAAAAACUUAAACCUUACCAUAGCCUUAAAAUCUAAUACCCGGGUAUUAUCUUCAGGAAGCCCAAACACCCCAAAUAUUUUUUUUUCAUUUUACUUUUUUGUUGUUGUAACCAACUCCAAAAGGUUGGAAAAAAGUUCCUACAAAGGUUUUGGACAGUGAUUUUAACCCUAACGCCAAAAACCUUAAACCUUUCCCUAGUCCCAAAACCUAAUACCCGGGUAUUACAUUCAGGAAGCCCGGAAACCCCAAAUAUUUUUUUUUUCAUUUUUCAUUCUUUUUGUUGGUGUAACUAACUCCAAAAGGUUGGAAAAGAGUUCCUACAAAGGUUUUGGACAGUGAUUUUAAACCUAACGCCAAAACGUUAAACCUUACCAUAGCCCCAUAACCUAAUACCCGGGUAUUACUUUUAGGAAGCCUGAACACCCCAAAUAUUUUUUUUUCAUUUUUCUUUUUUUUUUGGUCUAACUAACUCCAAAAGGUUGGAAAAGAGUUCCUACAAAGGUUUUGGACAGUGAUUUUAACCCUAACGCCAAAAACCUUAAACCUUUCCCUAGUCCCAAAACCUAAUACCCGGGUAUUACUUUCAGGGAGCCCGAAAACCCCCAAUAAUUUUUUUUUCUUUUUUCAUUUUUUUUGGUGUAACCAACUCCAAAAGGUUGGAAAAGAGUUCCUACAAAGGUUUUGGACAGUGAUUUUAACCCUAACGCCAAAAAACUUAAACCUUACCCUAGCCUUGAAAUCUAAUUCCCGGGUAUUACCUUCAGGAAGCCCGAACACCCCAAAUAUUUUUUUUUUUCAUUUUACAUUUUUUUUGGUGUAACCAACUCCAAAAGGUUGGAAAAGAGUUCCUACAAAGGUUUUGGACAGUGAUUUUAACCCUAACGCCAAAAAACUUAAACCUUACCAUAGCCCCAUAACCUAAUACCCAGGUAUUACUUUUAGGAAGCCUGAACACCCAAAAUAUUUUUUUCUUCAUCUUACAUUUUUGUUGGUGUAACCAACUCCAAAAGGUUGGAAAAGAGUUCCUACAAAGGUUUUGGACAGUGAUUUUAACCCUAAUGCCAAAAAACUUAAACCUUACCCUAGCCUCAAAAUCUAAUACCCGGGUAUUACAUUCAGGAACCCCGAAAACCCCAAAUAUUGUUUUUUAAUUUUUCAUUUUUUUUUGGUCUAACUAACUCCAAAAGGUUGGAAAAGAGUUCCUACAAAGGUUUUGGACAGUGAUUUUAACCCUAACGCCAAAAAACUUAAACCUUACCAUAGCCCCAUAACCUAAUACCUGGAUAUUACUUUUAGGAAGCCUGAACACCCCAAAUAUAUAUUUUUUUCAUUUUACAUUUUUGUUGGUGUAACCAACUCCAAAAGGUUGGAAAAGAUUUCCUACAAAGGUUUUGGACAGUGAUUGUAACCCUAACGCCAAAAACCUUAAACCUUACCCUAGCCUUAAAAUCUAAUACCCGGGUAUUACCUUCAGGAAGCCCAAACACCCCAAAUAUUUUUUUUUCAUUUUACUUUUUUGUUGUUGUAACCAACUCCAAAAGGUUGGAAAAGAGUUCCUACAAAGGUUUUGGACAGUGAUUUUAACCCUAACGCCAAAAACCUUAAACCUUUCCCUAGUCCCAAAACCUAAUACCCGGGUAUUACAUUCAGGAAGCCCGGAAACCCCAAAUAUUUUUUUUUUCAUUUUUCAUUCUUUUUUGGUCUAACUAACUCCAAAAGGUUGGAAAAGAGUUCCUACAAAGGUUUUGGACAGUGAUUUUAAACCUAACGCCAAAAACGUUAAACCUUACCAUAGCCCCAUAACCUAAUACCCGGGUAUUACUUUUAGGAAGCCUGAACACCCCAAAUAUUUUUUUUUCAUUUUUCUUUUUUUUUUUUUGGUCUAACUAACUCCAAAAGGUUGGAAAAGAGUUCCUACAAAGGUUUUGGACAGUGAUUUUAACCCUAACGCCAAAAACCUUAAACCUUUCCUAGUCCCAAAACCUAAUACCCGGGUAUUACUUUCAGGAAGCCCGAAAACCCCCAAAUAAUUUUUUUUUCAUUUUUCAUUUUUUUUGGUGUAACUAACUCCAAAAGGUUGGAAAAGAUUUCCUACAAAGGUUUUGGACAGUGAUUUUAACCCUAACGCCAAAAAACUUAAACCUUACCCUAGCCUUAAAAUCUAAUACCCGGGUAUUACAUUCAGGAAGCCCGAAAACCCCAAAUAUUUAUUUUUUCAUUUUUCAUUUUUUUUUGGUCUAACUAACUCCAAAAGGUUGGAAAAGAGUUCCUACAAAGGUUUUGGACAGUGAUUUUAACCCUAACGCCAAAAAACUUAAACCUUACCCUAGCCUUAAAAUCUAAUACCCGGGUAUUACAUUCAGGAAGCCCGAAAACCCCAAAUAUAUAUUUUUUCAUUUUUCAUUUUUUUUUGGUUUAUCUAAUUCCAAAAGGUUGGAAAAGAGUUCCUACAAAGGUUUUGGACAGUGAUUUUAACCCUGAUGCCAAAAAACUUAAACCUUACCCUAGCCUUAAAAUCUAAUACCCGGGUAUUACAUUCAGGAAGCCCGAAAACCCCAAAUAUAUAUUUUUUCAUUUUUCUUUUUUUUUCGGUCAAACUAACUCCAAAAGGUUGGAAAAGAGUUCCUACAAAGGUUUUGGACAGUGAUUUUAACCCUAACGCCAAAAACCUUAAACCUUACCAUAGCCCCAUAACCUAAUACCCAGGUAUUACUUUUAGGAAGCCUGAACACCCCAAAUAUUUUUUUUUCAUUUUUCUUUUUUUUUGGUCUAACUAACUCCAAAAGGUUGGAAAAGAGUUCCUACAAAGGUUUUGGACAGUGAUUUUAACCCUAACGCCAAAAAACUUAAACCUUACCCUAGCCUUAAAAUCUAAUACCCGGGUAUUACAUUCAGGAAGCCCGAACACCCCAAAUAUUUUUUUUUUUUUCAUUUUACAUUUUUUUUUUGGUCUAACCAACUCCAAAAGGUUGGAAAAGAGUUCCUACAAAGGUUUUGGACAGUGAUUUUAACCCUAACGCCAAAAACCUUAAACCUUACCCUAGCCUUGAAAUCUAAUACCCGGGUAUUACCUUCAGGAAGCCUGAACACCCCAAAUAUUUUUUUCUUUUUUCAUAUUUUUUGGUCUAACUAACUCCAAAAGGUUGGAAAAGAGUUCCUACAAAGGUUUUGGACAGUGAUUUUAACCCUAACGCCAAAAACCUUAAACCUUACCCUAGCCUUGAAAUCUAAUACCCGGGUAUUACCUUCAGGAAGCCCGAACACCCCAAAUAUUUGUUUUUCAUUUUACAUUUUUGUUGGUGUAACCAACUCCAAAAGGUUGGAAAAGAGUUCCUACAAAGGUUUUGGACAGUGAUUUUAACCCUAACGCCAAAAACCUUAAACCUUACCCUAGCCUUAAAAUCUAAUACCCGGGUAUUACAUUCAGGAAGCCUGAACACCCCAAAUAUUUUUUUUUCAUUUUUCAUUUUUUUUUGGUCUAACUAACUCCAAAAGGUUGGAAAAGAGUUCCUACAAAGGUUUUGGACAGUGAUUUUAACCCUAACGCCAAAAACCUUAAACCUUUCCCUAGUCCCAAAACCUAAUACCCGGGUAUUACUUUCAGGGAGCCCGAAAACCCCCAAUAAUAUUUUUUUCUUUUUUCAUAUUUUUUGGUCUAACUAACUCCAAAAGGUUGGAAAAGAGUUCCUACAAAGGUUUUGGACAGUGAUUUUAACCCUAACGCCAAAAACCUUAAACCUUACCAUAGCCCCAUAACCUAAUACCCGGGUAUUACCUUCAGGAAGCCCGAACACCCCAAAUAUUUUUUUUUCAUUUUUCAUUUUUUUUGGUCUAACUAACUCCAAAAGGUUGGAAAAGAGUUCCUACAAAGGUUUUGGACAGUGAUUUUAACCCUAACGCCAAAAACCUUAAACCUUACCAUAGCCCCAUAACCUAAUACCCGGGUAUUACUUUUAGGAAGCCUGAACACCCCAAAUAUUUUUUUUCAUUUUUCUUUUUUUUUUUUGGUCAAACUAACUCCAAAAGGUUGGAAAAGAGUUCCUACAAAGGUUUUGGACAGUGAUUUUAACCCUAACGCCAAAAACCUUAAACCUUACCAUGGCCCCAUAACCUAAUACCCGGGUAUUACUUUUAGGAAGCCUGAACACCCCAAAUAUAUAUUUUUUUCAUUUUACAUUUUUGUUGGUGUAACCAACUCCAAAAGGUUGGAAGAGUUCCUACAAAGGUUUUGGACAGUGAUUGUAACCCUAACGCCAAAAAACUUAAACCUUACCCUAGCCUUAAAAUCUAAUACCCGGGUAUUACCUUCAGGAAGCCCAAACACCCCAAAUAUUUUUUUUUCAUUUUACUUUUUUGUUGUUGUAACCAACUCCAAAAGGUUGGAAAAGAGUUCCUACAAAGGUUUUGGACAGUGAUUUUAACCCUAACGCCAAAAACCUUAAACCUUACCAUAGCCCCAUAACCUAAUACCCGGGUAUUACUUUUAGGAAGCCUGAACACCCCAAAUAUAUAUUUUUUUCAUUUUACAUUUUUGUUGGUGUAACCAACUCCAAAAGGUUGGAAAAGAGUUCCUACAAAGGUUUUGGACAGUGAUUUUAACCCUAACGCCAAAAAACUUAAACCUUACCCUAGCCUUAAAAUCUAAUACCCGGGUAUUACCUUCAGGAAGCCCAAACACCCCAAAUAUUUUUUUUUCAUUUUACAUUUUUGUUGGUUGUAACCAACUCCAAAAGGUUGGAAAAGAGUUCCUACAAAGGUUUUGGACAGUGAUUUUAACCCUAACGCCAAAAAACUUAAACCUUACCAUAGCCCCAUAACCUAAUACCUGGGUAUUACUUUUAGGAAGCCUGAACACCCCAAAUAUUUUUUUUUCAUUUUUCUUUUUUUUUUGGUCUAACUAACUCCAAAAGGUUGGAAAAGAGUUCCUACAAAGGUUUUGGACAGUGAUUUUAACCCUAACGCCAAAAACCUUAAACCUUACCCUAGCCUUAAAAUCUAAUACCCGGGUAUUACCUUCAGGAAGCCCGAACACCCCAAAUAUGUUUUUUUCAUUUUACAUUUUUGUUGGUGUAACUAACUCCAAAAGGUUGGAAAAGAGUUCCUACAAAGGUUUUGGACAGUGAUUUUAACCCUAAUGCCAAAAAACUUAAACCUUACCCUAGCCUUAAAAUCUAAUACCCGGGUAUUACAUUAAGGAAGCCUGAACACCCCAAAUAUUUUUUUUUCAUUUUUCUUUUUUUUUGGUCUAACUAACUCCAAAAGGUUGGAAAAGAGUUCCUACAAAGGUUUUGGACAGUGAUUUUAACCCUAACGCCAAAAACCUUAAACCUUACCCUAGCCUUAAAAUCUAAUACCCGGGUAUUACAUUCAGGAAGCCCGAACACCCCAAAUAUUUUUUUUUCAUUUUUCAUUUUUUUUUGGUCUAACUAACUCCAAAAGGUUGGAAAAGAGUUCCUACAAAGGUUUUGGACAGUGAUUUUAACCCUAACGCCAAAAACCUUAAACCUUACCCUAGUCCCAAAACCUAAUACCCGGGUAUUACUUUCAGGAAGCCCGAAAACCCCAAAUAUUUUUUUUUUUCUUUUUUCAUAUUUUUUGGUCUAACUAACUCCAAAAGGUUGGAAAAGAGUUCCUACAAAGGUUUUGGACAGUGAUUUUAACCCUAACGCCAAAAAACUUAAACCUUACCCAUAGCCCCAUAACCUAAUACCCGGGUAUUACUUUAAGGAAGCCUGAACACCCCAAAUAUUUUUUUUCAUUUUUCAUUUUUUUUUGGUCUAACCAACUCCAAAAGGUUGGAAAAGAGUUCCUACAAAGGUUUUGGACAGUGAUUUUAACCCUAACGCCAAAAACCUUAAACCUUACCCUAGCCUUAAAAUCUAAUACCCGGGUAUUACAUUCAGGAACCCCGAAAACCCCAAAUAUUGUUUUUUCAUUUUUCAUUUUUUUUGGUCUAACUAACUCCAAAAGGUUGGAAAAGAGUUCCUACAAAGGUUUUGGACAGUGAUUUUAACCCUAACGCCAAAAACCUUAAACCUUACCAUAGCCCCAUAACCUAAUACCCGGGUAUUACUUUUAGGAAGCCUGAACACCCCAAAUAUUUUUUUUUCAUUUUUCUUUUUUUUUGGUCUAACUAACUCCAAAAGGUUGGAAAAGAGUUCCUACAAAGGUUUUGGACAGUGAUUUUAACCCUAACGCCAAAAAACUUAAACCUUACCCUAGCCUUAAAAUCUAAUACCCGGGUAUUACAUUCAGGAAGCCCGAACACCCCAAAAAUUUUUUUUCUCAUUUUACAUUUUUUUUUGGUGUAACCAACUCCAAAAGGUUGGAAAAGAGUUCCUACAAAGGUUUUGGACAGUGAUUUUAACCCUAACGCCAAAAACCUUAAACCUUACCAUAGCCCCAUAACCUAAUACCCGGGUAUUACUUUUAGGAAGCCUGAACACCCCAAAUAUUUUUUUUUCAUUUUUCUUUUUUUUUGGUCAAACUAACUCCAAAAGGUUGGAAAAGAGUUCCUACAAAGGUUUUGGACAGUGAUUUUAACCCUAACGCCAAAAACCUUAAACCUUACCCUAGCCCCAUAACCUAAUACCCGGGUAUUACCUUCAGGAAGCCCGAACACCCCAAAUAUUUUUUUUUCAUUUUACAUUUUUGUUGGUGUAACCAACUCCAAAAGGUUGGAAAAGAGUUCCUACAAAGGUUUUGGACAGUGAUUUUAACCCUAAUGCCAAAAAACUUAAACCUUACCCUAGCCUCAAAAUCUAAUACCCGGGUAUUACAUUAAGGAAGCCUGAACACCCCAAAUAUUUUUUUUUCAUUUUUCAUUUUUUUUGGUCUAACUAACUCCAAAAGGUUGGAAAAGAGUUCCUACAAAGGUUUUGGACAGUGAUUUUAACCCUAACGCCAAAAACCUUAAACCUUUCCCUAGUCCCAAAACCUAAUACCCGGGUAUUACUUUCAGGGAGCCCGAAAACCCCCAAUAAUAUUUUUUUCUUUUUUCAUAUUUUUUGGUCUAACUAACUCCAAAAGGUUGGAAAAGAGUUCCUACAAAGGUUUUGGACAGUGAUUUUAACCCUAACGCCAAAAACCUUAAACCUUACCAUAGCCCCAUAACCUAAUACCCAGGUAUUACCUUCAGGAAGCCCGAACACCCCAAAUAUUUUUUUUUCAUUUUUCAUUCUUUUUUGGUCUAACUAACUCCAAAAGGUUGGAAAAGAGUUCCUACAAAGGUUUUGGACAGUGAUUUUAACCCUAACGCCAAAAACCUUAAACCUUACCAUAGCCCCAUAACCUAAUACCUGGUAUUACUUUAAGGAAGCCUGAACACCCCAAAUAUUUUUUUUCAUUUUUCUUUUUUUUUGGUCUAACUAACUCCAAAAGGUUGGAAAAGAGUUCCUACAAAGGUUUUGGACAGUGAUUUUAACCCUAACGCCAAAAACCUUAAACCUUACCCUAGCCCCAUAACCUAAUACCCGGGUAUUACCUUCAGGAAGCCCGAACACCCCAAAUAUUUUUUUUCAUUUUCAUUUUUGUUGGUGUAACUAACUCCAAAAGGUUGGAAAAGAGUUCCUACAAAGGUUUUGGACAGUGAUUUUAACCCUAACGCCAAAAACCUUAAACCUUACCCUAGCCUUGAAAUCUAAUACCCGGGUAUUACCUUCAGGAAGCCCGAACACCCCAAAUAUUUUUUUUCAUUUUUCUUUUUUUUUUGGUGUAACCAACUCCAAAAGGUUGGAAAAGAGUUCCUACAAAGGUUUUGGACAGUGAUUUUAACCCUAAUACCAAAAAACUUAAACCUUACCCUAGCCUCAAAAUCUAAUACCCGGGUAUUACAUUAAGGAAGCCUGAACACCCCAAAUAUUUUUUUUUUCAUUUUUCAUUUUUUUUGGUCUAACUAACUCCAAAAGGUUGGAAAAGAGUUCCUACAAAGGUUUUGGACAGUGAUUUUAACCCUAACGCCAAAAACCUUAAACCUUUCCCUAGUCCCAAAACCUAAUACCCGGGUAUUACUUUCAGGGAGCCCGAAAACCCCAAUAAUAUUUUUUUCUUUUUUCAUAUUUUUUGGUCUAACUAACUCCAAAAGGUUGGAAAAGAGUUCCUACAAAGGUUUUGGACAGUGAUUUUAACCCUAACGCCAAAAACCUUAAAACUUACCAUAGCCCCAUAACCUAAUACCCAGGUAUUACCUUCAGGAAGCCCGAACACCCCAAAUAUUUUUUUUCAUUUUUCAUUCUUUUUUGGUCUAACUAACUCCAAAAGGUUGGAAAAGAGUUCCUACAAAGGUUUUGGACAGUGAUUUUAACCCUAACGCCAAAAACCUUAAACCUUACCAUAGCCCCAUAACCUAAUACCUGGAUAUUACUUUUAGGAAGCCUGAACACCCCAAAUAUUUUUUUUUCAUUUUUCUUUUUUUUUUGGUCAAACUAACUCCAAAAGGUUGGAAAUGUUCCUACAAAGGUUUUGGACAGUGAUUUUAACCCUAACGCCAAAAACCUUAAAACUUACCCUAGCCCCAUAACCUAAUUCCCGGGUAUUACCUUCAGGAAGCCCGAACACCCCAAAUAUUUUUUUUUUCAUUUUACAUUUUUGUUGGUGUAACCAACUCCAAAAGGUUGGAAAAGAGUUCCUACAAAGGUUUUGGACAGUGAUUUUAACCCUAACGCCAAAAAACUUAAACCUUACCCUGGCAUUAAAAUCUAAUACCCGGGUAUUACAUUAAGGAAGCCUGAACACCCCAAAUAUUUUUUUUUCAUUUUUCAUUUUUUUUGGUCUAACUAACUCCAAAAGGUUGGAAAAGAGUUCCUACAAAGGUUUUGGACAGUGAUUUUAACCCUAACGCCAAAAACCUUAAACCUUACCAUGGCCCCAUAACCUAAUACCCGGGUAUUACUUUUAGGAAGCCUGAACACCCCAAAUAUAUAUUUUUUUCAUUUUACAUUUUUGUUGGUGUAACCAACUCCAAAAGGUUGGAAAAGAGUUCCUACAAAGGUUUUGGACAGUGAUUUUAACCCUAACGCCAAAAACCUUAAACCUUACCCUAGCCUUAAAAUCUAAUACCCGGGUAUUACCUUCAGGAAGCCCAAACACCCCAAAUAUUUUUUUUUCAUUUUACAUUUUUGUUGGUGUAACCAACUCCAAAAGGUUGGAAAAGAGUUCCUACAAAGGUUUUGGACAGUGAUUUUAACCCUAACGCCAAAAACCUUAAACCUUACCCUAGCCCAAUAACCUAAUACCCGGGUAUUACUUUCAGGGAGCCCGAAAACCCCCAAAUAAUUUUUUUUUCAUUUUUCAUUUUUUUUGGUGUAACUAACUCCAAAAGGUUGGAAAAGAGUUCCUACAAAGGUUUUGGACAGUGAUUUUAACCCUAACGCCAAAAACCUUAAACCUUACCCUAGCCUUAAAAUCUAAUACCGGGUAUUACCUUCAGGAAGCCCGAACACCCCAAAUAUUUUUUUUUCAUUUUACAUUUUUGUUGGUGUAACCAACUCCAAAAGGUUGGAAAAGAGUUCCUACAAAGGUUUUGGACAGUGAUUUUAACCCUAACGCCAAAAAACUUAAACCUUACCCUAGCCUUAAAAUCUAAUACCCGGGUAUUACAUUCAGGAAGCCCGAACACCCCAAAUAUAUAUUUUUUCAUUUUUCAUUUUUGUUUUGGUUUAACUAACUCCAAAAGGUUGGAAAAGAGUUCCUACAAAGGUUUUGGACAGUGAUUUUAACCCUAACGCCAAAAAACUUAAACCUUACCCUAGCCUUAAAAUCUAAUACCCGGGUAUUACAUUCAGGAAGCCCGAAAACCCCAAAUAUAUAUUUUUUCAUUUUUCAUUUUUUUUUUGGUUUAUCUAAUUCCAAAAGGUUGGAAAAGUGUUCCUACAAAGGUUUUGGACAGGGAUUUUAACCCUAACGCCAAAAAACUUAAACCUUAACCUAGCCUUAAAAUCUAAUACCCGGGUAUUACAUUCAGGAAGCCCGAAAACCCCAAAUAUAUAUUUUUUCAUUUUUCUUUUUUUUUUUGGUCAAACUAACUCCAAAAGGUUGGAAAAGAGUUCCUACAAAGGUUUUGGACAGUGAUUUUAACCCUAACGCCAAAAACCUUAAACCUUUCCCCAGUCCCAAAACCUAAUACCCGGGUAUUACCUUCAGGAAGCCCGAACACCCCAAAUAUUUGUUUUUCAUUUUUCAUUUUUUUUUGGUCUAACUAACUCCAAAAGGUUGAAAAAGAGUUCCUACAAAGGUUUUGGACAGUGAUUUUAACCCUAACGCCAAAAAACUUAAACCUUACCCUAGCCUUAAAAUCUAAUACCCGGGUAUUACAUUCAGGAAGCCCGAAAACCCCAAAUAUAUAUUUUUUCAUUUUUCAUUUUUUUUUGGUUUAUCUAAUUCCAAAAGGUUGGAAAAGUGUUCCUACAAAGGUUUUGGACAGGGAUUUUAACCCUAACGCCAAAAAACUUAAACCUUACCCUAGCCUUAAAAUCUAAUACCCGGGUAUUACAUUCAGGAAGCCCGAAAACCCCAAAUAUAUAUUUUUUCAUUUUUCUUUUUUUUUCGGUCAAACUAACUCCAAAAGGUUGGAAAAGAGUUCCUACAAAGGUUUUGGACAGUGAUUUUAACCCUAACGCCAAAAACCUUAAACCUUUCCCUAGUCCCAAAACCUAAUACCCGGGUAUUACUUUCAGGGAGCCCGAAAACCCCCAAUAAUAUUUUUUUCUUUUUUUAUAUUUUUUGGUCUAACUAACUCCAAAAGGUUGGAAAAGAGUUCCUACAAAGGUUUUGGACAGUGAUUUAAACCCUAAUGCCAAAAAACUUAAACCUUACCCUGGCAUUAAAAUCUAAUACCCGGGUAUUACAUUAAGGAAGCCUGAACACCCCAAAUAUUUUUUUUUCAUUUUUCAUUUUUUUUGGUCUAACUAACUCCAAAAGGUUGGAAAAGAGUUCCUACAAAGGUUUUGGACAGUGAUUUUAACCCUAACGCCAAAAACCUUAAACCUUACCCUAGCCUUGAAAUCUAAUACCCGGGUAUUACCUUCAGGAAGCCAGAACACCCCAAAUAUUUGUUUUUCAUUUUACAUUUUUGUUGGUGUAACCAACUCCAAAAGGUUGGAAAAGAGUUCCUACAAAGGUUUUGGACAGUGAUUUUAACCCUAACGCCAAAAACCUUAAACCUUACCAUAGCCCCAUAACCUAAUACCCAGGUAUUACUUUUAGGAAGCCUGAACACCCCAAAUAUUUUUUUUUCAUUUUUCUUUUUUUUUUGGUCAAACUAACUCCAAAAGGUUGGAAAAGAGUUCCUACAAAGGUUUUGGACAGUGAUUUUAACCCUAACGCCAAAAACCUUAAACCUUACCCUAGCCCCAUAACCUAAUACCCGGGUAUUACCUUCAGGAAGCCCGAACACCCCAAAUAUUUUUUUUUCAUUUUACAUUUUUGUUGGUGUAACCAACUCCAAAAGGUUGGAAAAGAGUUCCUACAAAGGUUUUGGACAGUGAUUUUAACCCUAACGCCAAAAACCUUAAACCUUACCCUAGCCUCAAAAUCUAAUACCCGGGUAUUACAUUCAGGAAGCCUGAACACCCCAAAUAUUUUUUUUUCAUUUUUCAUUUUUUUUUGGUCUAACUAACUCCAAAAGGUUGGAAAAGAGUUCCUACAAAGGUUUUGGACAGUGAUUUUAACCCUAACGCCAAAAACCUUAAACCUUUCCCUAGUCCCAAAACCUAAUACCCGGGUAUUACUUUCAGGGAGCCCGAAAACCCCAAUAAUAUUUUUUUCAUUUUUCAUAUUUUUUGGUCUAACUAACUCCAAAAGGUUGGAAAAGAGUUCCUACAAAGGUUUUGGACAGUGAUUUUAACCCUAACGCCAAAAACCUUAAACCUUACCAUAGCCCCAUAACCUAAUACCCGGGUAUUACCUUCAGGAAGCCCGAACACCCCAAAUAUUUUUUUUUCAUUUUUCAUUUUUUUUUGGUCUAACUAACUCCAAAAGGUUGGAAAAGAGUUCCUACAAAGGUUUUGGACAGUGAUUUUAACCCUAACGCCAAAAACCUUAAACCUUACCAUAGCCCCAUAACCUAAUACCCGGGUAUUACUUUUAGGAAGCCUGAACACCCCAAAUAUUUUUUUUUUCAUUUUUCUUUUUUUUUGGUCUAACUAACUCCAAAAGGUUGGAAAAGAGUUCCUACAAAGGUUUUGGACAGUGAUUUUAACCCUAACGCCAAAAACCUUAAACCUUACCCUAGCCCCAUAACCUAAUACCCGGGUAUUACCUUCAGGAAGCCCGAACACCCCAAAUAUUUUUUUUUCAUUUUACAUUUUACAUUUUUUUUGGUGUAACUAACUCCAAAAGGUUGGAAAAGAGUUCCUACAAAGGUUUUGGACAGUGAUUUUAACCCUAACGCCGAAAAACUUAAACCUUACCCUGGCAUUAAAAUCUAAUACCCGGGUAUUACUUUUAGGAAGCCUGAACACCCCAAAUAUUUUUUUCUUCUUUUUUCAUUUCUUUUUGGUCUAACUAACUCCAAAAGGUUGGAAAAGAGUUCCUACAAAGGUUUUGGACAGUGAUUUUAACCCUAACGCCAAAAACCUUAAACCUUACCAUAGCCCCAUAACCUAAUACCCGGGUAUUACUUUUAGGAAGCCUGAACACCCCAAAUAUUUUUUUUUCAUUUUACAUUUUUGUUGGUGUAACCAACUCCAAAAGGUUGGAAAAGAGUUCCUACAAAGGUUUUGGACAGUGAUUUUAACCCUAACGCCAAAAAACUUAAACCUUACCCUAGCCUCAAAAUCUAAUACCCGGGUAUUACAUUCAGGAACCCCGAAAACCCCAAAUAUUUUUUUUAAUUUUUCAUUUUUUUUUGGUCUAACUAACUCCAAAAGGUUGGAAAAGAGUUCCUACAAAGGUUUUGGACAGUGAUUUUAACCCUAACGCCAAAAACCUUAAACCUUACCCUAGCCCCAUAACCUAAUACCCGGGUAUUACCUUCAGGAAGCCCGAACACCCCAAAUAUUUUUUUUCAUUUUACAUUUUUGUUGGUCUAACUAACUCCAAAAGGUUGGAAAAGAGUUCCUACAAAGGUUUUGGACAGUGAUUUUAACCCUAACGCCAAAAAACUUAAACCUUACCCUGGCAUUAAAAUCUAAUACCCGGGUAUUACAUUCAGGAAGCCUGAACACCCCAAAUAUUUUUUUUCAUUUUUCAUUUUUUUUGGUCUAACUAACUCCAAAAGGUUGGAAAAGAGUUCCUACAAAGGUUUUGGACAGUGAUUUUAACCCUAACGCCAAAAACCUUAAACCUUUCCCUAGUCCCAAAACCUAAUACCCGGGUAUUACUUUCAGGAAGCCCGAAAACCCCAAUAAUAUUUUUUUUUUUUUUAUUUUUUUGGUCUAACUAACUCCAAAAGGUUGGAAAAGAGUUCCUACAAAGGUUUUGGACAGUGAUUUUAACCCUAACGCCAAAAAACUUAAACCUUACCCUAGCCUUAAAAUCUAAUACCCGGGUAUUACAUUAAGGAAGCCUGAACACCCCAAAUAUUUUUUUUUUCAUUUUUCAUUUUUUUUGGUCUAACUAACUCCAAAAGGUUGGAAAAGAGUUCCUACAAAGGUUUUGGACAGUGAUUUUAACCCUAACGCCAAAAACCUUAAACCUUACCCUAGCCUUGAAAUCUAAUACCCGGGUAUUACCUUCAGGAAGCCUGAACACCCCAAAUAUUUUUUUUUCAUUUUACAUUUUUGUUGGUGUAACCAACUCCAAAAGGUUGGAAAAGAGUUCCUACAAAGGUUUUGGACAGUGAUUUUAACCCUAACGCCAAAAAACUUAAACCUUACCAUAGCCCCAUAACCUAAUACCUGGUAUUACUUUUAGGAAGCCUGAACACCCCAAAUAUUUUUUUUUCAUUUUUCUUUUUUUUUUGGUCUAACUAACUCCAAAAGGUUGGAAAAGAGUUCCUACAAAGGUUUUGGACAGUGAUUUUAACCCUAACGCCAAAAACCUUAAACCUUACCCUAGCCCCAAAACCUAAUACCCGGGUAUUACCUUCAGGAAGCCCGAACACCCCAAAUAUUUUUUUUUUUUUUUUUCAUUUUUUUGGUCUAACUAACUCCAAAAGGUUGGAAAAGAGUUCCUACAAAGGUUUUGGACAGUGAUUUUAACCCUAACGCCAAAAACCUUAAACCUUACCCUAGCCUCAAAAUCUAAUACCCGGGUAUUACAUUCAGGAAGCCUGAACACCCCAAAUAUUUUUUUUUCAUUUUUCAUUUUUUUUGGUCUAACUAACUCCAAAAGGUUGGAAAAGAGUUCCUACAAAGGUUUUGGACAGUGAUUUUAACCCUAACGCCAAAAACCUUAAACCUUUCCCUAGUCCCAAAACCUAAUACCCGGGUAUUACUUUCAGGGAGCCCGAAAACCCCCAAAUAUUUUUUUCUUUUUUCAUAUUUUUUGGUCUAACUAACUCCAAAAGGUUGGAAAAGAGUUCCUACAAAGGUUUUGGACAGUGAUUUUAACCCUAACGCCAAAAACCUUAAACCUUACCAUAGCCCCAUAACCUAAUACCCGGGUAUUACCUUCAGGAAGCCCGAACACCCCAAAUAUUUUUUUUUCAUUUUUCAUUUUUUUUGGUCUAACCAACUCCAAAAGGUUGGAAAAGAGUUCCUACAAAGGUUUUGGACAGUGAUUUUAACCCUAACGCCAAAAACCUUAAACCUUACCAUAGCCCCAUAACCUAAUACCCGGGUAUUACUUUAAGGAAGCCUGAACACCCCAAAUAUUUUUUUUUCAUUUUUCUUUUUUUUUGGUCAAACUAACUCCAAAAGGUUGGAAAAGAGUUCCUACAAAGGUUUUGGACAGUGAUUUUAACCCUAACGCCAAAAACCUUAAACCUUACCCUAGCCCCAUAACCUAAUACCCGGGUAUUACCUUCAGGAAGCCCGAACACCCCAAAUAUUUUUUUUUCAUUUUUACAUUUUUUUUGGUCUAACUAACUCCAAAAGGUUGGAAAAGAGUUCCUACAAAGGUUUUGGACAGUGAUUUUAACCCUAACGCCAAAAACCUUAAACCUUACCCAUAGCCCCAUAACCUAAUACCCGGGUAUUACUUUUAGGAAGCCUGAACACCCCAAAUAUUUUUUUUUCAUUUUUCUUUUUUUUUUGGUCUAACUAACUCCAAAAGGUUGGAAAAGAGUUCCUACAAAGGUUUUGGACAGUGAUUUUAACCCUAACGCCAAAAAACUUAAACCUUACCCUAGCCUUAAAAUCUAAUACCCGGGUAUUACAUUCAGGAAGCCCGAACACCCCAAAUAUUUUUUUUCAUUUUACAUUUUUUUUGGUGUAACUAACUCCAAAAGGUUGGAAAAGAGUUCCUACAAAGGUUUUGGACAGUGAUUUUAACCCUAACGCCAAAAACCUUAAACCUUACCCUAGCCUUUAAAUCUAAUACCCGGGUAUUACCUUCAGGAAGCCUGAACACCCCAAAUAUUUUUUUCUUUUUUCAUAUUUUUUGGUCUAACUAACUCCAAAAGGUUGGAAAAGAGUUCCUACAAAGGUUUUGGACAGUGAUUUUAACCCUAACGCCAAAAACCUUAAACCUUACCCUAGCCUUAAAAUCUAAUACCCGGGUAUUACAUUCAGGAACCCCGAAAACACCCCAAAUAUUUUUUUUCUUUUUUCAUUUUUUUGGUCUAACUAACUCCAAAAGGUUGGAAAAGAGUUCCUACAAAGGUUUUGGACAGUGAUUUUAACCCUAACGCCAAAAACCUUAAACCUUACCAUAGCCCCAUAACCUAAUACCCGGGUAUUACUUUUAGGAAGCCUGAACACCCCAAAUAUUUUUUUUUCAUUUUUCUUUUUUUUUUUGGUCUAACUAACUCCAAAAGGUUGGAAAAGAGUUCCUACAAAGGUUUUGGACAGUGAUUUUAACCCUAACGCCAAAAAACUUAAACCUUACCCUAGCCUUAAAAUCUAAUACCCGGGUAUUACUUUCAGGAAGCCCGAACACCCCAAAAAUUUUUUUUCUCAUUUUACAUUUUUUUUGGUGUAACCAACUCCAAAAGGUUGGAAAAGAGUUCCUACAAAGGUUUUGGACAGUGAUUUUAACCCUAACGCCAAAAACCUUAAACCUUUCCCUAGUCCCAAAACCUAAUACCCGGGUAUUACUUUCAGGGAGCCCGAAAACCCCCAAUAAUAUUUUUUUCUUUUUUCAUAUUUUUUGGUCUAACUAACUCCAAAAGGUUGGAAAAGAGUUCCUACAAAGGUUUUGGACAGUGAUUUUAACCCUAACGCCAAAAACCUUAAACCUUACCAUAGCCCCAUAACCUAAUACCCGGGUAUUACCUUCAGGAAGCCCGAACACCCCAAAUAUUUUUUUUUUUUCAUUUUUCAUAUUUUUUGGUCUAACCAACUCCAAAAGGUUGGAAAAGAGUUCCUACAAAGGUUUAUGACAGUGAUUUUAACCCUAACGCCAAAAACCUUAAACCUUACCAUAGCCCCAUAACCUAAUACCUGGAUAUUACUUUAAGGAAGCCUGAACACCCCAAAUAUUUGUUUUUCAUUUUUCUUUUUUUUUUGGUCUAACUAACUCCAAAAGGUUGGAAAAGAGUUCCUACAAAGGUUUUGGACAGUGAUUUUAACCCUAACGCCAAAAACCUUAAACCUUACCCUAGCCCCAUAACCUAAUACCCGGGUAUUACCUUCAGGAAGCCCGAACACCCCAAAUAUUUUUUUUUCAUUUUACAUUUUUUUGGUGUAACCAACUCCAAAAGGUUGGAAAAGAGUUCCUACAAAGGUUUUGGACAGUGAUUUUAACCCUAAUGCCAAAAAACUUAAACCUUACCCUAGCCCUAAAAUCUAAUACCCGGGUAUUACAUUAAGGAAGCCUGAACACCCCAAAUAUUUUUUUUUCAUUUUUCUUUUUUUUUGGUCUAACUAACUCCAAAAGGUUGGAAAAGAGUUCCUACAAAGGUUUUGGACAGUGAUUUUAACCCUAACGCCAAAAACCUUAAACCUUACCCUGGCCUUAAAAUCUAAUACCCGGGUAUUACAUUCAGGAAGCCCGAACACCCCAAAAUAUUUUUUUCUCAUUUUUCUUUUUUUUUUUGGUCUAACCAACUCCAAAAGGUUGGAAAAGAGUUCCUACAAAGGUUUUGGACAGUGAUUUUAACCCUAACGCCAAAAACCUUAAACCUUUCCCUAGUCCCAAAACCUAAUUCCCGGGUAUUACCUUCAGGAAGCCCGAACACCCCAAAUAUUUUUUUUUCAUUUUUCAUUUUUUUUGGUCUAACUAACUCCAAAAGGUUGGAAAAGAGUUCCUACAAAGGUUUUGGACAGUGAUUUUAACCCUAACGCCAAAAACCUUAAACCUUACCAUAGCCCCAUAACCUAAUACCCGGGUAUUACUUUAAGGAAGCCUGAACACCCCAAAUAUUUUUUUUCAUUUUUCUUUUUUUGGUCUAACUAACUCCAAAAGGUUGGAAAAGAGUUCCUACAAAGGUUUUGGACAGUGAUUUUAACCCUAACGCCAAAAACCUUAAACCUUACCCUAGCCCCAUAACCUAAUACCCGGGUAUUACCUUCAGGAAGCCCGAACACCCCAAAUAUUUUUUUUCAUUUUACAUUUUUUUGGUCUAACCAACUCCAAAAGGUUGGAAAAGAGUUCCUACAAAGGUUUUGGACAGUGAUUUUAACCCUAACGCCAAAAACCUUAAACCUUACCCUAGCCUUAAAAUCUAAUACCCGGGUAUUACAUUAAGGAAGCCCGAACACCCCAAAUAUUUGUUUUUCAUUUUACAUUUUUGUUGGUGUAACCAACUCCAAAAGGUUGGAAAAGAGUUCCUACAAAGGUUUUGGACAGUGAUUUUAACCCUAACGCCAAAAACCUUAAACCUUACCCUAGCCUUAAAAUCUAAUACCCGGGUAUUACAUUCAGGAAGCCCGAACACCCCAAAUAUUUUUUUUUCAUUUUACAUUUUUUUUGGUGUAACCAACUCCAAAAGGUUGGAAAAGAGUUCCUACAAAGGUUUUGGACAGUGAUUUUAACCCUAACGCCAAAAACCUUAAACCUUACCCUAGCCCAAUAACCUAAUACCCGGGUAUUACUUUCAGGAAGCCCGAAAACCCCAAAUAUUUUUUUUUCAUUUUUCAUUUUUUUUGGUCUAACUAACUCCAAAAGGUUGGAAAAGAGUUCCUACAAAGGUUUUGGACAGUGAUUUUAACCCUAACGCCAAAAACCUUAAACCUUACCAUAGCCCCAUAACCUAAUACCCGGGUAUUACCUUCAGGAAGCCCGAACACCCCAAAUAUUUUUUUUUCAUUUUUCAUUUUUUUUGGUCUAACUAACUCCAAAAGGUUGGAAAAGAGUUCCUACAAAGGUUUUGGACAGUGAUUUUAACCCUAACGCCAAAAACCUUAAACCUUACCCUAGCCCCAUAACCUAAUACCUGGGUAUUACUUUCAGGAAGCCUGAACACCCCAAAUAUUUUUUUUCAUUUUUCUUUUUUUUUGGUCUAACUAACUCCAAAAGGUUGGAAAAGAGUUCCUACAAAGGUUUUGGACAGUGAUUUUAACCCUAACGCCAAAAACCUUAAACCUUACCCUAGCCCCAUAACCUAAUACCCGGGUAUUACCUUCAGGAAGCCCGAACACCCCAAAUAUUUUUUUUUCAUUUUACAUUUUUUUGGUGUAACCAACUCCAAAAGGUUGGAAAAGAGUUCCUACAAAGGUUUUGGACAGUGAUUUUAACCCUAACGCCAAAAAACUUAAACCUUACCCUGGCAUUAAAAUCUAAUACCCGGGUAUUACAUUCAGGAAGCCUGAACACCCCAAAUAUUUUUUUUUCAUUUUUCAUUUUUUUUGGUCUAACUAACUCCAAAAGGUUGGAAAAGAGUUCCUACAAAGGUUUUGGACAGUGAUUUUAACCCUAACGCCAAAAACCUUAAACCUUACCCUAGCCUUAAAAUCUAAUACCCAGGUUACAUUCAGGAAGCCCGAAAACCCCAAAUAUUUUUUUUUCAUUUUUCAUUUUUUUUUGGUCUAACUAACUCCAAAAGGUUGGAAAAGAGUUCCUACAAAGGUUUUGGACAGUGAUUUUAACCCUAACGCCAAAAAACUUAAACCUUACCCUAGCCUUAAAAUCUAAUACCCGGGUAUUACAUUCAGGAAGCCCGAAAACCCCAAAUAUUUUUUUUUCAUUUUUCAUUUUUUUUUGGUCUAACUAACUCCAAAAGGUUGGAAAAGAGUUCCUACAAAGGUUUUGGACAGUGAUUUUAACCCUAACGCCAAAAACUUAAACCUUACCCUAGCCUUAAAAUCUAAUACCCGGGUAUUACAUUCAGGAAGCCCGAAAACCCCAAAUAUAUAUUUUUUCAUUUUUUUUUUUUUUUGGUCUAACUAACUCCAAAAGGUUGGAAAAGAGUUCCUACAAAGGUUUUGGACAGUGAUUUUAACCCUAACGCCAAAAACCUUAAACCUUUCCCUAGUCCCAAAACCUAAUACCCGGGUAUUACUUUCAGGAAGCCCGAACACCCCAAAUAUUUUUUUUCAUUUUCAUUUUUUUUGGUCUAACUAACUCCAAAAGGUUGGAAAAGAGUUCCUACAAAGGUUUUGGACAGUGAUUUUAACCCUAACGCCAAAAAACUUAAACCUUACCCUAGCCUUGAAAUCUAAUACCCGGGUAUUACCUUCAGGAAGCCUGAACACCCAAAAUAUUUUUUUCUUCAUCUUACAUUUUUGUUGGUCUAACUAACUCCAAAAGGUUGGAAAAGAGUUCCUACAAAGGUUUUGGACAGUGAUUUUAACCCUAACGCCAAAAAACCUUAAACCUUACCAUAGCCCCAAAAUCUAAUACCCGGGUAUUACCUUCAGGAAGCCGAAACACCCCAAAUAUUUUUUUGUCCAUUUUUCUUUUUUUUUUGGUCUAACUAACUCCAAAAGGUUGGAAAAGAGUUCCUACAAAGGUUUUGGACAGUGAUUUUAACCCUAACGCCAAAAACCUUAAACCUUACCAUGGCCCCAUAACCUAAUACCCGGGUAUUACUUUUAGGAAGCCUGAACACCCCAAAUAUAUAUUUUUUUCAUUUUAAAUUUUUUUUGGUGUAACCAACUCCAAAAGGUUGGAAAAGAGUUCCUACAAAGGUUUUGGACAGUGAUUUUAACCCUAACGCCAAAAAACUUAAACCUUACCCUAGCCUUAAAAUCUAAUACCCGGGUAUUACCUUCAGGAAGCCCAAACACCCCAAAUAUUUUUUUUUCAUUUUACUUUUUUGUUGUUGUAACCAACUCCAAAAGGUUGGAAAAGAGUUCCUACAAAGGUUUUGGACAGUGAUUUUAACCCUAACGCCAAAAACCUUAAACCUUUCCCUAGCCCCAAAACCUAAUACCCGGGUAUUACUUUCAGGAAGCCCGAAAACCCCAAAUAUUUUUUUUUCAUUUUUCAUUUUUUUUGGUCUAACUAACUCCAAAAGGUUGGAAAAGAGUUCCUACAAAGGUUUUGGACAGUGAUUUUAACCCUAACGCCAAAAAACUUAAACCUUACCCUAGCCUUAAAAUCUAAUACCCGGGUAUUACCUUCAGGAAGCCCGAACACCCCAAAUAUUUUUUUGUUCAUUUUACAUUUUUGUUGGUGUAACCAACUCCAAAAGGUUGGAAAAGAGUUCCUACAAAGGUUUUGGACAGUGAUUUUAACCCUAACGCCAAAAAACUUAAACCUUACCCUAGCCUUAAAAUCUAAUACCCGGGUAUUACAUUCAGGAAGCCCGAAAACCCCAAAUAUAUAUUUUUUCAUUUUUCAUUUUUUUUUGGUCUAACUAACUCCAAAAGGUUGGAAAAGAGUUCCUACAAAGGUUUUGGACAGUGAUUUUAACCCUAACGCCAAAAAACUUAAACCUUACCCUAGCCUUAAAAUCUAAUACCCGGGUAUUACCUUCAGGAAGCCUGAACACCCCAAAUAUUUUUUUAUUUUUUCAUAUUUUUUGGUCUAACUAACUCCAAAAGGUUGGAAAAGAGUUCCUACAAAGGUUUUGGACAGUGAUUUUAACCCUAACGCCAAAAACCUUAAACCUUACCCUAGCCUUGAAAUCUAAUACCCGGGUAUUACCUUCAGGAAGCCUGAACACCCCAAAUAUUUUUUUCUUCAUCUUACAUUUUUGUUGGUGUAACCAACUCCAAAAGGUUGGAAAAGAGUUCCUACAAAGGUUUUGGACAGUGAUUUUAACCCUAAUGCCAAAAAACUUAAACCUUACCCUAGCCUUAAAAUCUAAUACCCGGGUAUUACAUUCAGGAAGCCCGAAAACCCCAAAUAUUGUUUUUUAAUUUUUCAUUUUUUUUUGGUCUAACUAACUCCAAAAGGUUGGAAAAGAGUUCCUACAAAGGUUUUGGACAGUGAUUUUAACCCUAACGCCAAAAAACUUAAACCUUACCCUGGCAUUAAAAUCUAAUACCCGGGUAUUACAUUAAGGAAGCCUGAACACCCCAAAUAUUUUUUUUUCAUUUUUCAUUUUUUUUUGGUCUAACUAACUCCAAAAGGUUGGAAAAGAGUUCCUACAAAGGUUUUGGACAGUGAUUUUAACCCUAACGCCAAAAACCUUAAACCUUUCCCUAGUCCCAAAACCUAAUACCCGGGUAUUACUUUUAGGAAGCCUGAACACCCCAAAUAUUUUUUUUUCUUUUUUCAUAUUUUUUGGUCUAACUAACUCCAAAAGGUUGGAAAAGAGUUCCUACAAAGGUUUUGGACAGUGAUUUUAACCCUAACGCCGAAAAACUUAAACCUUACCCUGGCAUUAAAAUCUAAUACCCGGGUAUUACAUUUAGGAAGCCUGAACACCCCAAAUAUUUUUUUUUCAUUUUUCAUUUUUUUUGGUCUAACUAACUCCAAAAGGUUGGAAAAGAGUUCCUACAAAGGUUUUGGACAGUGAUUUUAACCCUAACGCCAAAAACCUUAAACCUUACCCUAGCCUUGAAAUCUAAUACCCUGGUAUUACCUUCAGGAAGCCAGAACACCCCAAAUAUUUGUUUUUCAUUUUACAUUUUUGUUGGUGUAACCAACUCCAAAAGGUUGGAAAAGAGUUCCUACAAAGGUUUUGGACAGUGAUUUUAACCCUAACGCCAAAAACCUUAAACCUUACCAUAGCCCCAUAACCUAAUACCCGGGUAUUACUUUUAGGAAGCCUGAACACCCCAAAUAUUUUUUUUUCAUUUUUCUUUUUUUUUUGGUCAAACUAACUCCAAAAGGUUGGAAAUGUUCCUACAAAGGUUUUGGACAGUGAUUUUAACCCUAACGCCAAAAACCUUAAAACUUACCCUAGCCCCAUAACCUAAUUCCCGGGUAUUACCUUCAGGAAGCCCGAACACCCCAAAUAUUUGUUUUUCAUUUUACAUUUUUGUUGGUGUAACCAACUCCAAAAGGUUGGAAAAGAGUUCCUACAAAGGUUUUGGACAGUGAUUUUAACCCUAACGCCAAAAACCUUAAACCUUACCCUAGCCUCAAAAUCUAAUACCCGGGUAUUACAUUCAGGAAGCCUGAACACCCCAAAUAUUUUUUUUUCAUUUUUCAUUUUUUUUGGUCUAACUAACUCCAAAAGGUUGGAAAAGAGUUCCUACAAAGGUUUUGGACAGUGAUUUUAACCCUAACGCCAAAAACCUUAAACCUUUCCCUAGUCCCAAAACCUAAUACCCGGGUAUUACUUUCAGGGAGCCCGAAAACCCCCAAUAAUAUUUUUUUCAUUUUUUUUUUUUUUUUGGUCUAACUAACUCCAAAAGGUUGGAAAAGAGUUCCUACAAAGGUUUUGGACAGUGAUUUUAACCCUAACGCCAAAAACCUUAAAACUUACCAUAGCCCCAUAACCUAAUUCCCAGGUAUUACCUUCAGGAAGCCCGAACACCCCAAAUAUUUUUUUUUCAUUUUUCAUUCUUUUUUGGUCUAACUAACUCCAAAAGGUUGGAAAAGAGUUCCUACAAAGGUUUUGGACAGUGAUUUUAACCCUAACGCCAAAAACCUUAAACCUUACCCUAGCCCCAUAACCUAAUACCCGGGUAUUACUUUUAGGAAGCCUGAACACCCCAAAUAUUUUUUUUUCAUUUUUCUUUUUUUUUUGGUCUAACUAACUCCAAAAGGUUGGAAAAGAGUUCCUACAAAGGUUUUGGACAGUGAUUUUAACCCUAACGCCAAAAACCUUAAACCUUACCCUAGCCCCAUAACCUAAUUCCCGGGUAUUACCUUCAGGAAGCCCGAACACCCCAAAUAUUUUUUUUUCAUUUUACAUUUUUGUUGGUGUAACCAACUCCAAAAGGUUGGAAAAGAGUUCCUACAAAGGUUUUGGACAGUGAUUUUAACCCUAACGCCAAAAAACUUAAACCUUACCCUGGCAUUAAAAUCUAAUACCCGGGUAUUACAUUAAGGAAGCCUGAACACCCCAAAUAUUUUUUUUUCAUUUUUCAUUUUUUUUGGUCUAACUAACUCCAAAAGGUUGGAAAAGAGUUCCUACAAAGGUUUUGGACAGUGAUUUUAACCCUAACGCCAAAAACCUUAAACCUUACCAUAGCCCCAUAACCUAAUACCCGGGUAUUACUUUUAGGAAGCCUGAACACCCCAAAUAUUUUUUUUUCAUUUUACAUUUUUGUUGGUGUAACCAACUCCAAAAGGUUGGAAAAGAGUUCCUACAAAGGUUUUGGACAGUGAUUUUAACCCUAAUGCCAAAAAACUUAAACCUUACCCUAGCCUCAAAAUCUAAUACCCGGGUAUUACAUUCAGGAACCCCGAAAACCCCAAAUAUUUUUUUUAAUUUUUCAUUUUUUUGGUCUAACUAACUCCAAAAGGUUGGAAAAGAGUUCCUACAAAGGUUUUGGACAGUGAUUUUAACCCUAACGCCAAAAACCUUAAACCUUACCCUAGCCCCAUAACCUAAUACCCGGGUAUUACCUUCAGGAAGCCCGAACACCCCAAAUAUUUUUUUUCAUUUUACAUUUUUUUUGGUGUAACCAACUCCAAAAGGUUGGAAAAGAGUUCCUACAAAGGUUUUGGACAGUGAUUUUAACCCUAACGCCGAAAAACUUAAACCUUACCCUAGCCAUUAAAAUCUAAUACCCGGGUAUUACAUUAAGGAAGCCUGAACACCCCAAAUAUUUUUUUUUUUUCAUUUUUCUUUUUUUUUGGUCUAACUAACUCCAAAAGGUUGGAAAAGAGUUCCUACAAAGGUUUUGGACAGUGAUUUUAACCCUAACGCCAAAAACCUUAAACCUUACCCUAGCCCCAAAACCUAAUACCCGGGUAUUACUUUCAGGAAGCCCGAAAACCCCCAAUAAUUUUUUUUUCUUUUUUCAUUUUUUUGGUCUAACUAACUCCAAAAGGUUGGAAAAGAGUUCCUACAAAGGUUUUGGACAGUGAUUUAAACCCUAAUGCCAAGAAACUUAAACCUUACCCUGGCAUUAAAAUCUAAUACCCGGGUAUUACAUUAAGGAAGCCUGAACACCCCAAAUAUUUUUUUUUCAUUUUUCAUUUUUUUUGGUCUAACUAACUCCAAAAGGUUGGAAAAGAGUUCCUACAAAGGUUUUGGACAGUGAUUUUAACCCUAACGCCAAAAACCUUAAACCUUACCCUAGCCUUGAAAUCUAAUACCCGGGUAUUACCUUCAGGAAGCCCGAACACCCCAAAUAUUUGUUUUUCAUUUUACAUUUUUGUUGGUGUAACCAACUCCAAAAGGUUGGAAAAGAGUUCCUACAAAGGUUUUGGACAGUGAUUUUAACCCUAACGCCAAAAAACUUAAACCUUACCCUAGCCUUAAAAUCUAAUACCCGGGUAUUACAUUAAGGAAGCCUGAACACCCCAAAUAUUUUUUUUUCAUUUUUCAUUUUUUUUGGUCUAACUAACUCCAAAAGGUUGGAAAAGAGUUCCUACAAAGGUUUUGGACAGUGAUUUUAACCCUAACGCCAAAAACCUUAAACCUUACCCUAGCCUUAAAACCUAAUACCCGGGUAUUACAUUCAGGAAGCCCGAAAACCCCAAAUAUUUUUUUCAUUUUUCAUAUUUUUUGGUCUAACUAACUCCAAAAGGUUGGAAAAGAGUUCCUACAAAGGUUUUGGACAGUGAUUUUAACCCUAACGCCAAAAACCUUAAACCUUACCAUAGCCCAAUAACCUAAUUCCCAGGUAUUACCUUCAGGAAGCCCGAACACCCCAAAUAUUUUUUUUUCAUUUUUCAUAUUUUUUGGUCUAACCAACUCCAAAAGGUUGGAAAAGAGUUCCUACAAAGGUUUUGGACAGUGAUUUUAACCCUAACGCCAAAAACCUUAAACCUUACCAUAGCCCCAUAACCUAAUACCCAGGUAUUACUUUUAGGAAGCCUGAACACCCCAAAUAUUUUUUUUUCAUUUUUCUUUUUUUUUGGUCUAACUAACUCCAAAAGGUUGGAAAAGAGUUCCUACAAAGGUUUUGGACAGUGAUUUUAACCCUAACGCCAAAAACCUUAAACCUUACCCUAGCCCCAUAACCUAAUACCCGGGUAUUACCUUCAGGAAGCCCGAACACCCCAAAUAUUUUUUUUUCAUUUUACAUUUUUGUUGGUGUAACCAACUCCAAAAGGUUGGAAAAGAGUUCCUACAAAGGUUUUGGACAGUGAUUUUAACCCUAACGCCAAAAACCUUAAACCUUACCAUAGCCCCAUAACCUAAUACCCGGGUAUUACCUUCAGGAAGCCCGAACACCCCAAAUAUUUUUUUUUCAUUUUUCAUUCUUUUUUGGUCAUUUUUGUUGGUGUAACCAACUCCAAAAGGUUGGAAAAGAGUUCCUACAAAGGUUUUGGACAGUGAUUUUAACCCUAAUGCAAAAAAACUUAAACCUUACCCUAGCCUCAAAAUCUAAUACCCGGGUAUUACAUUCAGGAACCCCGAAAACCCCAAAUAUUUUUUUUUAAUUUUUCAUUUUUUUUUGGUCUAACUAACUCCAAAAGGUUGGAAAAGAGUUCCUACAAAGGUUUUGGACAGUGAUUUUAACCCUAACGCCAAAAACCUUAAACCUUACCCUAGCCCCAUAACCUAAUACCCGGGUAUUACCUUCAGGAAGCCCGAACACCCCAAAUAUUUUUUUUCAUUUUACAUUUUUUUGGUGUAACUAACUCCAAAAGGUUGGAAAAGAGUUCCUACAAAGGUUUUGGACAGUGAUUUUAACCCUAACGCCAAAAAACUUAAACCUUACCCUAGCCUUAAAAUCUAAUACCCGGGUAUUACAUUCAGGAAGCCUGAACACCCCAAAUAUUUUUUUUUUCAUUUUUCAUUUUUUUUGGUCUAACUAACUCCAAAAGGUUGGAAAAGAGUUCCUACAAAGGUUUUGGACAGUGAUUUUAACCCUAACGCCAAAAACCUUAAACCUUACCAUGGCCCCAUAACCUAAUACCCGGGUAUUACUUUUAGGAAGCCUGAACACCCCAAAUAUAUAUUUUUUUCAUUUUAAAUUUUUGUUGGUGUAACCAACUCCAAAAGGUUGGAAAAGAGUUCCUACAAAGGUUUUGGACAGUGAUUGUAACCCUAACGCCAAAAAACUUAAACCUUACCCUAGCCUUAAAAUCUAAUACCCGGGUAUUACCUUCAGGAAGCCCAAACACCCCAAAUAUUUUUUUUUCAUUUUACUUUUUUGUUGUUGUAACCAACUCCAAAAGGUUGGAAAAGAGUUCCUACAAAGGUUUUGGACAGUGAUUUUAACCCUAACGCCAAAAACCUUAAACCUUUCCCUAGUCCCAAAACCUAAUACCCGGGUAUUACUUUCAGGGAGCCCGAAAACCCCCAAUAAAAUUUUUUUCUUUUUUCAUAUUUUUUGGUCUAACUAACUCCAAAAGGUUGGAAAAGAGUUCCUACAAAGGUUUUGGACAGUGAUAUUAACCCUAACGCCAAAAACCUUAAAACUUACCAUAGCCCCAUAACCUAAUUCCCAGGUAUUACCUUCAGGAAGCCCGAACACCCCAAAUAUUUUUUUUUCAUUUUUCAUUUUUUUUGGUCUAACCAACUCCAAAAGGUUGGAAAAGAGUUCCUACAAAGGUUUUGGACAGUGAUUUUAACCCUAACGCCAAAAACCUUAAACCUUACCAUAGCCCCAUAACCUAAUACCCGGGUAUUACUUUUAGGAAGCCUGAACACCCCAAAUAUUUUUUUUUCAUUUUUCUUUUUUUUUGGUCUAACUAACUCCAAAAGGUUGGAAAAGAGUUCCUACAAAGGUUUUGGACAGUGAUUUAAACCCUAACGCCAAAACCUUAAACCUUACCCUAGCCCCAUAACCUAAUACCCGGGUAUUACCUUCAGGAAGCCCGAACACCCCAAAUAUUUUUUUUUCAUUUUACAUUUUUGUUGGUGUAACCAACUCCAAAAGGUUGGAAAAGAGUUCCUACAAAGGUUUUGGACAGUGAUUUUAACCCUAACGCCAAAAAACUUAAACCUUACCCUGGCCAUUAAAAUCUAAUACCCGGGUAUUACAUUAAGGAAGCCUGAACACCCCAAAUAUUUUUUUUUCAUUUUUCAUUUUUUUUGGUCUAACUAACUCCAAAAGGUUGGAAAAGAGUUCCUACAAAGGUUUUGGACAGUGAUUUUAACCCUAACGCCAAAAACCUUAAACCUUACCAUGGCCCCAUAACCUAAUACCCGGGUAUUACUUUUAGGAAGCCUGAACACCCCAAAUAUAUAUUUUUUUCAUUUUACAUUUUUUUUGGUGUAACCAACUCCAAAAGGUUGGAAAAGAGUUCCUACAAAGGUUUUGGACAGUGAUUUUAACCCUAACGCCAAAAAACUUAAACCUUACCUAGCCUUAAAAUCUAAUACCCGGGUAUUACCUUCAGGAAGCCCAAACACCCCAAAUAUUUUUUUUUCAUUUUACUUUUUUGUUGGUGUAACCAACUCCAAAAGGUUGGAAAAGAGUUCCUACAAAGGUUUUGGACAGUGAUUUUAACCCUAACGCCAAAAACCUUAAACCUUUCCCUAGUCCCAAAACCUAAUACCCGGGUAUUACAUUCAGGAAGCCCGGAAACCCCAAAUAUUUUUUUUCAUUUUUCAUUUUUUUUUGGUCUAACUAACUCCAAAAGGUUGGAAAAGAGUUCCUACAAAGGUUUUGGACAGUGAUUUUAACCCUAACGCCAAAAACCUUAAACCUUACCAUAGCCCCAUAACCUAAUACCCGGGUAUUACUUUUAGGAAGCCUGAACACCCCAAAUAUUUUUUUUUCAUUUUUCAUUUUUUUUUUGGUCUAACUAACUCCAAAAGGUUGGAAAAGAGUUCCUACAAAGGUUUUGGACAGUGAUUUUAACCCUAACGCCAAAAACCUUAAACCUUACCAUAGCCAAAAAACUAAUACCCGGGUAUUACCACAGGAAGCCCGAAAACCCCAAAUAUUUUUUUUUUCAUUUUUCAUCCUUUUUUUGGUCUAACUAACUCCAAAAGGUUGGAAAAGAGUUCCUACAAAGGUUUUGGACAGUGAUUUUAACCCUAACGCCAAAAACCUUAAACCUUACCAUAGCCCCAAAACCUAAUACCCGGGUAUUACUUUUAGGAAGCCUGAACACCCCAAAUAUUUUUUUUUCAUUUUUCAUUUUUUUUUGGUCUAACUAACUCCAAAAGGUUGGAAAAGAGUUCCUACAAAGGUUUUGGACAGUGAUUUUAACCCUAACGCCAAAAACCUUAAACCUUACCCUAGCCCAAAACCUAAUACCCGGGUAUUACUUUCAGGAAGCCCGAAAACCCCAAAUAUUUUUUUUUCUUUUUCAUUUUUUUUUUGGUCUAACUAACUCCAAAAGGUUGGAAAAGAGUUCCUACAAAGGUUUUGGACAGUGAUUUUAAACCUAAUGCCAAAAACUUUAAACCUUACCAUAGCCCCAUAACCUAAUACCCGGGUAUUACUUUUAGGAAGCCUGAACACCCCAAAUAUUUUUUUUUCAUUUUUCAUUUUUUUUUGGUCUAACUAACUCCAAAAGGUUGGAAAAGAGUUCCUACAAAGGUUUUGGACAGUGAUUUUAACCCUAACGCCAUUAAGCUUAAACCUUACCCUAGCCUUUAAAUCUACUACCCGGGUAUUACCACAGGAAGCCCGAACACCCCAAAUAUUUUUUUUUUUCAUUUUACAUUUUUGUUGGUGUAACCAACUCCAAAAGGUUGGAAAAGAGUUCCUACAAAGGUUUUGGACAGUGAUUUUAACCCUAAUGCCAAAAACCUUAAACCUUACCAUAGCCCCAUAACCUAAUACCCGGGUAUUACUUUUAGGAAGCCUGAACACCCCAAAUAUUUUUUUUUCAUUUUUCUUUUUUUUUUGGUCUAACUAACUCCAAAAGGUUGGAAAAGAGUUCCUACAAAGGUUUUGGACAGUGAUUUUAACCCUAACGCCAAAAAACUUAAACCUUACCCUGGCCUUAAAAUCUAAUACCCGGGUAUUACAUUAAGGAAGCCCGGAAACCCCAAAUAUUUUUUUUUCUUUUUUCAUUUUUUUUUUGGUCUAAGUAACUCCAAAAGUUUGGAAAAGAGUUCCUACAAAGGUUUUGGACAGUGAUUUUAACCCUAACGCCAUUAAGCUUAAACCUUACCAUAGCCUUUAAAUCUAAUACCCGGGUAUUACCACAGGAAGACCGAAAACCCCAAAUAUUUUUUUUUCCUUUUUCAUAUUUUUUUGGUCUAACUAACUCCAAAAGGUUGGAAAAGAGUUCCUACAAAGGUUUUGGACAGUGAUUUUAACCCUAACGCCAAAAAACUUAAACCUUACCCUGGCCUUAAAAUCUAAUACCCGGGUAUUACUUUUAGGAAGCCUGAACACCCCAAAUAUUUUUUUUUCAUUUUUCAUUUUUUUUGGUCUAACUAACUCCAAAAGGUUGGAAAAGAGUUCCUACAAAGGUUUUGGACAGUGAUUUUAACCCUAAUGCCAAAAAACUUAAACCUUACCCUGGCCUUAAAAUCUAAUACCCGGGUAUUACAUUAAGGAAGCCCGGAAACCCCAAAUAUUUUUUUUUCAUUUUUCAUUCUUUUUUUGGUCUAACUAACUCCAAAAGGUUGGAAAGAGUUCCUACAAAGGUUUUGGACAGUGAUUUUAAACCUAAUGCCAAAAACCUUAAACCUUACCAUAGCCCCAUAACCUAAUACCCGGGUAUUACUUUUAGGAAGCCUGAACACCCCAAAUAUUUUUUUUUCAUUUUUCAUUUUUUUUGGUCUAACUAACUCCAAAAGGUAGGAAAAGAGUUCCUACAAAGGUUUUGGACAGUGAUUUUAACCCUAACGCCAAAAACCUUAAACCUUACCAUAGCCCCAUAACCUAAUACCCAGGUAUUACCUUCAGGAAGCCCGAACACCCCAAAUAUUUUUUUUUUCAUUUUUCAUUUUUGUUGGUCUAACUAACUCCAAAAGGUUGGAAAAGAGUUCCUACAAAGGUUUUGGACAGUGAUUUUAACCCUAACGCCAAAAACCUUAAACCUUACCCUAGCCCCAAAACCUAAUACCCGGGUAUUACCUUCAGGAAGCCCGAAAACCCCAAAUAUUUUUUUUUCCUUUUUAAUAUUUUUUGGUCUAACUAACUCCAAAAGGUUGGAAAAGAGUUCCUACAAAGGUUUUGGACAGUGAUUUUAACCCUAACGCCAAAAACCUUAAACCUUACCAUAGCCCCAUAACCUAAUACCCGGGUAUUACUUUUAGGAAGCCUGAACACCCCAAAUAUUUUUUUUUCAUUUUUCAUUUUUUUUUUGGUCUAACUAACUCCAAAAGGUUGGAAAAGAGUUCCUACAAAGGUUUUGGACAGUGAUUUUAACCCUAACGCCAAAAACCUUAAACCUUACCCUAGCCUUAAAAUCUAAUACCCGGGUAUUACUUUUAGGAAGCCCGAACACCCCAAAUAUUUUUUUUUUCAUUUUACAUUUUUGUUGGUGUAACCAACUCCAAAAGGUUGGAAAAGAGUUCCUACAAAGGUUUUGGACAGUGAUUUUAACCCUAACGCCAAAAACCUUAAACCUUACCAUAGCCCCAUAACCUAAUACCCGGGUAUUACUUUCAGGAAGCCUGAACACCCCAAAUAUUUUUUUUUCAUUUUUCUUUUUUUUUGGUCUAACUAACUCCAAAAGGUUGGAAAAGAGUUCCUACAAAGGUUUUGGACAGUGAUUUUAACCCUAACGCCAUAAAACUUAAACCUUUCCCUGGCCUUAAAAUCUAAUACCCGGGUAUUACAUUAAGGAAGCACAAAAACCCCAAACAUUUUUCUUUUCAUUUUUCAUUUUUUUUUGGUCUAACUAACUCCAAAAGGUUGGAAAGAGUUCCUACAAAGGUUUUGGACAGUGAUUUUAACCCUAAUGCCAAAAACCUUAAACCUUACCAUAGCCCCAUAACCUAAUACCCGGGUAUUACUUUUAGGAAGCCUGAACACCCCAAAUAUUUUUUUUUCAUUUUUCAUUUUUUUUUUUGGUCUAACUAACUCCAAAAGGUUGGAAAAGAGUUCCUACAAAGGUUUUGGACAGUGAUUUUAACCCUAAUGCCAAAAACCUUAAACCUUACCAUAGCCCCAUAACCUAAUACCCGGGUAUUACUUUCAGGAAGCCCGAACACCCCAAAUAUUUUUUUUUUCAUUUUACAUUUUUGUUGGUGUAACCAACUCCAAAAGGUUGGAAAAGAGUUCCUACAAAGGUUUUGGACAGUGAUUUUAACCCUAAUGCCAAAAACUUAAACCUUACCAUAGCCCCAUAACCUAAUACCCGGGUAUUACCUUCAGGAAGCCCGAACACCCCAAAUAUUUUUUUUUCAUUUUACAUUUUUGUUGGUGUAACCAACUCCAAAAGGUUGGUGUUACACCCCACCCUUAGGCGGCCCUAUGGGGCCAACAACAAUCCUCAACUUUUUACCCAUCAAAUUAACCAAAACACCUUCAAGAGUUUAACACGUGAUUUAUUGUGAAAAAACAACAAAAUUGCAAACUAAACACAAAGCACCCACAACACAAAUGAGAGGCAGCAGGGCAGCAGUUCCCCACCAAAUGCCUCUCCAGACUGCAGGCAGCUCUGGGCUUUUAGACUCCCAGCACCAGGUGAGUCUGAUUGUCACUCAAGUGAUUUCACCUGGGCAGCUAUGGAGAGACAAAGAGGAAAACACAUGCAAAACAAACACACAGCCGUAACAGUUGGAAAAGAGUUCCUACAAAGGUUUUGGACAGUGAUUUUAACCCUAACGCCAAAAACUUAAACCUUACCCUAGCCUUAAAAUCUAAUACCCGGGUAUUACUUUUAGGAAGCCUGAACACCCCAAAUAUAUUUUUUUCAUUUUACAUUUUUUUUGGUGUAACUAACUCCAAAAGGUUGGAAAAGAGUUCCUACAAAGGUUUUGGACAGUGAUUUUAACCCUAAUGCCAAAAACCUUAAACCUUACCAUAGCCCCAUAACCUAAUACCCGGGUAUUACAUUUAGGAAGCCUGAACACCCCAAAUAUUUUUUUUUCAUUUUUUUUUUUUUUUUUUGGUCUAACUAGCUCCAAAAAAUUGGAAAUGAGUUCCUACAAAGGUUUUGGACAGUGAUUUUAACCCUAACGCCAUAAAACUUAAACCUUUCCCUGGCCUUAAAAUCUAAUACCCGGGUAUUACAUUCAGGAAGCCCGAAAACCCCAAAUAUUUUUUUUCAUUUUACAUUUUUGUUGGUGUAACUAACUCCAAAAGGUUGGAAAAGAGUUCCUACAAAGGUUUUGGACAGUGAUUUUAACCCUAACGCCAAAAACCUUAAACCUUACCAUAGCCCCAUAACCUAAUACCCGGGUAUUACCUUCAGGAAGCCCGAACACCCCUAACAUUUUUUUUUCAUUUUACAUUUUUGUUGGUGUAACCAACUCCAAAAGGUUGGUGUUACACCCCACCCUUAGGCGGCCCUAUGGGGCCAACAACAAUCCUCAACUUUUUACCCAUCAAAUUAACCAAAACACCUUCAAGAGUUUAACACGUGAUUUAUUGUGAAAAAACAACAAAAUUGCAAACUAAACACAAAGCACCCACAACACAAAUGAGAGGCAGCAGGGCAGCAGUUCCCCACCAAAUGCCUCUCCAGACUGCAGGCAGCUCUGGGCUUUUAGACUCCCAGCACCAGGUGAGUCUGAUUGUCACUCAAGUGAUUUCACCUGGGCAGCUAUGGAGAGACAAAAGAGGAAAACACAUGCAAAACAACACACACUAACAGUUGGAAAAGAGUUCCUACAAAGGUUUUGGACAGUGAUUUUAACCCUAACGCCAAAAACUUAAACCUUACCCUAGCCUUAAAAUCUAAUACCCAGUUAUUACUUUUAGGAAGCCUGAACACCCCAAAUAUUUUUUUUUUUCAUUUUACAUUUUUUUUGGUCUAACCAACUCCAAAAGGUUGGAAAAGAGUUCCUACAAAGGUUUUGGACAGUGAUUUUAACCCUAACGCCAAAAACCUUAAACCUUACCAUAGCCCCAUAACCUAAUACCCGGGUAUUACAUUUAGGAAGCCUGAACACCCCAAAUAUUUUUUUUCAUUUUUCAUUUUUUUUUUGGUCUAACUAACUCCAAAAGGUUGGAAAAGAGUUCCUACAAAGGUUUUGGACAGUGAUUUUAACCCUAACGCCAUAAAACUUAAACCUUUCCCUGGCCUUAAAAUCUAAUACCCGGGUAUUACAUUCAGGAAGCCCGAAAACCCCAAAUAUUUUUUUUUUCAUUUUACAUUUUUGUUGGUGUAACCAACUCCAAAAGGUUGGAAAAGAGUUCCUACAAAGGUUUUGGACAGUGAUUUUAACCCUAACGCCAAAAACAUUAAACCUUACCAUAGCCCCAUAACCUAAUACCCGGGUAUUACCUUCAGGAAGCCCGAACACCCCUAACAUUUUUUUUUCAUUUUACAUUUUUGUUGGUGUAACCAACUCCAAAAGGUUGGUGUUACACCCCACCCUUAGGCGGCCCUAUGGGGCCAACAACAAUCCUCAACUUUUUACCCAUCAAAUUAACCAAAACACCUUCAAGAGUUUAACACGUGAUUUAUUGUGAAAAAACAACAAAAUUGCAAACUAAACACAAAGCACCCACAACACAAAUGAGAGGCAGCAGGGCAGCAGUUCCCCACCAAAUGCCUCUCCAGACUGCAGGCAGCUCUGGGCUUUUAGACUCCCAGCACCAGGUGAGUCUGAUUGUCACUCAAGUGAUUUCACCUGGGCAGCUAUGGAGAGACAAAAGAGGAAAACACAUGCAAAACAAACACACAGCCGUAACAGUUGGAAAAGAGUUCCUACAAAUGUUUUGGACAGUGAUUUUAACCCUAACGCCAUAAAACUUAAACCUUACCCUAGCCUUAAAAUCUAAUACCCGGGUAUUACUUUUAGGAAGCCUGAACACCCCAAAAGAUAUAUUUUUUUCAUUUUACAUUUUUGUUGGUGUAACCAACUCCAAAAGGUUGGAAAAGAGUUCCUACAAAGGUUUUGGACAGUGAUUUUAACCCUAAUGCCAAAAACUUUAAACCUUACCAUAGCCCCAUAACCUAAUACCCGGGUAUUACAUUUAGGAAGCCUGAACACCCCAAAUAUUUUUUUUCAUUUUUCAUUUUUUUUUGGUCUAACUAACUCCAAAAGGUUGGAAAUGAGUUCCUACAAAGGUUUUGGACAGUGAUUUUAACCCUAACGCCAUAAAACUUAAACCUUUCCCUGGCCUUAAAAUCUAAUACCCGGGUAUUACAUUCAGGAAGCCCGAAAACCCCAAAUAUUUUUUUUUCAUUUUACAUUUUUGUUGGUGUAACCAACUCCAAAAGGUUGGAAAAGAGUUCCUACAAAGGUUUUGGACAGUGAUUUUAACCCUAACGCCAAAAACCUUAAACCUUACCCUUGCCCCAAAACUUGAUACCCGGGUAUUACCUUCAGGAAGCCCGAAAACCCCAAAUAUAUUUUUUUCCUUUUUCAUAUUUUUUUGGUCUAGCUAACUCCAAAAGGUUGGAAAAGAGUUCCUACAAAGGUUUUGGACAGUGAUUUUAACCCUAACGCCAAAAACCUUAAACCUUACCAUAGCCCCAUAACCUAAUACCGGGGUAUUACUUUUAGGAAGCCUGAAAACCCCAAAUAUGUUUUUUUUUCAUUUUUCAUUUUUUUUUGGUCUAACUAACUCCAAAAGGUUGGAAAGAGUUCCUACAAAGGUUUUGGACAGUGAUUUUAACCCUAACGCCAUAAAACUUAAACCUUACCCUAGCCUUAAAAUCUAAUACCCGGGUAUUACAUUCAGGAAGCCCGAAAACCCCAAAUAUUUUUUUUCAUUUUACAUUUUUGUUGGUGUAACCAACUCCAAAAGGUUGGAAAAGAGUUCCUACAAAGGUUUUGGACAGUGAUUUUAACCCUAACGCCAAAAACCUUAAACCUUACCCUAGCCUUAAAAUCUAAUACCCGGGUAUUACCUUCAGGAAGCCCGAAAACCCCAAAUAUUUUUUUUUCAUUUUUCAUUUUUUUUUGGUCUAACUAACUCCAAAAGGUUGGAAAAGAGUUCCUACAAAGGUUUUGGACAGUGAUUUUAACCCUAACGCCAAAAACCUUAAACCUUACCCAAGCCCCAUAACCUAAUAUAAUACCUGUAUAACCUUCAGGAGUCCUGAACACCCCAAAUAUUUUUUUUUUUUUUUCAUUUUUUUUUGGUCUAACUAACUCCAAAAGGUUGGAAAAGAGUUCCUACAAAGGUUUUGGACAGUGAUUUUAACCCUAACGCCAAAAACCUUAAACCUUACCAUAGCCCCAAAACCUAAUACCCGGGUAUUACUUUUAGGAAGCCUGAACACCCCAAAUAUUUUUUUUUCAUUUUUCAUUUUUUUUUUUGGUCUAACUAACUCCAAAAGGUUGGAAAAGAGUUCCUACAAAGGUUUUGGACAGUGAUUUUAACCCUAACGCCAAAAACCUUAAACCUUACCAUAGCCCCAUAACCUAAUACCCGGGUAUUACUUUUAGGAAGCCUGAACACCCCAAAUAUUUUUUUUUCAUUUUUCAUUUUUUUUGGUCUAACUAAAUCCAAAAGGUUGGAAAAGAGUUCCUACAAAGGUUUUGGACAGUGAUUUUAACCCUAACGCCAAAAACCUUAAACCUUACCCUAGCCCCAAAACCUAAUACCCGGGUAUUACCUUCAGGAAGCCCGAAAACCCCAAAUAUUUUUUUUUCAUUUUUCAUUUUUUUUGGUCUAACUAACUCCAAAAGGUUGGAAAAGAGUUCCUACAAAGGUUUUGGACAGUGAUUUUAACCCUAACGCCAUAAAACUUAAACCUUACCCUUGCCUUAAAAUCUAAUACCCGGGUAUUACUUUUAGGAAGCCCGAACACCCCAUAUAUUUUUUUUUCUUUUUACAUUUUUUUUGGUCUAACUAACUCCAAAAGGUUGGAAAAGAGUUCCUACAAAGGUUUUGGACAGUGAUUUUAACCCUAACGCCAAAAACCUUAAACCUUACCCUAGCCCCAAAACCUAAUACCCGGGUAUUACCUUCAGGAAGCCCGAACACCCCAAAUAUUUUUUUUUCAUUUUUCAUAUUUUUUGGUCUAACUAACUCCAAAAGGUUGGAAAAGAGUUCCUACAAAGGUUUUGGACAGUGAUUUUAACCCUAACGCCAUAAAACUUAAACCUUACCCUAGCCUUAAAAUCUAAUACCCGGGUAUUACUUUUAGGAAGCCCGAACACCCCAAUAUUUUUUUUUUCAUUUUUCAUUUUUUUUGGUCUAACCAACUCCAAAAGGUUGGAAAAGAGUUCCUACAAAGGUUUUGGACAGUGAUUUUAACCCUAAUGCCAAAAACCUUAAACCUUACCAUAGCCCCAUAACCUAAUACCCGGGUAUUACUUUUAGGAAGCCUGAACACCCCAAAUAUUUUUUUUUCAUUUUUCUUUUUUUUUUGGUCUAACUAACUCCAAAAGGUUGGAAAAGAGUUCCUACAAAGGUUUUGGACAGUAAUUUUAACCCUAAUUUCAAAAAACUUAAACCUUACCCUGGCCUUAAAAUCUAAUACCCGGGUAUUACAUUAAGGAAGCCCGGAAACCCCAAAUAUUUUUUUUUCAUUUUUCAUUCUUUUUUUGGUCUAACUAACUCCAAAAGGUUGGAAAGAGUUCCUACAAAGGUUUUGGACAGUGAUUUUAAACCUAAUGCCAAAAACCUUAAACCUUACCAUAGCCCCAUAACCUAAUACCCGGGUAUUACCUUCAGGAAGCCCGAACACCCCAAAUAUUUUUUUUUCAUUUUUCAUUUUUGUUGGUGUAACCAACUCCAAAAGGUUCGAAAAGAGUUCCUACAAAGGUUUUGGACAGUGAUUUUAACCCUAACGCCAGAAAACUUAAACCAUACCCUAGCCCCAAAACCUAAUACCCGGGUAUUACCUUCAGGAAGCCCGAAAACCCCAAAUAUUUUUUUUUCCUUUUUAAUAUUUUUUGGUCUAACUAACUCCAAAAGGUAGGAAAAGAGUUCCUACAAAGGUUUUGGACAGUGAUUUUAACCCUAACGCCAUAAAACUUAAACCUUACCCUAGCCUUAAAAUCUAAUACCCGGGUAUUACUUUUAGGAAGCCCGAACACCCCAUAUAUUUUUUUUUUCAUUUUACAUUUUUGUUGGUGUAACCAACUCCAAAAGGUUGGAAAAGAGUUCCUACAAAGGUUUUGGACAGUGACUUUAACCCUAAUGCCAAAAACCUUAAACCUUACCAUAGCCCCAUAACCUAAUACCCGGGGUAUUACUUUUAGGAAGCCUGAACACCCCAAAUAUUUUUUUUUCAUUUUUCUUUUUUUUUUGGUCUAACUAACUCCAAAAAGUUCGAAAAGAGUUCCUACAAAGGUUUUGGACAGUGAUUUUAACCCUAACGCCAAAAAACUUAAACCUUCCCCUAGCCUUAAAAUCUAAUACCCGGGUAUUACUUUUAGGAAGCCCGAAAACCCCAAAUAUUUUUUUUUUCAUUUUUCAUUUUUUUUGGUCUAACUAACUCCAAAAGGUUGGAAAAGAGUUCCUACAAAGGUUUUGGACAGUGAUUUUAACCCUAACGCCAAAAACCUUAAACCUUACCAUAGCUCCAUAACCUAAUACCGGGGUAUUACUUUUAGGAAGCCUGAACACCCCAAAUAUUUUUUUUUCAUUUUUCAUUUUUUUUUUGGUCUCACUAACUCCAAAAGGUUCGAAAAGAGUUCCUACAAAGGUUUUGGACAGUGAUUUUAACCCUAACGCCAUAAAACUUAAACCUUUCCCUGGCCUUAAAAUCUAAUACCCGGGUAUUACAUUCAGGAAGCACAAAAACCCCAAACAUUUUUUUUUCAUUUUUCUUUUUUUUUUGGUCUAACUAACUCCAAAAGGUUGGGAAAGAGUUCCUACAAAGGUUUUGGACAGUGAUUUUAACCCUAAUGCCAUAAACCUUAAACCUUACCAUAGCCCCAUAACCUAAUACCCGGGUAUUACUUUUAGGAAGCCUGAACACCCCAAAUAUUUUUUUUUCAUUUUUCAUUUUUUUCUUUUGGUCUAACUAACUCCAAAAGGUUGGAAAAGAGUUCCUACAAAGGUUUUGGACAGUGAUUUUAAACCUAAUGCCAUUAAGCUUAAACCUUACCAUAGCCCCAUAACCUAAUACCCGGGUAUUACCUUCAGGAAGCCCGAACACCCCAAAUAUUUUUUUUUUCAUUUUUCUUUUUUUUUUUGGUGUAACCAACUCCAAAAGGUUGGAAAAGAGUUCCUACAAAGGUUUUGGACAGUGAUUUUAACCCUAACGCCAAAAACCUUAAACCUUACCAUAGCCCCAUAACCUAAUACCCGGGUAUUACCUUCAGGAAGCCCGAACACCCCAAAUAUUUUUUUUUUCAUUUUACAUUUUUGUUGGUGUAACCAACUCCAAAAGGUUGGUGUUACACCCCACCCUUAGGCGGCCCUAUGGGGCUAACAACAAUCCUCAACUUUUUACCCAUCAAAUUAACCAAAACACCUUCAAAAGUUUAACACGUGAUUUAUUGUGAAAAAACAACAAAAUUGCAAACUAAACACAAAGCACCCACAACACAAAUGAGAGGCAGCAGGGCAGCAGUUCCCCACCAAAUGCCUCUCCAGACUGCAGGCAGCUCUGGGCUUUUAGACUCCCAGCACCAGGUGAGUCUGAUUGUCACUCAAGUGAUUUCACCUGGGCAGCUAUGGAGAGACAAAAGAGGAAAACACAUGCAAAACAAACACACAGCCGUAACAGUUGGAAAAGAGUUCCUACAAAGGUUUUGGACAGUGAUUUUAACCCUAACGCCAUAAAACUUAAACCUUACCCUAGCCUUAAAAUCUAAUACCCGGGUAUUACUUUUAGGAAGCCCGAACACCCCAAAUAUUUUUUUUUUCAUUUUACAUUUUUGUUGGUGUAACCAACUCCAAAAGGUUGGAAAAGAGUUCUUACAUAGGUUUUGGACAGUGACUUUAACCCUAAUGCAAAAAACCUUAAACCUUACCAUAGCCCCAUAACCUAAUACCUGGGUAUUACAUUUAGGAAGCCUGAACACCCCAAAUAUUUUUUUUUCAUUUUUCUUUUUUUUUUGGUCUAACUAGCUCCAAAAAAUUGGAAAUGAGUUCCUACAAAGGUUUUGGACAGUGAUUUUAACCCUAACGCCAAAAAACUUAAACCUUUCCCUGGCCUUAAGAUCUAAUACCCGGGUAUUACCUUCAGGAAGCCUGAACACCCCAAAUAUUUUUUUUUCAUUUUUCGUUUUUUUUUUUGGUCUAACUAACUCCAAAAGGUUGGAAAAGAGUUCCUACAAAGGUUUUGGACAGUGAUUUUAACCCUAACGCCAAAAAACUUAAACCUUUCCCUGGCCUUAAAAUCUAAUACCCGGGUAUUACAUUCAGGAAGCCCGAAAACCCCAAAUAUUUUUUUUUCAUUUUACAUUUUUUUUGGUGUAACUAACUCCAAAAGGUUGGAAAAGAGUUCCUACAAAGGUUUUGGACAGUGAUUUUAACCCUAAUGCCAUAAACCUUAAACCUUACCAUAGCCCCAUAACCUAAUACCCGGGUAUUACUUUUAGGAAGCCUGAACACCCCAAAUAUUUUUUUUUCAUUUUUCGUUUUUUUUUUGGUCUAACUGACUCCAAAAGGUUGGAAAAGAGUUCCUACAAAGGUUUUGGACAGUGAUUUUAACCCUAACGCCAAAAAAACUUAAACCUUACCCUAGCCAUAAAAUCUAAUUCCCGGGUAUAACCUUCAGGAAGCCCGAAAGCCCCAAAUAUUUUUUUUCAUUUUACAUUUUUGUUGGUGUAACCAACUCCAAAAGGUUGGAAAAGAGUUCCUACUAAGGUUUUGGACAGUGAUUUUAACCCUAACGCCAAAAACCUUAAACCUUACCCUAGCCCCAAAACCUAAUACCCGGGUAUUACCUUCAGGAAGCCCGAAAACCCCAAAUAUAUUUUUUUCCUUUUUCAUAUUUUUUUGGUCUAGCUAACUCCAAAAGGUUGGAAAAGAGUUCCUACAAAGGUUUUGGAAAGUGAUUUUAACACUAACGCCAAAAACCUUAAACCUUACCAUAGCCCCAUAACCUAAUACCGGGGUAUUACUUUUAGGAAGCCUGAACACCCCAAACAUUUUUUUUUUCAUUUUUCAUUUUUUUUUUUUUGGUCUAGCUUACUCCAAAAGGUUGGAAAAGAGUUCCUACAAAGGUUUUGGACAGUGAUUUUAACCCUAACGCCAAAAACCUUUAACCUUACCCUAGCCCUGUAAUAUAAUAUAUACAUAAUUUACAAACACAUAGUCUAAAAGAUAGACAGCAUGGCAUACCAAUUGAGUGGAGUCAUUAAACUUCCUACCAACACAUAAUUUUUACACACAGAUUGAGCUUGGAGACUUGACUGGGAACAUGUGAUAUGUCAACAUCCCCCUCACCAAUCUUUAUUUUCCACCAUCUCCACCUCUCCCUUAAACCCCCCUCUCCCUCUUCCCUUCUCUCUCUCUCUCUCUCUCUCUCUCUCUCACACACACACACACACACACACACACACACACACACACACACACACACACACACACACCUCUCUCUCUCUCUCUCUCUCUCUCUCUCUCUCUCUGUCUCUCUCUCCCUCAUCUCUCUCCCUCAUCUCUACCCCUCUCUCUAACACCCCCCCUUUCUUAUUCCCUCCCCUGCCCCUUUAUUUUCACCUUCACAGAGGACAAAUAGGUGAUCUUCAGCCUAGGCCUACCCCGGCCGGGGGGUAACCCCUGUUGGGUCACCUAUAUGGAGGAUUAAGAAAGACCUGAAGGGGAACCGCCGUGCCCCCUAAAUCCUCCCCCUCUAACAUCUUUUUAACACUCUAAAAUUAGCCAGCUAACCCCACUACAAACAACUUCAUCAAAAAUUUAAAUAAUAAAUACUUAUCAAUAACUGACCAUCAGUGACACCAGACUAAGUUAGCAAAAAAGAACACACACACACACGUACAGAUUUUCCCUUAGGACAUUGAUCAGAUUUACAUUUCUGUCUUUCUUUUAGGGAACUGUUCUCUGUUUUUAAGCUCACUUCUGAUUUUUGCUAUUUGCUCUUGACACUUCUUUUUUUCCUUUUUUCUUCCCCUUUCCCUUUUGCAAUCCACUUUUGUUCUUCUUUUAUUUUUUCAUUGUUUUAUAUUAUUUUAUUUUAUUUUAGGGUUCCUGUGCUUUUGUUUUUCUUCCCCCCUCCCCUCUUUUUUCUUAGGAAGGACUGACUCCUGAGGUUCUCAUGCCAGGAAAAAUGUACCUCCCUCACUCACGGUUUUACCCACAAUCCUUUGCUGCAACAGGGAGAUUGAUUCCCAAGGCUCUCAUGCCAGAAAGGAAGUACCUCACUCCCUCACGGUUUUACCCACAAUCCUUUGCUGUAACAGGAAGAUUGAUUCCUUAGGCUCUCAUCCCUCAGAACUAAAAUACCCACAAUCCCUUGCGAUUGCAUACAAAUUGAAUGUAGCAAAACUCAAUUUAAAACAAUAAACUACAUUAAAAUUAACUUAAAACAACUUGAAGGUUUAAAAUACAACCAAGAGACAUCCAUUCUGGAAUACAAACAUCGAGAAGAGAACACAACCAUGUCUGAGAGGAACAGCACAAACCAUGACUCGAGCCCAACUCUGGGGAUGUCUACUUGUUUGAAAAGCACAUUUAAGUGCCGUGCAUUAAAGAGCAAUUCCUGUUCCAGUUAUUGAGACAAAGCACUGACCUCUGGACCAAGAAGACGGACCACCAUCGAGGAAGACGCCGCGCCGCCAACUGAAAGAAGACGCCGCACCUCCAUCACUCCAAGCCGCCCACCACCGAGCUUCGACCCGCCUACAGCACCGAGUCCCAGCAAACCUUCCCGCGGAGCGCUGAUCUUCUUUCCCCCGCCGAGGACCCCGGACUUCAGACACACCGCUGCCACCGCGGAUGGACAGCUGGAACCUUUUCCCCCCUCCAACAGAUUUUAGACUACUGGAAAAGAAACCCCUCACAUCAACAACAACUUAGGACCACUAGGGUAAGUCUACAAAAAACCUCUCAAACACCUCAAAAUUACUCUAAAUAGUUAGUUUUGUUUGUUGAACUUGAGUUUGUGUCGUUUUUGAACUUGAGUUUGUGGUGUUUUUGAACUUGAGUUUGUGUCGUGUUUGAAGUUUGUGGCAACUUAUGAACUUGAGUUUGUUUGGCUUGAUUUUUUGGCAAUUGUUGAACUUGAGUCUAUGGUUUUUAGUGAACUUUAGUUGGUGGCAAUUGUUGAACUUUUGUUUGUGGCGUUCGUUGAACUUGAGUUUGUGGUGUUCAUUGAA
RNAcentral lists this long non-coding RNA (99777 nucleotides) under Xyrichtys novacula (pearly razorfish). Lineage: Eukaryota; Metazoa; Chordata; Actinopteri; Labriformes; Labridae. The record is from RNAcentral.